RNAcentral lists this long non-coding RNA (100328 nucleotides) under Citrus x clementina. RNAcentral describes it as "Citrus clementina (C. clementina) long non-coding RNA (CCLE_LNC002395)". Lineage: Eukaryota; Viridiplantae; Streptophyta; Magnoliopsida; Sapindales; Rutaceae. The record is from RNAcentral.
AUGCUUUAAUCUGAUCAAUGGUCCUCCAAUGAGCACCGAAUCAAGCCGAAUCUUCUCUCCAUUUUCCAUUUCCAACGACGCAAGGAGGUCUGGAUCAGUGACCAAUAUCAAUACUCUGCUUCCAUUCUGAUUAUUUGGAAGAACUUCUUCAAGAUCAUCCCAUAUCUCAAUGUUAUCGCAGACAUCAUCAAGCACAAUAAAGUACUUCCUGUUUGUUAGGUAAUCUCGAAGAAUAGAUUCCUUGAAUUGAUAAUCUUCACCGAUAAUUACACUAACCCGAGAUGGAGGCAUCACAGACUUGAUUAUGUCAUCCAAUAGCUUGCCCAAAUCGUAGAAUACAGAAACCCUGACCCAAGCAAGACAGUCAAAAUAGAACUUGACAUGAUUAUUGUUGUAAGUAUCUGCAGCAAAAGCAGUCCUAUCGAAGCCACUGCUGUCGAGAAUUGCAACCACUGAAAGCCCAGAUGGUCCCUCAAUCAAUACAUCAAACAACUUCUCUCUGCCCCUUUCAAAUUCACUGAUAUCGAGCCGAGGUUGUCCCUCAUUCAAUAGGUGAAUGAUUUCGUUACUUUUUUCACUGAUAUCAAAACCAUUGUCGCCGGGUGGGAGUUGUUGGAUCCGAUUUCUAAUAUCAAUGAUUUUACUGUGGAGUCCAAAAAGAAGAGCCAUUUUAGUACUGCUUUCACUUUCGUUUUGACUGUUUUGCUGCUGCAUGAUGUUGAUGAAGAAUGUGUCAAUGGCUUCCUCAGAUUCAUGGACAAAGUCAUUGAUGUCCUCCAGAAUUUCCAAAAUACCUCCUCUUUUAACGUCUUCAUCGCUUUCUUGUGCCUGCAACAGUUGCGAAAAAGGCAAAGAUAAUUUGGAUUCAUCGAAUCGUUCUUUAACAAGUUGAAACAAAAGCCGAGCCAUGUCAGAUUCAAAGUUUCCGAGCAGAGUGGUAGCAAUAAUCUCGGACUCCGUUAGAAGGUUUUGAAAAAGGGGAGUUAAAUUUGUUGAAUCAGGCAAAGUCAACGCGCAUUCUUCACCUGCUAACACCCUUUUUAACCUCUCACAAAAUAGUCGGAGGUGGACGUCCAGCAUAUCUCCUUCUGUCUGUAGCGCCCAGAGGUAUUGUUAUUUGCUACAAGAAAUGUUAAAACAUAGAGUAAUGAUACAGCCACAAACUCUUGUACAAACUUAUUUUGUACAAACUAAAAUGGCAUUAAUUCAUUGGUUGAAUGAAAAUAUAAAAUAAUAAAAACAAAUCAUGUGGGCCAAGUGAUAUUUAAUUCAACCAAUCUUAUCAUGCCACGUCAAUUUGUACAAAAUAAGUUUGUACAAGAGUUUGUGGCUAUAUCAUUACUCUAAAACAUAUCUCCUUCUGUCCUAUCUCAAAGUGGUUAGUGGUGUAAAAUUAAACACCAUGGAAGAAUUUGCAAGGAAUAUGCCAAGAAACUGGCCAACCCGCUUAGCUAAAUUCCACAAAUAUGACGUUAUUGCUCAUUUUUCUCUCAAACACAUAAUACACGUUCUUCGAGGCGCGUGCCUUCUGAAAAGGACAGGUAUCCAACCUCAUCUUAAUUUAAAGAAUUUUCCUUUAAAAAAAAUUUAAUAUCAAAAUGCCUUCAAUGUUAUUACUGCCGAAAGCCAAACUUCCUUUGGGUAAUUAAUUUAGAAGUUAAGCAGAGAAUAAAGUCCUAGAUUAAAUGUUUAGGUAGUUUUACAAAAUGAUAACAGCAUGCCAAAACUCGUUGUUGUCAUAUUCGACAUUUCAAAUUGAAAAAUAUGCAAGCAAUCUUCAGUGAACAUUACAUGUUUAUUGAAUAAUUUAAAUGGCCAGUAAAUCAACAGUCCGUGAGUUUUAAAUCUAUUAUGACUUAAUGUAUCUUUCUGUAUUCGUACACAGGUUAUAUUAUCAUAGUUUAAAAUUAUUUUAAAUAUUAAAAAUACUUUAAUGCUAUUAGUCUACUACACAGGUUAUAUUAUUUAUAUUAUAUUUGUAUUAAUUAAAACUUUUAAUGUCAAUUUUCUAAUUAUUAUAUUAAAAAAGUAUUAUGGUUAAGAAAAAGUUUUGGCAUUUCUUCUUGAAAAUUUGAGAGUCUGCAUGAAAAUUUUUCCAAAUUCUAAAGGUAUAGGUUUGAAAAUUUAACGUUCUGUAAAUUAAUGAAACAAAAGGGGGGAAACCAAAAACUAUUCAAUUUUGUAUUUUUUGUUUGUAAUUCAAAAAAUACAUCCACCAAACAAGUUUUACGCAUUAAUGCUGUCAUAAAACGAAAAACAGUUUGCCAAAAAAUGGUACCAAACAUUUCCUUAAUGUCUCACAUGAUUUCUUAGUAAGUCCAUAUUAGAUAUAUUUAUACAUUUUAUGUAUUUUAGUUAUAAAAGAAGUAGGUCCUCCCCCUGUUUAUAAAAAAUAACUUUAUUUCGAGAUUGCCACUAAACUCUUACAUAGAAUUAGUGUAAUGUUAAGAGAGAGUAACACAGUUUUCCAUUACCAUCUUUGAAAAUAGAGAGAUAUGGAUGCAUGCAUUUAAGAGUUAUCAUGAAAAUCAUACAAUUCAAUUUCCUGACAUAUAUAUUUAUGCACGUAUACCAAAAGAAUAAAUAGACAGAAAGUAAAUUUACAGUCCUCACUUCCUCACAAUUGUUAACGUGAAGAUGCAUUACAACUGUGAACUGUCACUACUUUAGCCUUUUUUUUUAAAAAAAAAAAAUUAUAGUGUGAUGGAGACAUCAAGGAUGAGCAUAAAAGUUAAAGAUGACUCAUUUUCUUUUUAAAGUGCUCUGCUGAAAGCCAAACUUCCUUUGGCUAAUUAAUUUAGAAGUAAAGCAGAGAAUAAAGUUCUAGAUGCCUUCUGAAAUUAGAAAUACAUUUUAUAUGCUUUAAUUAUGAUUAUUUGGUAGACUAUUGACCUAAAAGACAUGUUAAAUUAUAAAACAGUGCGAUUAAAAAAAAGAGAGUAUUUGUGACGUAGAAUAACAAUUGGUAAAUAAAUCCUAAAUAUUUGAGUUGUUAAAAGCAAAUAUAACAGAGACGGUAAGAGAGAUGCAGAAACAGAAAACUAUUAGCUUAUCUUGAUUUUCCCACUAUAUUCAUUUUCGAUGCUUUUCAAACGAGAUUCUUUUAAUUCUUCUGGUGUCUGCAGCCCCUGCUCUUCUUAUAGAUCUCCAUCCCACAUCUGCACUACGAACAAGUUGAUUAAAAUUAAAUAAUGUUGGAGACGUGGGGUGAGCCGUCAACUUGGUAAAAAAACUAUGUAUAAUAUUGUUAAUAAUAUAAAAUAUAUAGUAAUAAUUACAAAGAAUCAUAAAUUAGAAAAAUUAAUUAUUUUACAAUCUAUUUCUUAAGUAAGAUAAAUCUCAUAAUAAGUUAAGUUAUAAUGUAAAAAGUAUUUUCAAUUUAUAAUCAUUUAAGAAGUCAUUUAACAAUAAAAUCUUUCUUUUGAUCAAUUGGUCAUGCUACAAAGUAUCAUCUAUAUUUGUGGUGAUAUUAUUAUUACUCCGUAUUCUCAAAAAACAUGAUUUAACAUUUAGAGAAAAUUCAUGCCUUUUAAAAAGAACAUGUAUGCAACAACUACCAAUACUUUAUCUUACCACAACAAAACUAAUGGUGACUAAAUCAAUUUUCUUGAUUAAAGCAAAAUUUCUUAAAAUUGAUUUAAUGCACAAAUAUGAUGACUUUUUGCAAAAAUUAGUUUCGGAAAAUAUAGUGAGAGAAAAUAGUGACGAUUAUUGUUUAGAUGUGUAAAUAGCCUAAACAUGAUCGCUAAUACCAAUAUCCACGUGCAUCUUAACACCUUUCGUGAUAUUCUUUCAUUCAUGGUCACUGGUUCAAGAUUUGAAUUUAAUCAGUAAAUCAUGUUCAAUAAUAUUAGAGAUCCCAACAAUUGAGUACCAAUUUAAAUCCUAAUGCUAUAUGUCAUUGACCAAUAUUGUGUCAUUUUUUGUUAACUGGGUGAUGAAUUUCUAGUUGAUAAAAUUACUUAAAAAUAUCUUAAAAAUCAGACAAUAGUUUGCUUAAUUUUUUGAAGCUAACUGCUCAAGAUGCUCUAUUAGAAAUGAUAACCUAAUUAUAUACAUAAAAAAUGAUGUAUUUUUUGCGGUGUUGAUAGUGAGAUUAUCAUUCAACAUGUUAAAAUAUGAAAACAUAUGGAAGAUGGUUGUAAAUUGGUUGAAUGAGAAUAUUUCAGUGAAGUCUCAAAAAUUUGGUACUUGUUAUCUUAUCGAAAGUUUUCUAAAUUAUAUUCGUGGCACUGCCACUGCUUCUAUGUGAAGGUCAUUAAAAUUUGUGUUAGCUACCUAUAGGUUGAAUAACAAUUUUAUUCAUCAAUUGUUGCUCAAUAUAGCAAUUUGAUUGAAAGUGCCGCUGCACUAAUUUUCUAGAUGAACUUUCCUACAUGUUUGUCCUCAUAUGACCUAGAAUGCUGCGAUAUCAAUUGUAUUGGAAAUUAUUCAGGUGGGUUAGUGCUCUACAUCCCCACCAAAAUAUAAGCAAUGAACAAAACAUUCCUUGUGGAAAUAAACUUAAUUAUUUCGCUACUAGACUUCUAAUGAGGCCCAUUUUCCAGAAUCUGGAUACAAGUUAGAUGUCUCCCAAAAUAUUGGUGGGAGUAGACUAUAGUAGCACUCGACAACAUACUAACGACGCUAUGGUCCACCAGAAAGACCGGUCUCCGGUCAGCCGAAAAAUCUCACGUUCAGUCUCUUCUCAAUCUCCCUUCUCCCAGCCAAGUCGAUCCCGUAACAUGAUACUAAUCCACAGUUGAAUACAUGAUACUAUUAGAUCUUAUUUGAGAAUAUAAAGGGAUCUUUCUAAUUUGAGAACAUAAAUUGCCCAAUAAAGUUGAACUACGUUACCCCGCUCCAUGCACAUACAUUAAAUGUUAACAGCAUGCCAAAACUUGAUGUUGUCAUAUUCGACAUUUCAAAUUAAUAUGCAAGCAAUCUUCGGUGAACAUUACGUUUUUAUUGAAUAAUUUAAAUGGCUAGUAAAUCUAGAGUUCUUGAGCUUUAAUCUAAAUCAAAUCUAUUAUGACUCAAUGUAUUUUUUUGUAUUCGUACCAGUAAUGCAGGGGAUUAUUUACGGAACUCUUAUUAUUGACUGAUAUGUUCACCUUCAUCCAAUUAGAGAAAGAGUGACUGUAGAGGUGGCAAAAAUACCCGUCCGGUUCGGACCCGGACCGUACCCAUUACCCAGCCCGGGUAUGAAGCCGGGUCGGUCUUGGGUAUUACUUGAUAAACCCGGAACUCGGAUUUUAUUAAAAAAAUUAUAAAAUAUAUAUUAUUUUAAAUAUUUUAUAUUUAUUUGACUCAUUUAUUAUACAUAUAUAAAGUUUUAAACACUUAAAGUAUAUAUUUUCUUGUCAAAUUUUAUUGAAAUAAAUUUAAAACUUAUAAAAUUACUAAAAAAUAAAAAAUAUAUACACAUAAAAUAUUAAAAAAUAUAAAAUUCGGGUACUCGAAUUAAAACCCAGCCCGAACCCGGACCCAGACCGGUUGCAUCCGGUAGGGUCCGGUCAUGGCAAUACCCUGACCCCGCCCGGGGUUUUGCCAUCUCUAAGUGACUGGGUUCCUAUAAAGGGACUCUUAACCGUUACGAGAGUAUUCAGACUAAAAAUCUUUAUAAUUAAAUUCAAAGGUGAAGAUCUAUGCUUAUUAUCUAUUUAACAACUAAUAUAUAGUUAUCUAUUCAUUUAAAUAUCAAGGGCUAUGCUAAUAAUUAAGUUGAAAUGUUGAUGAAAGUAGCCCUACAUCUGUAUAUUACUCAUCUACUCUAAUCUUUUUUUUUUUUUAACUUAAUGUACUUUUUCUAAUGUUGUUUACUCUUCCCCCCCCCCCCCUCCUCUGACAAAAUAAUAAGAGUUUAGACUUGAAAAUAUCUUAAAGAUCAAACAGUAAUUUACCUAAUUUUUUGAAGCUAACUGCCAAAGAUAUUCUAUUAGACAUUGAUAACGUAGUUAUAUACAUUUAAAAUGAUUUUUUUUUUUUGUGGAAAGGGAUUAUCAUUCAACAUUUUAAAAUAUGAAAACAUAUGGAAGAUGAUUGUAAAUUGAUUGAAUGAAAAUAUUUCAAUGAAGAUGGUUGUAAAUUGUUAUCUUAUUGAAAGUUUUCUAAAUUUACUACUAUUUGAACUUAGCCCUCCUGGUACCGCCACCAUUUCUGCUUGAAAGUCAUUUAAGUUUGUGUUAGCUGCCUAAAGCUUUUUUUUUUUCUUUUUCUUUUUGAAAAGAGCUGCCUAUAGCUUGAAUAACUAUUUUGCUCACGAAUUGUUGUCCAUUAUAGCAAUUUAUUUAAUUGAAAGUGCGGCUGCAAUAAUUUUCUUGAUGAACUAUUCCACAUGUUUGUUCUCAUGUGAGGCAGUUUUUCUAGAAGAUUGAUAUUUCUUUAAGUCUUUAACUAGCAAAGCAUACCAGUCCAAAGCUAGCCAAACCAUACCUGCUGGUCCAGGGCUUAAAUGGAGUACUUCUAAGCAUAAAACAGUAACAAAAACACAAUAUAUGCAUACAUACAUACCAGCAAAUUCAAAAUAGAAAAAAGAGUGCAACUAUUCAAGAAAUUGGUUAUUGUAGACAAACACACAUACAAACACAUACCAGAAAAUUCAAAAAAUAGAGAAAGGAGGCCAACUAUUCAAGUUUGUAGACAAUAUUGCAAUCAUGGCAUUACUUAUAGCAAGUCCUUGAAAUCUACUAAACAAAACAAUGCUCUGUCUCAUGAAUCAAUGUUGAAUUACAGACGAAAUUGAAAGUCUAGCAGGUGUUGUUUCCCUCUUCGAUUUUGCCUACACAAGUAAAGGGAAAUAAGAAUCAUAAAUGAAAAUCAGCUUUUACAGUUGUAAUUAUUAGAUAGAUCUAGAACGAUCUUUCUUUGUUUCUCUGCUGCAAUGUGCUAUCCCACUCUGUUUUGCUACUAAAAUUGAGUCUAUGUUGAGACAUAAUUUCGACACUAGGAGCAACCGCAAUUAGUUUGGCAUUGCAUUACCCCUUGAAGGUUUUACAAUAGUUGUAAACUUACCGAGAAAGUAGAAAAAAAAGGGCAUAUGGAAUUAGGCAAGUAACUAAAGUAUGAGUCAUCAGAUAUGAUUAAAACUCACCCAAUUCAAUCCAUCAGAUUCCGUAAGGAUAUAACUGGAUGUCAAAACGCCACUCCAUAUCCUCGAACGUCCGUACCCUUUGCCGCAACUCUGUCUGGGGCCAGUGUAAGUCCAAUUUGCGCAAGCUCUUUAUGCACCAUAGCUCUUCUGGAAGCUUCCUCAAGUAAGCACAUGGGUUGACAAUUAAGCUUUCAAGUUUUGGCAUUGCUCCUGCCCCCAUCGUCCACUCAUCUAGCCAAUACAUUGACUUUAGGUGCAAAAUCUUAAGUUCCGGAAAGCCACCAGAGUCAACACAGGCCAACUUUCUUCCUAAAUACGAGUUCUUCUUCAGUUUCAGCACUUGAAGGCGUGGAAGCUUUUCCAGCUUUGGCAUGGGAUCCUCCAUUAGCUCAGUAUUUGAUAAGCUCAGAUGGCUCAGACUUAAAGGAAAUUCGUAUUCAGACAGGACAAUCCGUGAGAGCUUGCUCUCAUUCACUAGUUCCAAGCAUUCAAUUUUGUGGAGUUCGCAUACGCUUUUGGAAACCCCAGAGUGAUGGCAACUCAAAUCUCCAGAUAUCUGAAGCGUUUGAACAUUAGGUAGUCUGCCUAAUAUAUCUGGCGUGCAACUACUAGGGUGUAAGGAUGAUAUGAAAAAAAGAUUUUUCAGAGAGCUGGAAUAAUUUUUUGGAGGUGCAGGCAGAGUGAUGGAACCAAAGUUCAGAUGCAUGAGUUUUUGCAUCUUCCAAAUAUCCUCUGGUGUUUGAUCUACGUAGCUAGAUGGCAUGUCUAGUGUUUGAAGGUUUGAAAGGGUGCAUAGCGGUGAAGGAAGACAUUUGAGCGAAGGGAUAUUCAAUUUCAAAUACUUCAAAUGGAAUAAAUUUUCUAAUCCGGGUGGAUAUUGGUCCAGGACUGCAGAACCCCUGUUCAAUACCCGAAGGUGUUUGAACAUUUUACAAAAAUUCUCGCAAUCUAUCGGAUUAAGAUGAUCGCUUUCUGAACUGUAAUUCAGAAAAGAUUGAUUAGUUCUUUCAAGUAAUGUUCGGCCGUCCCCUCACUGUUGUAUGGUAUGAAACCUUCAGCUACCCACAACUAAUAUAAUUGUGUGGUAGAUAUCUGAAUGCCUGGAGGGAAGACAAACAAAUAGAUGCAGCAGACUUUCAAGUGAAAAGGUAACUCCAUCACAGAAUAAAUUUGUCUCCAAGCUGUCGGAAUCGCUUCGCCUUGAAAAUAAUUUUCUAAUGGCAUACUUCCGUAGUGUAGGACGAAAAAUUGCAAGCCUUCAAACUUUAUUCUAAUCAGUGGUCCUCCAACGAGCACUGAAUCAAGCCGAAUCUCCUCUGCGUUUUCCAUUUCCAACGACGUAAGGAGUCUUGGAUCAGCGACCAAUAUCAAUACUCUGCUUCCAUUCUGAUUAUCAGGAAGAACUUCUUCAAGAUCAUCCCAUAUCUCACUGUCAUCGAAGACAUCAUCAAGCACAAUAAAGUACUUACUGUUUGUUAGGUAAUCUCGAAGAAUAGAUUUCUUCAAUUGAUAAUCUUCACCGAUAAUUACCCUAACCCGAGCUGGAGGCAUCACAGACUUGAUUAUGUCAUCCAAUAUCUUGCCAAAAUCGUAGGCAAUAGAAACCCUGACCCAAGCAAGAGUCAAAAUAGAACUUGACAUGAUUAUUGUUAAAAGUAUCAGCAGCAGAAGCAGUCUUAUCGAAGCCACUGCUGUCGAAAAUUGCAACCACUGAUAUCGAUAGAUCAAACAACUUCUCUCUGCCCUUUUCAAAUUCACUGAUAUCGAGCCGAGGUUGUCCCUCAUUCAAUAGGCGAAUGAUUUUGUUACUUUGUUCACUGAUAUCAAAACCAUUGUCGCCGGGUGGAAGUUGUUGCAUCUGAUUUCUAAUAUCAAAGUGAAAAAUUGCUGCUUUCACUUUCGUUUUCACUGUUUUGCUGCUGCAUGAUGUUGAUAUUGACAUAAUUUUAUUUUAGUUUUUGGGGAAAAAAAUAUUUGUUGACAAGCAAGAAAAUAUUUUUAUAUUUUAAAUUUAUUAUACAUAUUUUAUCAUUUUAAAGUAAUUUUAAUAAUAAAUAGAAACAUAAUAUUACGAUAAAUAAAUUAAAGUUUAAAUUAUUUUAAAUAUUAUAAAAAAUAAUUCUAAUAUUAUUAAUAGGAAGACAUUUUGUUAAUUUUAAAAUUUUUUAACCCAAAGGUUUAUUUAAAAUUUUUAUUAUAAAUAAAAAUAUAAAAUUAAAUAUCAUAAUUUAAAUUUUUUAAUAUUAUUUAAGUAUUAAAAAUAUUUUAAUGUUAUUAGUCUACUACAUAGAUCAUAUUACUUAUAUUAUAUUUGUAAUGAUUAAAAAUUUUUAAAAUCAAUUUUCUAGUUACUAUAUUCACGAGAUAUUAUGGUUAAAGAAAAGACCUUGGUGUUACUUUUUACAAAUUUGAGUGCCUACAUGAUAAUUUUUUCAAAAUUUAAGAAUGUAUGUAUCCUUUUCUCCAAUAAUUUAUUUCACUUUUGAGGGGAAUCCAAUGAGAGAUAUGAUAAGAGAACGUCAAUUAGUUGUCAUUUUCUACUUUUUCUGUAAGCUAUUUAUUUUGAGCAUUAGUGAUCUUGUCUGGACUACUCCAAUUAUUGAUGUAACUCCAGUGACUGCAUCCACAAUUGAAUAUAUGAUAGUGUUAGCUCUUAUUUGAGAAUUUAUAUAGUCUUGCUGUUAAAGAACUCACUGAGGCAUUAUUGAUUCAAUUUCAGUGGAGCAAUCGCGGGUGAAGGAUAAAUAAAGGAUCAGAACAGAGCUGAAGUGCUAAAUUGGCUAUUGAAGAAGGAUGUCACAUGAUCACAAUCACAUUGAUGCACAACUCUCUGGAGGCAAAUUUUGUCUUUAUGUACUCUAAAUUCAGCCAAACCAUACAUGCAUGAACAAAAAUUAAACCGUCGUUCUAAUCACAACAGUAAUUGAAGCUCCAAAAGCAAGAAAAUCUGAACAAAGACUUAAAAGAAAGAUCUUAUUCAAGUUUGUCCCCAAAAGACAGCUGAAAUGAAAAAUAUUGACUAUUGAAUGGAUCAAUGCUGAAUUACAUUUGAAAUGGAAAGCUUGGCUGCAUCUAUGAUGUUUCCCCCUCUGAUUUUCCCCCAAAACAAAUUUAGUUGUAAACAAUAACGGAAGCAGCAAUAAUUUAUUCACCAAAGAAAAUGCCCAAGAUUUCAACUAACAGAUCCUCUUAUCUAAACUAAAAGAACUCAUAUCUCUAAAAUCUACCCGCAAAAUGUUGGAAAUGAGGGAUGAUCUGUCAACUCGAUAAAUAAACUCAUGCAUAAUAUUAACAAUAAUGGUAAAUUACAUAAUAAUUAUUAUAAAGAAUCAUAAACUGGAAACACUAAUCAUUCUACAAUCUAUUAUAUAAGUAAGAUAAAUCUCAUGAUAAGUUAAGUUAUAACGUGAUAAAUAUUUUCAAUAUAUAAUUAUUUAAGAAGUCAUUUAAUAAUAUAUAUUUUUUAUUUUGUUGAUCAUGUCAUAUAGCGUUAUCUAAACUCCUGACAAAAUUAUUAUUACUCACUUUUCUCAAAAAAACAUGAUUAACGUUUAGAGAAAAGUCAUGCCUUUUAGAAAGAAUAUGUAUACAAGCUAUCCAUACUUUAUCUUACCGUGACAAAAUUGAUGGUGAUUAAAUCUAUUUUUAAAAUAGAUUUAAUGCACAAAUAUGAUGACUUUUGGCAAAAAUUAGUUUCGGAAGAUAUAGUGGUAGAAAAUAGUGAUGAUUAUUGUUUAAAUGUGUAAAUAGCCUAAGCAUAGCCCGUAAUACCAAUAUCCAUUUGCACCUUCAUUUGGAUUAUCACAUUUCAUGAUAUUUUUUCAUUCAUGUCCAUUGAUCAAGAUUUGAAUUUGAAUAUAAAUUAAGCUGCAAGGGAGCUUACUUCGGUUUCUAAGCUUUCCAAUUGUGAUUCCUGCAUGCCUUGCUCUGAUACUAUUUUGUUACAUACCAAUGUAACCAACCUUGUAAUUGGUCUGUAUAAGAAAUCAAGCCCUUUUAGAAUCGUUUUCUUUUGUUUCCCCAUUGUAGUAGUCAACUAAAUAAAGAAUGAACAACUGAACUUGAUCUAUUUUGAUGAAGACCAAGGCCUUCAAUACUAGAUGAACUUUGAAGAAGAUUAAUCUACUGCUUUUAUUCAUCUUUGGACUAUGAAUUUAUACAAAGACUUUAACAGAAAAUAACAAAGACACAACUAAAUGAUAGCAACAAGUGUUGACUUACUGGACCACUUCUACAAGUAAAAAAAAACUAAAUAUUUAUUUUGACUAUAACAACAACUACCCUGAUGAACAACACUCCACAGCAGCCACGUGACAACUAAUUUCUCCUUAAUAUUAUUAUUAGUAGAAGUAGAUUUUCAAACUAGUCUUGAUAUAUUUCAAAGUUGUAUUAACAAUUUAUAUGUAUCUAGAUUGUAACUAUAUUUUUUAAAAAUAAAAUAUUUUAAUUAUUGCACAUUAAAUGUAGAAGAAUAUCUGUAAAAUAAUAUUAUUAGGACUAAAAAAUAUUAUUUUAGAUAAGUUAUUUAUUUAUUAUUGAAUUAAUAAUUUAUUAAUUAUUAGCAGAAGUAUAUUUUCGAACUAGUCUUGAUAUAUUUCAAAGUUGUAUUAACAAUGUAUAGGUAUCUAGAUUGUAACUAUAUUUUUAAAAAAUAAAAUAUUUUAAUUAUUGCACAGUAAAUGUAGAAGAAUAUCUGUAAAAUAAUAUUAUGAGGACUAAAAAAAUAUUAUUUUAGAGAAGUAUUUUUUUAUUAUAGAAUUAAUAAUUUAUUAAUUAAUUUAUAAAUGAAUAUUUAUUAAUUUAAAGAGAGACUUUUUUGGUUUUAUGAAGAGUAUGUUUGGUACAUGUUCACACUUAUAAAGAAACACAAAAAAUGCUUCCUCAAGUCAACGGUAUUUGCUUUAAUCGCUACUGUUCAUAAUAAUAUAGCUUAGUUAGGAAAUUUGUAAUUAUAAUAUGACUCUUUUAGUACAACUUUUCAAGUAGAGUUUAUUUAGGUAGAGAUUUUGUUAGGAGAGGUAUUAUAAAUAGAGAUUUCACUAAAAAAAUUUAAUUAUUUGAUUAUAAUAUCCAAAUUGAAGAACUUUUGUUCUUUUGUUAACAUCUGUUUGUUUUACUUAAUAAUAAAAGUUUAGUUUACAAUUACACCGGUGUCAAAUCAGCAGAGCAUCGGCAAGAGUUUUCGAUUGUUGCAAUUUGCAAUGCAUGCGGUACAUGCACGCACUAAUAAAGAAACACAAAAAGUGCAUUCUCAAGCCAAUAGUAUUUGUUUUUAAUCGCUACUUUGCAUAAUAAUGUAGCUUAGUUAGGAAAUUUGUAAUUAUAUUAUGCCUCCAUUUGGUAUAAUUUUUUAAUUAGAACUUAUUUAAGGAGAACUAUUGUUUGUAGAGUUUUUAUAAAUAGAAAUUUUAAUUAAAAAAAAUUAUAAUUAUUUAGUUGUCAAUGUCCAAAUUGAUGAACUAUUGUUCUUUUUGUUAACAUGUGUUUGUUUUACUUAAUAAUAAAACUUUAGUUUACAAUUACACCGGUGUCAAAUCAGCAGAGCAUUUUUGCAGCCCGUCACAUUAUACAUUAUACUAAUAGCAUCGGCAAGAUUUUUCGAUUGUUGCAACUUGCAACGCACGCGAUGCGAGAAAAUGAGAAUCUUGUUUAAUUGUGAAUAAUGACAAACCUAAUCCUUUCAUUAGGAGCAAUUUAAUAAUCGUUUGUUAUAAUUGAAUAGGUAUAAAGAAAGGACAACUCUAUUCAUAGAUUCGGCUUAUUUUUUGUUUAAAGUAAUUAAUCCUCUAAAACUGAAUUUUAUUUUAUCUGGUGCAUGUUAAAUGAUGUGAGGCCUAAUUUAGGUUUUUGGUUAGCGAAUCAAUUUCAAAGUGUGCUUAAACGGUAUAGGACUUUAUUUCCUGGUCCAUACAUUACUCUGUUAGCUAUAAACCUAUGUGUGCUUGAUCCCGACAAUAAUGAUUUGCAUCCUGCUUGCAAAAAGGAAUUUUUGGAUAUGUCUGUGUUUGAAAGAACAGGUGUGGUCGAAUUCAAGAAGGGGAGAUUUUAGUUUACUGAACCAGGACCCACUCAACUUCCGAAGAAGCUUUAUGCUAGGAGUGGUGCUACCUCUGAUGACGAGUUUGACGACGACACUGCUGCCCCGCCAACUAUUCCUUCUACAUCCGCACCACCUUUGAGCAUUCAGUUAGAGAAAAUGGAGCACAAGCUGAACAAGAUGGAGCAGAAUUUGGCCGCAUACUUCGAGAGUGUGGGAUUUACCCCACCAUUUUCGCCAAGCCCAUAGACGUUAUGUGGAUCAAAGCUCACAAUUCAGGGAAGUUUCUUUUUGCCCUUAAUCUUUUAUCCUUACGCUUUAAUUUUUAUGUGAGCUUUGAUUAUCUUACAUUGGGGACAAUGUAAGUUCUUGGUGUGGGGGAGGGAUUUUGAUGUCUGGAAUUAUUAUUUUCACUCUACUCAUAUAUUUUCACUCUACUCAUCCUUAAAUGAUUUUGGAGUUAGUAUGCUUCAUACAUUAUUAAUUUUCUUUUCCUCUCUCUCUCACUACUCUUUUCCCAUCUAUCUCAAAUUAUUUACAUCUAUUUUUAUUCUAUCAUACUCUUUCAUCACUCACAUUUUAUCUUUCACUUUUCAUAUUACUACAUACAUCUUUCUCACUUCUUAUCAUUUUUACAUUUUCUUUUAUAUAUCACUCAUACCUUCUUCUCAUUCUACACCACUAUUGAUGGUUGAUUCAUUUGAAGAGUGUACAUGAUUUGAUGGCAAAUUUACCAACUUUGUGAGGAUUUGAGCCUAUGAGCAACCACUUUGCUCUAAUAUUUUUGUUGUGUGAAUAUCAAUCUUAGUUUGUUUAUUGUAGAACUUGCUUUGUUAUGCAUGUUGAAGCCGCAUUACGGGAUUUUAUGCAUUAAAAUGAUAAGGGCAAACCCUUUUCCAUUUUUCUAUUCUCGCAUUUUUUUUUCUCUACCCGAAGACCUUUAUUUGCUAUCUUUGUUUGAGCCUUAACCAUUACCCACCUAAUUUUCUCCGUCUACUUAACCAUUUUUCUUCUUUUUGAGCCUCAAUUUACGGAGAUUUUUGGACUCAUUGUGUGGAUGUAUUUUGUUGCUUUUUCUACCUUGUAAUAAAGUUUCUCAAUUAGAUCAACAAGCAUUAUGCUUGAAUUAAAUUGUGCAAGGUUCGUUUCUUUUGUUUGAUUCAAAAAUAAAAAAAAACAACAAAAAAAAAGAAAAAGAAAAAUCCAAAAAAAAGAAAAAAAAAUGUUUACAUUCUUGGUGACUUGAGUAGAAAUAAGUAUUUUGAUAUCAUAAGUUCAUUCAAUGAGUUCAUUCUUCUCAUUUUGAUCUCUUUUUCUUUCGUAAACCUUUCUUUUUCAUUCAACCUAUUUAACCCCAUUACAACCCUUUUAAGACCCUUAGAUUUUUGCAUUUUAUUCAUGUUUUGUGGAUUGAGAUGUGAUAUAUGAGCAAGCUUAUGGUAAUAGCAUUCUUUGAUUUGAUUUGAGUGAAUAAAUGACACCCUAAACACUUUGAGUGCAUGGAGUGAAGUUAUUGAGAGGGCUAUUAAAUCUUGUUGCACUUGAAUUUUGAAUGGAUCUUCUUGGUGGUUGAAUGUUCUUAUUCUAUCUUAUGAAAUUCUAUGCUUUAAAAUCCUUGUCUCUUGAAUGUUGAUCGACUUAAUUUCUUGAGGUAUGCUUGCUUAAAAUUGUUUUUGGAUGAGUUGAGAUGAGAAUUGAGUGGAGAUUUGAGAUUAAUCUUGAGUUAUAUGCUUGAGGACAAGCAUCAUCUUGGUGUGGGGGAAUUUGUUAGAGUGCAAUUUAUGCACUAGUUUUGCAUUGUUUACUUCCCUUAAUAUCGAUGUUUUACACUUAAUAAUAGUGAUUUACUUGUGUUUUACUUUUGUAGGUGCAAUUCUAUUGAUUGGUGAUAAAAUUGAGCUAUAAGAUGAUGUUUAAGGAUGAUUGUUCUCUUGGAGAAAUUAUGAGCGGCAGAAGAACUUUGUUGAUAAGGCGUGGGCGCGUGCUGUCAACUGCGGACCUGCAGUUUUUAGUUUAACAUGUUUUGUAUUUUUGUAAUUACGAAUUUAAUAUUUCAGAUAUUAGUAUUUUAUUUUAAAUAGAAUUCUAAAAGAGAGGAGAGAGAGAGAGUAUUUAAGGGAGGAAUCUAUUGUGAAAAAGGGGGAUUUAGAUUGGAGAAAAGAAAAUAAACCCUAAAUCUAAUUUUUCUCUUCUCUCUAUGAAGAACUAAACUUAUUUUUUCUGGUUGAAGGUUAAUGAAGCUUUGAUUCAUCACUACUGUGAGAUCUUUUUUAUGCUUUAAUUGUUUUAUUACUUUUUGGGUAAUUGUUUAUUCUCUGAAUUAGUUUCAUGAUUAUGUUUGUUAAUUAGGUAAUUGGCCACUAUUUAAUUAUCAACUUAAUCUAUUGUCAAUUAAAGGAUUCAUCGUAUGAAGAUUUUAAUGUUUGUGACAAAUAACAUAGCAGUGAGUUGUGUUAUGAGAAUAAACAAUCUAAUUUAAAUGAAUCAUCAUAUGUGUUGAUUAGGAUUUGGAUCUCUCUGGUUUUUCAGGCUGUCAAUUGAUUAAAUCCUAUGAUCGUAUCUAGGGUUGUCUAUUGAUUAGGGAAAUAUCCAACGGUCGUACCUUGGUUAUCGACUAGUUAAGGAGAGAUUGGCUAUUAGAGGGUCUCAAUAGCUAUAACCGGUCUAUUCAUAAGUAAUAAUAAUCUAUAUUUGAAUCAAUGAUCAGUAGUCGAAUCAAGCUGAGUUAAUUCCUUCAACCAGAGCUUUCUCUAAUUUGAAUUACAACUUUAAUUUGCAUUCUUGUUAUUUUAAUUUGAUUUUUAUUAUUGUCAACAAUUCCCCCAUUUUACUUUUUACGUUUCAAAAGGAUUUAAAUAAUUACCGAUCUCUGUGGACACGACCCUGCUCAAUCACUAUACACAAUUUAUUUAGAGUAUGAAUUUAUUUUUGUUGGCUUCGACAACCAUCGGUAGUAAAAGAAUUUUACUCCAAUUUGGUAAGCCCUGGUCAGCACAACAUUUGGGUAAGAAACUCACUUGUUCCAUUAGACUCUCGAGUUAUAAAUGUUUUUUAUAAUUUACCUGCUGAAAUUAAUUGUGAGUAUGCCAAGUUGCUUGACAAAUUGACCCCGCAACAAUGGAACACGAUUUUCACGACACUUACAGUAGAGGGUGCAUCGUGGGCUAAUGAGGACGGGCGUGUAAUUAACAGGAUAGAUUUAAAACUCAUUGCUAAGGUGUGGGUGAAAUUUCUGAAAUCUAGGCUUAUGCCAACCACCCACACCACUACUGUUUCACAGGAAAGGUUGGUGUUGUUAGAUGCUAUUGUUAGAGGGCUUCCCAUAGAUGUGGGAAGUAUUAUCGAAAAAGAAAUUCGAGUUUGUACCAUGAAAAACCACAAGGCUGCUGCCUUGUUAUUUCCUUCACUCAUAACCAGCAUAUGUAUAGUAUCAGGUGUUCAUCUUGAUGCAAAGGAUGAAAUUUGUAAUUAUAUUAUGGCUCCAUUUGGUAUGACUUUUUAAUUCGAACUUAUUUAAGGAGAAUUUUUAUUAGUAGAGUUUUUUAUAAAUAGAGAUUUUACUAAAAAAAUAAUUAUAAUUAUUUAGUUGUCAAUGUCGAAAUUGAUGAACUAUUGUUCUUUUUGUUAACAUGUGUUUGUUUUACUUAAUAAUAAAAGUUAAGUUCACAAUUACACCGGUGUCAAAUCAGCAGAGCAUUUUUGCAGCCAGUCACAUUAUACAUUUUUGCAACUUGCAAUGCAAGCGACGAGAGAAAAUGAGAAUCUUGUUUAAUUGUCAAUAAUGACAAACCUAAUCGUUUCAUUAGGUGUAAUUUCAUAAUCGUUUGUUAUAAUUGAAUCUGUAUAAAGAAAGGAAAAUUAUAUUCGUAGAUUCGACUUAUUUUUUGUUUAAGGUAAUUAAUCAUUCAACCAUCUUCAUUUGCCCCUGGCCACUGCCCUUGUAGAUUAGUUGAAGCGUUAAUUACUUAAUUUAGAUAAUUACAACGUCCUUUUCGCUAAUUAAUUAUGAUUAUAUACGUUUUCAUAUAGCAAGUGGCAUUGUAGAUCUAAAUUAUGUUGCUAUUUCAAUACGUUAAUUAAGUGAUUCUCCUCAUUGUCAUCAAGUGGAAAAUAGCUCAAUUGUUUCCCUGCAUCGAUUUUCAUUGGUAAGUGAUUUCUUAUGAUAUUCGUUUGAGCUUUCCUUAUUAAAAAAGCUUGAGCCUUGAUCACCUAAUACUGAUAUCAAUUUACUUGUGAACGAUUUUGUAAUGAAAUUAGGAGUUAAAUAUAUAAGAUUUUUACCUGAUGAAUUUUGAUUUUUUUUUUAAUUUUUUGAUGUAGUCAAUUUGCGAAUUUUAUAUGUUUCAUAUUCAACGGAAUUUGGGCACGGAAAGUUUGGAUUCUAAUAUUUAUAUAUUUAGCUUUAAUCAGUUUGACUUUAGCAAUCUUUUUCCCUCAUCAUUAAGGGAUUCAGAAUUAGAGAAACGCUAGGAAGAGGAAGAAAAUAACUUUGGAAAUAAGUAAGGGGGAAAAAUUAUGAAAUUUUGAAUUAUUUUUUGUAAAAUAUGUUGCGUUUACUAAACUUGAAUUAGAAUGAGCUGAAAUUAGAAUGAUUAGGAAUGCAAAUGUGCUGAAAUCGGAAUAGGUAAUGAGAAUAAGAAUAAGUUGUUUACUUGAACUGUAAAAAUCAAAAUCGAAAUGAGCUGAAUUGCAAUUACUUUAUCUUGGAAGCGGAAUUGGAAUCGGAAUGAGUUAGAUUGUAACAAAUUACUAAAAAGUACUUAAUGAAUUAUUGUCAUAAUUAUUAUUUUAUAUUUUAAUUAUAGUGAUUAUUUAUUCAAAAAUUAUUAUUAUUAAUUAUUUUCAAUAAUAUAUUAAUAUGUUAAUUAAUUUUAAAAAUUAUUAAUUAAUUUAUUAUAAUAAUAUACUAAUUAAUUAUAAUAAUUAUAAAAAUAUAUUAAUAAUAAAAUUACUAAUUUAAUUAUAAUAAUAUAUGAAUUAAUUAUAAUAAUUACUAAAUUAAUUAUAAUAAUUAUAUUAGUAAUUAUUAUAAUAGUAUAUUAAUUAAUUAUAAUAAUAAAAAUAUAUUAAUUAUGUGAUUAUUUAUUCAAAAAUUAUAAUUAUUAAUAAUUAUUGUUAAUAAUGUAUCAAUAUACUAAUUACAUAUAAUAAUUAUUAUAAAAAUAUAUUAAUUAUUAAUAAUAAAAUUACUAAUUUAAUAAUAAUAAUAAUAAUAUAUUAAUUAUGUGAUUAUUUAUUCAAAAAUUAUAAUUAUUAAUAAUUAUUGUUAAUAAUGUAUCAAUAUAUUACUUAAUUAUAAUAAUAUAUUAAUUAAGUAUAAAUGAGGACAAAGGGGGUAUUUUUAAUUUCACGUAGGGGCAAAAUGGUCAAUUCUAGUAAUGGGAGACUCACUCCCACCCUCUCCCUUGGGAAUGAGUCUCCCAUUCCUCAUUCCCAAAUUGUGGUGGGCCCCAUGAUUUUGACUCUGAUUUUUGACUCAAUUUUGCGAAGUAAACGCUACUAAUGAUUCUGAUUUUGGAUUCUGAUUCACUUAUCCGAGAAGUAAAAGCAACAUAAAUGUGUAUGAAUAAUUGAUACCUAUGAAUAGUUUUGGGAGUUUUAGUUAGGAGUCAUUUAUUGAAGAUGUUUAGCAAUUAAAGAUCUCUGACUCAGUAGUUUUCCCAAUCAAAAUCAAGAAGCAAAACAACUUGCCAUUUUUCUACUUGAUAAUUAAUUGAAAUUUAAGAAAAUACAAUGGCAUUUCAAUUAGAAAUGGUAAUUGUUUAUCUUUUUUCAUUGAUCAAAUUCUAAUCGUGAUCCAAUAGUUAUGGAUGAAGGAAAUAUUAUGAGAGGCGAUAGGCCAAGUGAAGACGUACCAGCAAAUUCAAAAUAGUCGGGAGGUGGACGUCCAGCAUAUCUCCUUCUCUCUGUAGCACCCAGAUGUAUUGUUAUUUGCUCCAAGAAAUGUUAAAAGGAUUGGCCCUAUCUCAAUGUGGUUAGUGGUGAAAAAUUAAACACCAUGGAAGGAUUUGCAAGGAAUAUGCCAAGAAACUGGCUAAGUUCCACAAAUAUGGCAUUAUUGCUCUUUUUUUUUAAAGAAAAAUUAUACACGUUAAUUUAGCAAAAAGUCUAAGACACAUGCCUUUUGAAAAGAAUAGCUAUUACCAUGACACAAUCGAUGCGGCUGAAACCAAAAUUUUCUUUUCUUAAUGUAAAGAUUUUUUUUAAAUAGAUUUUAAUAUUAAAAUGCCCUUCGAUGUUAUUACUGUCACAAGCCCUGUAACAGGAGUAAUAAAAAUUUUUAGAAUUUGUUGGGCAUGAAAAAAGUAGUAUUAAACAUCAGCAAGCAAAGGUUGUUCUGUUAAAGAAUUGAUAUUGACGUGAUUUUAUUUUGGUUAUCGAGAAAAAAAAAUAUAUUUGUUGAUAAGUAAGAAAAUAUUAUUAUAUUUUACAAUCUAUUAUACAUAUUUUAUUAUAUUAAAUAACACUAAAUAGAAACAUAAAAUUAGAAUAAAAUAAAUUAAAAUUAAAAUUAUUUUGAAUAUUAUGUAAAAAAUAAUGUUAAUAUCAUUGUUACUUGUAAAAUAUAUUUAGCCCAAAGAUUUAUUUAAAAUUUUAUAAUAAAUAAAAAUAUAAAAAUAAAUUAAAUAUCAUAGUUUAAAAUCUUAAUAUUAUUUUAAAUAUUAAAAAUACUUUAAUGUUAUUAAUCUACUACACAUGUUAUAUUAUUUAUAUUAUAGUUGUAUUAAUUAAAAAUUUUAAAGUCAACUUUCUAGUAACUAUAUUCAAAGGUAUUAUGGUUAAAUAAAGGUCUUAGUGUUUCUUUUCAAAAUUUGAGGGUCUACAUGAUAAUUUUUCCAAAUCCUAAGGUAUAGGUGUCCUUUUUAUCAAUAAUUUAUUUCACUUUUGAGAGAAUAUGAUGAGAAAUAAGAUCAGAGAAAUGUCAAUUUAAUGUUAUCUAGCUUAAUGAUAAAAAAAUGGAAACCAAGAACUAUUCAAUUUUGUAUUUUUUGUUUGUAAUUCAAAAAAUCCAUCCACCAAACAAGUUUCACGCAUUUAUGUUAUCAUAAAACAAAAAAAAAAACAGUUUGUGAAAAAAUGGCACCAAACAUACACUUAAUGUCCCACAUGAUUUCUUAUGAAGCCCAUAUUAGAUAUAUUUAUACAUUUUACUGCAUUUAGGACAUGUUUGAUAGCCUGCAUUAUAUAGGAUAAAAACACAAUUUUGUAUUAAAUUAAUGCACACUCACGUUUGGCGCUAAAAGUAACUCCAGCCACAUUGCAUUAAUGGACUGCUAAUGCGGCAAUUGCCGCACUAGCUUGCCUCUUUUUCUUUUUAAUUUUAUUUAUAAUAAUAAUAAUUACAUAAUAUAACUUUUUAUUUUAAUAUAAUAUUAUAUAAUAUUAAGUAUAAUUUUUUUUACAUUAUAAUUAUUGAUAUAAAUUAAUAAAUUAAUUAUUUAUUAUUCAAUAAUAUUAUAUUAUAUAUUUUUUUUAUUUUUACAUUAUAAUUUAUUAGUAAAUUUAUAAUUUAAUAUAAUUAAUAAUAAUAGAAAAUAUCAUUACAUGUACUACAAAACUCUUACUUGGAUUAUUUAACACAAUUUAUUUUAUUCGUGAAUAUGUUAUAACAAUUGUAUCACUUUAUUAUUUUGUUAUUAUUUUGUGGUAUGUAUAAAUUUUUGUUCUAUUAUCCUAAGAUGACUUUUGAACUAAUCUUAUAAGUUUUAACUAUUUAUUUAUGUUGUUAUAUUAUUAGAGAUUAUUUGCUUCGAUCUUUAUUUUACAGGUCAUAUAUUUAGAAAUUACUGAAAAAUAAAUGUUAUACUUCCCAAAAUUUAAGGCUAGAAGCUCGAUCUUUAUGAAGAAUUUUGAUAUUUUUUAACAUUUACACUAAAAAAAAUUGUUAAAUUUCUAAAAUUUAAGACUUCUAUAUUUAAUAUUUUUCUAAUUACUAAUAAGUAUUAUUUUCUAAAUAUAUAAUUUAAAUUAAUCACAAAAAAUUAAUAUAGUACAGUGCAAUAUCAAAUAUAGUAUAAUUAAAAAUUAUACAGUGCAAUAUAGCACCAAAUAUUGUACACUAUUAUUAUAAUAUAGUACUAAUGCAAUACAAUAUAAUACAAUAUAGUGUGCCAAACGCACCCUCAGAAUGUGUUUGGAACAUGGGAUUAUAGGGUAUUAAAACACUGUUCACAUUAGCUUAAUACCAAUCUCAUGUUUGGAAAGAAAUUUUAAGGGAUUAAAGGGGGGUGAGCUAAUGUCAUAACUGCGUCAUUAGUGUCUUGGUUUUUUUUAAAUAAUAAAAAAAAUAUAAAUUCCUAAUUUUAUGUAAAAUUAUAUAAUAUUAAUUUUUAUUUUCUUUGAUCUUUACAUCAUAAUUAUUAAUAUAAGUUAAUAAAUUUAUAAUUUAUUAUUCAUAUUUUAAUUUUUAUUAUAUUAAAAAUAUAACUAAAUAAUUUAAUUUUAAUUCUAUAAUAAUUAAUGUAUAAAAUUGAUUAAUAUUUAAUAAGUCAAUACAACUAGUAAUAAGUGCUUAAAUAAUAUAUAAAAAUAAAAAUAUAACAUAAUAUUACAUUAUUUAAUUAUAUUACAAUAACUAAUAUAUAAAAAUUGAUUAUUAUUUAACAAUUUAAUAUAGCUAAUAAUAGAUACUUAAAUAAUAAUUUAAUAUAACUAAUAAUGAAUAUUUAUAUAUGAAUAUAUUUAAAUAAUAUUAAUUUAAAAUUAAUACCAAUAUAUAUAAUAAUAUAAAAUAUUAUUACAUGUACUGUAGUAUUCUUACUUGGAUUAUUUAGCGCAAUUUAUUUUAUUAGUGAAUAUGUUACAAUUAUUGUAUCACUUUAUUAUUUAAAUUAAUCAAAAAAAUUAAUACAGUACAAGAUAGCACUAAACAUUAUAUAACAUUAUUAAAAUACAGUGUUAAUGCAAUAUAAUGUAAUACAAUACAUCUAUAUUAAAAUAAUAUAAUAUAAUAUAAUUUAAUAUAAUACAAUAUGUCAAAUGCACCCCGUGUAUUUUAAUUUCAAAAGAAGUUGGUCCUUCCUUUAUUUAUAAAAGAUAACUUUAUUUUCAGAUUACCACUAAUUACGAUUAUUUGGUAGACUAUAGACCUAAAAGACAUGUUAGAUUAUAAAACAGUGCGAUUAAAAAAAAAAGAGUAUUUGUGACGUCAAAUAACAAUUGGUAACUAAAAUCCAAAAUAUUUCAGUUGUUAAAAGCAAAUAAAAAAAAGAAGGUAACAGUGAUGCAGAAACACAAUAUUAGCUUAUCUUGAUUUUCCCACUUUAUUCAUUCUCAAUGCUUUUCAAAAGAAAUUCUUCUAAUCCUUCUGGUGUCUGCAGCCCCUUAUCACGGGACGAGAGGUUUUGAGCCCGCGUGGCACUCUCGCAUCCCAUACUACGAGAGUAAACCUAGUGGAAGUGGCACAAUAUCGACUGGUUUCACCCUGCCUUGGGCUCAUCAGGAGAACGGCUCCAGUUCCCAACCAGUGUGUGUAGGGCUUCGCUUAGACUCCUCUUCAACGUUAAAUCCUCGACUAGCAACAAGCUCCCCAAAGUCAACUGGGUUGGCCUGCCUGAACUCCAAGAAAUCUAGGAUCAUUGUAUUCCCCACACGCACGCCCCUGAAGCACGUCUCCUGCAAUCAGCACAACUAUUAUCGAUACUAGUGUACAAGCGCAUAUCUUCGGCAUCACAAUUGCAGUCCGUGACACCCUGCUCUUCUUAUAAAACUCCACCCCAAAUCUAUACUACAAACAAGUGGAUUGAAAUUAAAAAAUUGCUUUUUGAAGUGGACCCAUUGAGUCGUGGUCAUUACUCGUCAUUGUCUAUUUUUUCUAUGAGCCAUUUAUUUUGAGCAAUAGUGAGCUUCUCUGAACUACUCCAAUUAUUGAUGUAACUCCAGUGGCUGCAUCCAUAGUUGAAUAUAUGAUAGUAUUAGCUCUUAUUUGAGAAUAUAGGGGGAUCUUUCUUUGUUUCUUUGUUGCAAUGUUCUAGUAUAUAGUCUUGCUGUUAAUGAAUUCACUGAGGCAUUAUUAAUUCAAUUUCAGUGAAGUAAUUAUGGAUGAAAAAUAAAUAAAGGAUAACAGAAUAGAGCUGAAGUGCUGAAUCGGCUAUUAAAGAAAGUGUCACGCGAUCACAAUCACACUGAUGCACAACUCUCUCGAGGCAAAUUUUGUCUAUAUGUACUCCAAAUUCAGCCAAACCAUACAUGCCUCAACAAAAUUAAACCGUAGUUCUCAUCACUACAGUAAUUGAAGCCCACAAAGACAGCUGAAAUGGAAACUUAAAACGAAGAUCUUAUUCGAGUUUGUCCCCAAAAGACAGCUGAAAUGGAAAAUAUUGACUAUUGAAUGGAUCAAUGCUGAAUUACAUUUGAAAUGGGAAGCUUGGCUGCGGUUACGAUGUUUCCCCCUCUGAUUUUUCUCCAAAACAAAUUCCGUUGUAAAUAAUAUUCAAUGUAGCAACAAUUUAUUCAGCAAAGAAAAUACCUAAUUUUUCAACUAACAAAUUCUCUUGUCUAAACUAAAAAAACUCACAUCUCUCCAAUCUAUCUACAAAUUUGGAGAUGAGAGGUGAUUUGUCAACUCGGUAAAUAAAUUCAUGCAUAAUGUUACCAAUAAUUAUAAAUUACAUAAUAAUUCUUAUAAGAAUCAUAAUAAAGGAACCUUAACCAUUUUACAAUCUAUUACAUAAGUAAGAUUAAUCUUAUAAUAAGUUAACUUAUAACUUAAUAAAUAUUUUCAAUUCAUAAUUAUUUAAGAAGUCACUUAACAAUAAAAUAUUUUUUUAUUUAAUUGAUCAUGUCAUAUAACGUUAUCUAAACUCCCGACGAUAUUAUUAUUACUCACUUUUCUCAAAAAAACAUGACUAACGUUUAGAGAAAAGUCAUGUCUUUUAGAUUGAUAGAAUACGAUUACAAACUAUCCAUACUUUAUCGUAGGCUAUAGAAACCCUUACCCAAGCAUGACAGUCAAAAUAGAACUUGACACGGUUAUUAUUGUAAGUAUCUGCAGCAAAAGCAGUCUUAUCGAAGCCACUGCUGUCGAGAAUUGCAACCACUGAAAGCCCAGAUGGUCCCUCAAUCAAUAGAUCAAAAAACUUCUCUCUGCCCCUUUCAAAUUCACUGAUAUCGAGCCGAGGUUGUCCCUCACUCAAUAGGCGUAUGAUUUCGUUCCUUUUUUCACUGAUAUCAAAACCAUUGUCGCCGGGUGGAAGUUGUUGCAUCCGAUUUCUAAUAUCAAUGAUUUUAGUGUGGAGUCCAACAAGAAGAGCCAUAUCAGUACUGCUUUCACUUUCGUUUUCACUGUUUUGCUGCUGCAUGAUUUUGAUGAAGAAUGUGUCAAUGGCUUCCUCAGAUUCAUGGACAAAGUCAUUGAUGUCCUCCAGAAUUUCAAAAAUAUCUGCUGUUUCAACGUCUUCUUCAUCGCUUUCUUCUAAGUCCAACAGUUGCAAAAAAGGCAAUGAUAUUUUGGAGUCAUCUAAUUCUUCUCUAAGGAGUUGAAACAAAUGCCGAGCCAUGUCAGCUUCAUAGUUUCCCAGCAGAGUAGUAGCAAUAAUUUCGGACUCCGUAAGAAGGUUUUGAAAACGUGGAGUUAAAUUUGUUGAAUCUGGCAAAGUUAACGUGCCUUCUUCACCUGCUAACACCCUUUUCAACCUCUCACAAAACAGUCGGAGGUGGAAUUCCAGCAUAUCUCCUUCUCUCCGUAGCACUCAGAGGUAUAGCUGAAAGAUUAAACACCAUGGAAGAAUUUGAAAGGAAAAUGCCAAGAAAUUGUGUAAGUGGCUAAAUUCCACAAAUAUGACAUUAUUGCUCAUUUUUUAACUCAAAAAAAGGGUACGCGUUCAUUUAGAGAAAAGUCCAAGACGCGUGCUUUUUGAAAAGAACAGGUAUCCCAAUCGGUAUCCAACCUUUAUCUUAUUUAAUUACUACCAUGACAUAAUUGAUGGUGCUUAAAUCAAUUGUUUCUUUUUUAAUUUAAAGAAUUUUUCAUUAAAAAAAUAUUUUAAUAUCAAAUUGCCUUCAGUGGCGUAACAACUGCCUGAAGCCCAGUAACAGGACUAAUUAAAAAUUUUACAAUUUUUGGGCAUGGAAAUAGUAGUAUUAAACAUUAGAAAGGUGAGGUUGUUCUGUUAAAGAAUUGAUAUUGACAUAAUUUUAUUUUGGUUUUCGUGGAAAACAAAAAUAUUUGUUGACAAGCAAGAAAAUAUUUUUAUUUUUUAAAAUUUAUUAUGCAUAUUUUAUCAUAUUGAAGUAAUUUUAAUAAUAAAUAGAAACAUAAUAUUACAAUAAAUAAAUUAAAAUUUAACUUAUUUUGAAUAUUAUAAAAAAUAAUUUUAAUAUUAUUAAUAGGAAGACAUUGUAUUAAUUUUAAAAUUUUUUAACCCAAAGGUUUAUUUAAAAUCUUUAUUAUAAAUACAAAUAUAAAAUUAAAUAUCAUAAUUUAAAAUUUUUAAUAUUAUUUUAAGUAUUAAAAAUAUUUUAAUGUUAUUAGUCUACUACAUAGAUCAUAUUACUUAUAUAAUAUUUGUAUUAUUAAAAAUUUUUAAAAUCAAAUUUUUAGUUAGUAUAUUCAUGAGGUAUUAUGGUUACAAAAAAAAGACCUUAUUAUUACUUUUUAAAAAAUUGAGGGUCUGCGAUGAUAAUUUUUUCAAAAAGAAAAUACAUGGUAUGUAGGAGGGGUAGAGAAACAGGACUUCCAAAAUCUCUCACCCUUCUUUAAUUAAAAAAAAAAUUAAAAUAUUAAUAAAAAAUAAUAAAGAAAAUAGAAUUUUAUCUGCUCCUUACUCCAUUUUUGCAACUCUCUCAACAUCUCUGUCGAGCAGCCUUCUCUCUCAUUGUCUCUCACUAUUUCACGAUCUCUCUCUCACUCACACAGGCAAUGACCAUCUCAUCAUCGGCGGUCGUGUCGUCAGUGUCACUGGUCUUGCUCGACCGAGACAGUGAGAGAGAGGUUUGUUAGAUGGAGUGAUGAUAAAGGAUUCUAUUUUUUUUAUUAAUAUUUUAAUUUUUAAAAUUAAAAUGUGCUGCCGUUUCUCUUGUCUUUUUAGCUGUUUAGCAGCACUCUUUUCAAAAUUUAAGAAUGUAGGUGUCCUAUAAGAGAUCGAUAAAAGAACGUCAAUUAAAUUUAUAAAAAUAUGAUAAAAGAACGUCAAUUACUUGUCUUUUAGGGAAUCCAAUGAGAAAUAUGAUAAAAGAACGUCAAUUACUUGUCAUUUUCAAUUUUUUUCUGUAAGCUAUUUAUUUUGAGCAUUAGUGCUCUUGUCUGGACUACUCCAAUUAUUGACGUAACUCCAGUGGCUGCAAUUAAUGAUAUAAAGCUGAGACUUUUGACCAAGUUAUCUAGUUGGGAAAGCAAAUUUUUUUCCAGUGGGGGCAAAGAAGUGUUGAUUAAAACUGUUGCUCAGGCUGUGCCAGUCUAUGCAAUGAGUGUUUUUAAGAUCCCUCAUAGCUUUUGUGAUGACAUUGAGAAGGCUAUUGCUCGUUUCUGGUGGGGUUCCUCUGAAACAAAAAGAAGCAUUCACUGGACAAGGUGGGAACGGUUGUGCCACGCCAAGAUAAGGGGGGGAUUGGGUUUUAGAGAUUUCUCUAGUUUUAACCAAGCCUUAAUUGCUAAGCAGGGGUGGAGAAUUCUGCAGCACCCUGACUCUUUAAUGGCAAAGAUUCUGAAAGCAAAAUAUUUUAAGCAUACUGGUUUUAUGGAUGCGAAAUUGGGUUCACACCCCUCUUUUGUUUGGAGAAGUAUAUUAUGGGGUAGGCAAGUGCUCCAUAACGGCCUAAGAUGGAGAAUCGGCUGUGGGAGUCAGGUUUUAAUUUCCAGUAGCAAUUGGAUAAAAAACCAUAAGCUUCACAGUUUGGUUCCAUAUUCAAAUCUACCUCCUGAAACUGUAGUUGUUGACCUUAUUGAUGAAAGUCACCAAUGGAAAGAAGAUAUGGUUUUCCAACAUUUUCCAAUGGAUGUUGCAAAGAGGAUCACAAGAACCCCUCUCCCAAAAACUCCCCAGCAGGAUCUUCUCAUUUGGAAAUAUGAUAAGCACAGAAUUUACUCGGUGAAGAGUGGGUAUCAAUUGGCUGUUAAGCAAAAAUUCCAAAAUUAUCCAAGUUGUUCAGAUGUUACCAAGUCAAGGUGGGAGGUGAUAUGGGCUACGGAUCUUCUAGGAAAAGUCAAGAUUUUUAUUUGGAGGGCUGCUCAAAAUCUUCUCCCUACAGUUGGAAAUCUAUGGAGGAGGAGGGUGGUGAAGGAUUAUUUUUGCCAAAGAUGUAAUUGCAGAGGAGAGGAUGUCUUCCAUGCUUUAAUAGAGUGCAGGGCAGCUAAAAGGGUUUGGAAGUUGACUGAAUUUUAUGAGGAUGUAAAGCAAUUAGCUCGGCAAGACAUGUUGAGUGUGCUGCAGGAUUUAGCUGUGAAGAGAAAAAAGAAUGAGCUGGAGCUUGUUGUUGCGGUGUGCUGGGCCAUCUGGUACUCUAGGAAUCGUUUGGUGUUUGAAGGAAAGGAAGAAGAUCCAAAAACUUCAGUGGCCAGAGCAAUUGCUAUGGUGGAAUCAUACAGGCGAAUAAAAGUUCCAAAUGAACAAAAUUCUCCAGGCCAUAGCAGAAUCAGUCAACUAGAAUGGGCAAAUCCUCCAAAGGGGUGUUAUAAAGUCAACGUUGAUGCUGCAAUUAAUGUUUCAAACCAAAAGGCAGGGUUGGGUGUAGUGUUUAAGAGUGACUAACUAUCCCAAUCAACUCAAAACACUUCCCAAGAUCACACCCAAACAAACAAGAUGUACCAAGAAUCAAUCCAGUAGAAUACACACAGAUUAUUAGAACUGAAAGAAUUAAAGAAAAGGACAAGAAUUAACGUGGUUCAGCUAGCUUCAGUCUAGCUUACAUCCACGGGAGAAACAGAACCCAAUUGUAUUGAUUGUUUAAAGGAGUUACAGAGAGUUCAUCAAGCUUGUUACAGAGUCUCUCAAGAAGCCUUUUGUUAUUAAUCUUCUCAACUCACAAUAGCUCUCUCUUCUUUUUUCUCAGUUGCCAGAAUCAGCUGUAUAUAACAGCUUGUUAACGAAUCAGCAACCAACCCAGAAACCCACGUGACAGUCAUGUGAGUUAACUGAUUCUAACGAACCAAGAACGCAACUUAUCCAUGCACGUGAAACUCUCGUGCAUCACUUAACCAAAACGACCUUCAUACAUGUCGUUCCAGGAGAUACGAGUUUGACUUUCCAAAACGCAGCAUCAGCUGACGUUUUCACAAACAGAUUUGCUUCACAUCACAACAAUUCUCCACCUUGAACAAAUCACUCUCUGAUCCUGAUUUCUCCAACCUGAGUAUUUAGAAUUCACUCAGCCCAGCUUUGUCCAAGCCGCUCUUGAACUUAGCUGUAGUUACAACCUUAGUAAGCAUGUCAGCAGGAUUAUCAUCUGUAUGCACUUUCACCAUGCUAAUCACACCUUUAGAGAUCACAUUUCUGAUAAAAUGUAACUUGAUAUCUAUGUGUUUAGUUUUUUCAUGGUGAGCUGGGUUCUUACUCAAGUAAAUUGCACUUGAGCUGUCACAAUGAACUUCCACAGUCUCCUGCUUCAUCCCCAGUUCUGUUAUCAACCCUCUCAGCCACAGAGCUUCCUUGACAGCUUCUGUUGCAGCAGUAUAUUCAGCCUCUGUUGUUGACAAAGCUACAACAUGCUGCAAUCUUGCCUUCCAGUUAACAAGGCAACCAUCCAAGAAAAACAUAUAGCCAGUUAAAGAUCUCCUUCUGUCUAAGUCCCCAGCAUAGUCUGAGUCAACAUAACCACAGAGACCUGCAAUCUUUCCAGCUGAUUUUCCAUAUACCAACCCAUACUGUUGUGUACCUUUCAGAUACCUCAGCACCCAUUUAACAGCCUUCCAGUGCUCCUUUCCAGGUGUAGCCAUAAACCUACUUACAACACUUAAAGCAUGAGCUAAGUCUGGUCUUGUAAGUACCAUUGCAUACAUCAUGCAACCAACAGCAUUUGCAUAAGGAACCUUUGUCAUUUCAUUCCUCUCUUCAUCUGUACUGGGGCAUUGUGAACAUGACAGCUUGAAGUGAGAUGCAAGAGGGGUUACUACUGACUUGCUGUUUGACAUCCCAAAAGUUCCCAGUACCUUCUCUAGAUACUUCCCUUGAGACAGAAUCAUAGUACCCUUCUUCCUGUUCCUUAUUAUUUCCAUACCCAAAAUCUUCCUAGCUGGACCCAAGUCUUUCAUAUCAAAUUCUGAAUUGAGCAGUUGCUUCAAAGCCUCAAUCUCUUCCCUUUCAUUACAAGCAAUCAACAUAUCAUCUACAUAUAACAGCAGAUAUAUGUAGUUGCCUGAUUGUAUGAUCUUGUAGUAAACACAUACAUCAUAGCUGCACCUUAGAUACCCAUGAGUGACCAUAAACUCAUCAAAUCUAAGGUACCACUGUCUGGGUGAUUGUUUCAGCCCAUACAGUGACCUCUUCAGCAGACACACACAGUCAGCAGAUUCAGGACUUGUGUACCCUUCAGGCUGUGUCAUCAAGAUGUCCUCAUUUAAUCUUCCAUGUAGAAAGGCUGUCUUGACAUUGAGUUGAUCAAGCUCCAUGUCUUUUACAGCUGUUAAAGCCAGUAGCACUCUGAUUGAUGUGUGUCUGACUACUGGUGAGAACACCUCUUUGAAAUCCACUCCAGCCCUCUGUGUGUAACCCUUGGCCACUAACCUAGCUUUGAAUCUUCUAGGUUCAGUAGCUGUUAGUCCAUCUUUGACUUUGUAGAUCCAUUUACAUCCUACUGUUCUGCUGUUGGCAGGUCUUUUAAUCAGCUCCCAUGUAUUGUUCUUCUUCAGUGAAUAGAUUUCCUCAUCCAUGGCCUUUUUCCACUCAUCUUUGUAUGGUCCCUGGAUAGCCUCUUUGUAGUUCUUGGGUUUAUCAUCAUCAAUUUGAUGAGAUGCUGUUAAUGCAUAGGCUAUCAGAUCUGCAUAUCCAUAUCUGACAGGUGCUUUUGCUUUCCUUCUUUCUCUGUCUCUUGUCAGCUGGUACUCCUGAUGCUGAGCUUCAGUCUGCUUUACAUGAUCAGUUUCUAGAUCAGUAGCUCCUUGAUAAGAGUCAUCUUCAUCUUCUGAAGCUUCUCUAGUGUAGGGCUCCACCUCAAACUGAAUCUUGGUUCUCUCCUUCUCCUUUGGUGUAUCUGUGUCAGUAGGUUUCUUCAUUUCCAGUGCAGCUUUCUCAUUGAAUAUUACAUCUCUACUGAUUAUGCACUUGGGGGGAUUAAGGUCUGUACACCACAGUUUGAAGCCUUUAACACCUUCAGGAUACCCAAUGAACUUUCCUUUAAGGGUUCUUGGAGCUAACUUCCCUUGGCUCACAUGUGCAUAAGCUGGACAUCCAAAUACUUUGAGGCUGCCAUAGUCUGCUGGUUUUCCAUGCCAUUUCUCAAAUGGGGUUUUGAAGUCAAGUGCUGCAGAGGGACUUAGAUUUACCAGAUAGCUUGCUGUUAACAGAGUCUCAGCCCACAAUCCUUUUGGAAGUUGUGACUGGAUCAUCAUGCUUCUUACUCUGUCCAUCAGGGUUCUGUUCAUUCUUUCGGCUAACCCAUUUUGUUGAGGAGUCAGCCUUACAGUUCUAUGCCUUGCAAUGCCAUGAUCUGCACAGUAGCUAUCAAACUCCUGAUUGCAAAACUCAAGACCAUUGUCUGUUCUGAGUUUCUUUACCUUCAAUCCAGUUUGAUUUUCAACCAGGGAUUUCCACUCUCUGAAUUUUCCAAAUACCUGAUCCUUGUGCUUUAAGACAUAAACCCAUACUCUCCUUGAAUAAUCAUCUAUUAAAGACAAGAAAUAGGUGUUGCCACCUAGUGACAUUGUCUGUGCUGGUCCCCAUAAAUCUGAGUGUAUGUAUUCAAGGAUGCCUUUUGUUGAAUGAACUGAUUUUCCAAAGCUACUUCUUGUAGCUUUGCCUAGUACACAGUCUUCACAAAAAUUCAGUUCUGAGAUUUGACUGCUGCCUAGAACCCCUUGCUUCUGUAAUUCUUUCAGACCUCUCAAGCUCAUAUGUCCUAAUCUAAGGUGCCACAGCAGAGUGUUAUCACAGCUUGAACUGAUUAACACUCCUGACACACCAGUUAUAGCUUCCCCAUUCAAAACAUAAACCCCAUUUCUCUUGUAACCUUUCAUAACUAUCCCAUCUUCAUUUGAAAUUCUCAGCUCACCAGAUUCAAGCUUAAUGCUAAGCCCCAUUUGGUCAAGCAUACCUAGAGAUAUUAAGUUCCUUUUAAGUUCAGGAACAUACCUAACUUCCCUUAAUUCUCUUAUUGUUCCAUCAUGCAAUUUUAGGUUUAUAUUUCCUAUCCCCGCAAUUUUACAAACAGCAUUGUUACCCAUCAUAACUUUUCCUCCAUCAGUUUCAUGAUAGUUUAAUAGGUAAUCUUUAAAGGGGCACAUAUGAAAUGUACAACCUGAGUCUAGAAUCCAGGUACCUUUUUGCACAUGCUCUGUAGCCACACAUACUCCUGCUGACUCAUACCCCUCUUCCUCAGCAGUAGCAGCAGCUCCAUUUUGUUCCCUUUUCUUGUUCUUGAGUUCUGGGCAAUCUCUCUUGAAAUGCCCUUCUUUCUGGCACUGAAAACAUUUCUUGCCUUUAGUCUUUUGUUUGUUGUUCCCUUGCUUCUUUUUCUUUCCAUCAUACUUAUCAGUUCUUGCUUUUACUGCCAAUACUUCUCCAGAGUUCAUAUUCCCUGACUUUUCUUGCAGCCCUCUAGUAUUCAGGGCAGCCUUAACUUCAUCCAAUGAUAAAGUCUGUCUCCCAUACAUGAGUGCAUCCACAAAGUUUGAAUAUGAGGAUGGAAGUGAACUAACCAGAAGCAAUGCUUUACCUUCAUCAUCUAAACCUUCAUCAAUUAUUUCCAAUGUAUCACAGACCUGAUUGAAUUCAUCAAUGUGGUCUUCGAGAGAUGACCCUUCAGCCAUCUUUAGUGUGAACAUUCUUUUCUUGAUGUAAAGUCUGUUGGCUAAUGAUUUAGUCAUAUACACCCUUUCAAGCUUUGCCCACAGAUCAGCCACUGUUCUUUCUCUUGCAACUUCCCUGAUCACCGAGUCUCCAAGACUCAAGAUUAUGGUACUCCUUGCCUUUUUGUCAAUCUCAGCAGCUUGUUGUGGUGUUAGUGAUGAUGAAGAUGUGGAGGCUUCUAAUCCUUCUUUCUUGAUGAUAGGUUCUAAGGCAUCACCUAGCCCUUGAGUGAUCAGUAAUGCCUCCAUUUUAACCUUCCACAUGUUGAAGUCAUUCUUCCCUGUAAACUUCUCUAGAUCGAUCUUUGAACCAACCAUACUUGUGUCUGAUUUGUAAUCCAAGCUCUGAUACCAAUUGUAGUGUUUAAGAGUGACUAACUAUCCCAAUCAACUCAAAACACUUCCCAAGAUCACACCCAAACAAACAAGAUGUACCAAGAAUCAAUCCAGUAGAAUACACACAGAUUAUUAGAACUGAAAGAAUUAAAGAAAAGGACAAGAAUUAACGUGGUUCAGCUAGCUUCAGUCUAGCUUACAUCCACGGGAGAAACAGAACCCAAUUGUAUUGAUUGUUUAAAGGAGUUACAGAGAGUUCAUCAAGCUUGUUACAGAGUCUCUCAAGAAGCCUUUUGUUAUUAAUCUUCUCAACUCACAAUAGCUCUCUCUUCUUUUUUCUCAGUUGCCAGAAUCAGCUGUAUAUAACAGCUUGUUAACGAAUCAGCAACCAACCCAGAAACCCACGUGACAGUCAUGUGAGUUAACUGAUUCUAACGAACCAAGAACGCAACUUAUCCAUGCACGUGAAACUCUCGUGCAUCACUUAACCAAAACGACCUUCAUACAUGUCGUUCCAGGAGAUACGAGUUUGACUUUCCAAAACGCAGCAUCAGCUGACGUUUUCACAAACAGAUUUGCUUCACAUCACAACAUUGGGGGUAGUCAUUAGAAACUCUGUGGGUAAGGUUGUUGCUGCAGCAGUCCAAAGAGCUCCAUAUAGGGGAGAUGUGGCGUGUAUGGAGGUUGAAGCUGUUCUGUUUGGUAUUCAGAGUGCCCAACAAGCAGCUGUUUUCCCAAUAAUUAUUGAGUCGGAUUCAAAGGAAGUGGUGGAUCUAUCCUUAAAGAAAAAGAUCAGCAAGACUGAAAUUGAGUGGAAAAUUGCAGAAAUCCAAGCAAAUCUGGAAAAUCAGAAUGUGUCCUCGCUGUCAUAUGUCCCUAGAAGCUGUAACUCUAUUGCUCAUUCUAUUGCAAAGAUAGCUCUAGGUUUUGAAAGUCAAGUCUUUUGGCUGGAAAACUUUCCAGAACAUAUCAGGUGUACUCUUGCUAAGUUCAUCAAUUGAAAAGCUUUACUUUGCUCAUCAAAAAAAAAAAAAAAAAAAAACUCCAGUGGCUGCAUCCACUGGAAAAAGUGGAUGAGAACCAUUUUUUUUUCAUAAAGGUAACUACUCACAUAAUUGAUGGUGCUUAAAUCAAUUUUUUUUUUAAUUUAAAGAAUUUUGCUUUAAAAAAUAAUUAAUAUCAAAAUGCCUUCAAUGUUGUUACCCUCACAAGCCCAGUUAGAGGACUCAUUAAAAAUUUUAGAAUUUUCAGGCCUGGAAAGCGUAGUAUUAAACAUCAGAAAGCAAAGGUUUUUAUGUCGAAGAAUUGAUGUCGACAAAAUUUUAUUUUAGUUUUUGGGAAAAAAAAUAUUUUGUUGACAAGCAAGAAAAUAUUUUUUAUACUUUACAAUCUGCCUUCUCUCUCAUUGUCUCUCACUAUUUCACGAUCUCUCUCUCACUCACACAGGCAAUGACCAUCUCAUCAUCGGCGUUCGUGUCGUCAGUGUCACUGGUCUUGCUCGACCGAGACAGUGAGAGAGAGGUUUGUUAGAUGGAGUGAUGAUAAAGGAUUCUAUUUUUUUUAUUAAUAUUUUAAUUUUUAAAAUUAAAAUGUGCUGCCGUUUCUCUUGUCUUUUUAGCUGUUUAGCAGCACUCUUUUCAAAAUUUAAGAAUGUAGGUGUCCUAUAAGAGAUCGAUAAAAGAACGUCAAUUAAAUUUAUAAAAAUAUGAUAAAAGAACGUCAAUUACUUGUCUUUUAGGGAAUCCAAUGAGAAAUAUGAUAAAAGAACGUCAAUUACUUGUCAUUUUCAAUUUUUUUCUGUAAGCUAUUUAUUUUGAGCAUUAGUGCUCUUGUCUGGACUACUCCAAUUAUUGACGUAACUCCAGUGGCUGCAAUUAAUGAUAUAAAGCUGAGACUUUUGACCAAGUUAUCUAGUUGGGAAAGCAAAUUUUUUUCCAGUGGGGGCAAAGAAGUGUUGAUUAAAACUGUUGCUCAGGCUGUGCCAGUCUAUGCAAUGAGUGUUUUUAAGAUCCCUCAUAGCUUUUGUGAUGACAUUGAGAAGGCUAUUGCUCGUUUCUGGUGGGGUUCCUCUGAAACAAAAAGAAGCAUUCACUGGACAAGGUGGGAACGGUUGUGCCACGCCAAGAUAAGGGGGGGAUUGGGUUUUAGAGAUUUCUCUAGUUUUAACCAAGCCUUAAUUGCUAAGCAGGGGUGGAGAAUUCUGCAGCACCCUGACUCUUUAAUGGCAAAGAUUCUGAAAGCAAAAUAUUUUAAGCAUACUGGUUUUAUGGAUGCGAAAUUGGGUUCACACCCCUCUUUUGUUUGGAGAAGUAUAUUAUGGGGUAGGCAAGUGCUCCAUAACGGCCUAAGAUGGAGAAUCGGCUGUGGGAGUCAGGUUUUAAUUUCCAGUAGCAAUUGGAUAAAAAACCAUAAGCUUCACAGUUUGGUUCCAUAUUCAAAUCUACCUCCUGAAACUGUAGUUGUUGACCUUAUUGAUGAAAGUCACCAAUGGAAAGAAGAUAUGGUUUUCCAACAUUUUCCAAUGGAUGUUGCAAAGAGGAUCACAAGAACCCCUCUCCCAAAAACUCCCCAGCAGGAUCUUCUCAUUUGGAAAUAUGAUAAGCACAGAAUUUACUCGGUGAAGAGUGGGUAUCAAUUGGCUGUUAAGCAAAAAUUCCAAAAUUAUCCAAGUUGUUCAGAUGUUACCAAGUCAAGGUGGGAGGUGAUAUGGGCUACGGAUCUUCUAGGAAAAGUCAAGAUUUUUAUUUGGAGGGCUGCUCAAAAUCUUCUCCCUACAGUUGGAAAUCUAUGGAGGAGGAGGGUGGUGAAGGAUUAUUUUUGCCAAAGAUGUAAUUGCAGAGGAGAGGAUGUCUUCCAUGCUUUAAUAGAGUGCAGGGCAGCUAAAAGGGUUUGGAAGUUGACUGAAUUUUAUGAGGAUGUAAAGCAAUUAGCUCGGCAAGACAUGUUGAGUGUGCUGCAGGAUUUAGCUGUGAAGAGAAAAAAGAAUGAGCUGGAGCUUGUUGUUGCGGUGUGCUGGGCCAUUUGGUACUCUAGGAAUCGUUUGGUGUUUGAAGGAAAGGAAGAAGAUCCAAAAACUUCAGUGGCCAGAGCAAUUGCUAUGGUGGAAUCAUACAGGCGAAUAAAAGUUCCAAAUGAACAAAAUUCUCCAGGCCAUAGCAGAAUCAGUCAACUAGAAUGGGCAAAUCCUCCAAAGGGGUGUUAUAAAGUCAACGUUGAUGCUGCAAUUAAUGUUUCAAACCAAAAGGCAGGGUUGGGUGUAGUGUUUAAGAGUGACUAACUAUCCCAAUCAACUCAAAACACUUCCCAAGAUCACACCCAAACAAACAAGAUGUACCAAGAAUCAAUCCAGUAGAAUACACACAGAUUAUUAGAACUGAAAGAAUUAAAGAAAAGGACAAGAAUUAACGUGGUUCAGCUAGCUUCAGUCUAGCUUACAUCCACGGGAGAAACAGAACCCAAUUGUAUUGAUUGUUUAAAGGAGUUACAGAGAGUUCAUCAAGCUUGUUACAGAGUCUCUCAAGAAGCCUUUUGUUAUUAAUCUUCUCAACUCACAAUAGCUCUCUCUUCUUUUUUCUCAGUUGCCAGAAUCAGCUGUAUAUAACAGCUUGUUAACGAAUCAGCAACCAACCCAGAAACCCACGUGACAGUCAUGUGAGUUAACUGAUUCUAACGAACCAAGAACGCAACUUAUCCAUGCACGUGAAACUCUCGUGCAUCACUUAACCAAAACGACCUUCAUACAUGUCGUUCCAGGAGAUACGAGUUUGACUUUCCAAAACGCAGCAUCAGCUGACGUUUUCACAAACAGAUUUCGUUCACAUCACAACAUUGGGGGUAGUCAUUAGAAACUCUGUGGGUAAGGUUGUUGCUGCAGCAGUCCAAGGAGCUCCAUAUAGGGGAGAUGUGGCGUGUAUGGAGGUUGAAGCUGUUCUGUUUGGUAUUCAGAGUGCCCAACAAGCAGCUGUUUUCCCAAUAAUUAUUGAGUCGGAUUCAAAGGAAGUGGUGGAUCUAUCCUUAAAGAAAAAGAUCAGCAAGACUGAAAUUGAGUGGAAAAUUGCAGAAAUCCAAGCAAAUCUGGAAAAUCAGAAUGUGUCCUCGCUGUCAUAUGUCCCUAGAAGCUGUAACUCUAUUGCUCAUUCUAUUGCAAAGAUAGCUCUAGGUUUUGAAAGUCAAGUCUUUUGGCUGGAAAACUUUCCAGAACAUAUCAGGUGUACUCUUGCUAAGUUCAUCAAUUGAAAAGCUUUACUUUGCUCAUCAAAAAAAAAAAAAAAAAAAAAACUCCAGUGGCUGCAUCCACUGGAAAAAGUGGAUGAGAACCAUUUUUUUUUCAUAAAGGUAACUACUCACAUAAUUGAUGGUGCUUAAAUCAAUUUUUUUUUUAAUUUAAAGAAUUUUGCUUUAAAAAAUAAUUAAUAUCAAAAUGCCUUCAAUGUUGUUACCCUCACAAGCCCAGUUAGAGGACUCAUUAAAAAUUUUAGAAUUUUCAGGCCUGGAAAGCGUAGUAUUAAACAUCAGAAAGCAAAGGUUUUUAUGUCGAAGAAUUGAUGUCGACAAAAUUUUAUUUUAGUUUUUGGGAAAAAAAAUAUUUUGUUGACAAGCAAGAAAAUAUUUUUUAUACUUUACAAUCUGCUAUACAUAUUUUAUCAUAUUAAAGUAAUUUUAAUAAUAUAUGGAAACAUAAUAUUUUAAUAAAUAAAUUAAAAUUACUUUGAAUUAUUGAAUAUUACAAAAAGAUAAUUUUAAUAUUAUUAAUAGGAAAACAUUUUUUAAUUGUAAAAUCUUUUUAAUACAAAAAUUCAUUUAAAAUCUUUAUAAUAAAUACAAAUAUAAAAUUAAAAAAUAUUAUAAUUUAAAAUUUUUAAUAGUAUUUAAAUAUUAAAAAUACUUUAAUAUUAUUAAUCUACUACAUCAAAUAUAUUAUUUAUAUUAUAUUCGUAUUGAUUAAAACGUUUUAAAGUCAAAUUUUUAAUUAGUGUAUUCAAAGGUACAAAAGAUUUUAGUAUUAUUUUUUAAAAAUUUCAGGAUAUGAAUGUUAAUUUUUUUCAAAUUUUAAAGAUGUAAAAAUCUUUUUUUCUGAUAAUUUAUUUCACUUUUGAGAGAAUCCGAAAACGUUAAUUUAACAUUCUUUACCUUUGUGAAAAAAGUGAAAAUCAAGAACUAUUCAAUUUUGUUUUUAUUUGUAAUUCAAAAACUUUAUUCAUUUUGGAUGCUUUUCAAAAGAGAUUCCUUUAAAUCCUUUUGGUGUCUGCAGCUCCUGCUAUUCUCAUAAGUCUCCAUCCCACAUCUACACUAUCAAACAAGUUGAUGGAAAUUCUUAUAAAAAAAAAAAAAAAGUCGAUGGAAAUUGAUCAAUUGCUUUUUGAAAUGGACCCAUUGAGUCAUGUUCAUUUCUGGUCAUUGUCUACUCUUUCUAUCAGCCAUUAAUUUUGACCAUUUGCGAUCUUAUCUGGACCAACUCCAAUUAUUUAUGUAACGAACUCCAAAGGUUGCAUCUACAGUUGAAUGUAAGAUAGCGAAGGCUCUUCUUUGAGAAAAUAGAGGAACCUUUCUCUGUUUCUCCGUUGCAACGUGCUCAUAUAAAUUUCUUUACCUUACAGUUUAUACGGUCUUGCUGUUAAUGAAUUCGCUGAGGCAUUAUUGAUCCAAUCUGAGUGAAGUAAUUGUGGCUGAAAAAUAAAUAAAGGAUAUGAGAACGUAGCUGAAGUGCUGAAGGGGCUAUUAAAGAAGAGUGUCACUUGAUCACAAUCACAUUGAUGCACAACUCACUCGUGGCAAAUUUCGACUAUACGUACUGCAAAUUCAGCCAAACCAUACAUGCAUGAACAAAACAUCUUCUCUAAACUAAAAAGCCCACAUCUCUAAAAUCAAUCUACAUAAUGUUGGAGAUGAGGGGUGAAUUGUUAACUCAGUAAAAAAAAAAAACUCAUGCAUAAGAUUACUAAUAAUAUAAAUUAUAUAUUAAUCAUUAUAAAGAAUCAUAAAUUAGAAAAAUUAAUCAUUUUAUAAUUUAUUACACAAGUAUGAUAAAUCUUAUAAUAAGUUAUAACAUAAAAAAACGUUAUCAAUAAAUAAUCAUUUAAGAAGUCAUUUAACAAUAAAAUCGUUCUUUGAUCAGUUGGUCAUGUCACAUAGUAUCAUCUAUAUUUAUGGUGAUAAUAUUAUUACUUAGUAUUAUCAAAAAACAUGAUUUAACAUUUAGAGGAAAUUCUUGCCUUUUAAAAAAAACAUGUAUGCAACAGCUACCCAUGCUUUAUCUUACCAUGACAAAUAUUUUCUCAAUGAAAGAAUUUUUUUUUAAAAUUGAUUUAAUGCACAAAUAUGAUGAUUUUUGCCAAAAAUUAAUUUUGGAAAACAUAGUGAGAGAAAAUAGUGACGAUUAUUGUUUAGAUGUAUAAAUAGCCUAAACAUAAUCCUUAAUACCAGUAUCCAUGUGCAUCUUAGCAUCUUUUAUGAUAUUCUUUCAUUUAUGUCCAUUGGUUCAAGAUUUGAAUUUGAUCAUUAAAUCAUAUUCAAUAAUAUUAGAGAUUCCAAAAAUUGAGUACCAACUUAAAUCCCAAUGUUAUGUUUCAUUGACCAAUGUCGUGUCAUUUUCUUAUUAACUAGGUGAUGAAUUUCUAGUUGAUAAAAUCACUUAAAAAUAUCUUAAAAAUCAGACAAUAGUUUGCUUAAUUUUUCCAAGUUAACUGCUCAAGAUGCUCUAUUAUAAAUGAUAACCUAAUUAUAUUCAUAAAAAAUGAUAUAUUUUUUGUGGUGUUGAUAAUGAGAUUAUCAUUCAACAUUUUAAAAUGUGAAAACAUAUGGAAGAUGGUUGUAAAUUGAUUGAAUGAAAAUAUUUCAGUGAAGUCUCAAAAAUUUGGUACUUGUUGUCUUAUCGAAAGUUUUCUAAAUUAUAUUCGUGGCACAGCCACUAUCCAAACCAUACAAGUCCAAAGCUAUCCAAACCAUACCUGCAAGUCCGGGGCUUAAAUGGAGUACUUCUAAGCAAAAAAACAUUGACUAAAAUAGAAUAUAUACAUACAGACACACAUACAUACCAGCAUAUUCAAAAUAGCAAAAGGAGUGCAAAGUUCAAGUUUGUAGACAACAUUGCAACCAUAGCAUGUUUAUAGCAAAUCCUCAAAAUCUGCUAAAUAAAACAAUGCCCUGUCUCAUGAAUCAAUGCUGAAUUAAAAUUGAAACUGAAAGUCUGGAUGGUGUUGUUUGUUGAGAAUGUCAAAUAAAACGGCAUUGAAGGAAGUUUUCAAAGGCAGAAUCCGCACUUGUCAAAGGGAUGAUCUGCACUUGUCAAAGACACGAUCCGCGCUGAACGGAUCGACACAUUUCCUUCCGUAUUCACAUAUGUAAUCUUUGAAAAAAUAUAGCUUCUGCAUCUAUAAAUAACGCUCAAUGUAUAAUGUUUUAUUCAAGAAAUAAAAACAAGUUUCUACAUGGUAUCAGAGCCAUGAAUGCGCUCAAGUUUCUUCAAGUUUCGUUGCUCUGUUUGUCACAAAAACAGAGGAAACCAAAUUCGUCCCACAACCAUUUUUUCCACCAUUUUCUUCCUUAAAAUCAUUCCUAACAUUACAGAAAUCCAUGCCGAUCAAAAAACAUGAAAGACAAAUUACACAUGUGCAGUAACCAAUGAUCAUAUUUCGUUACUGUCAAACACAAUGCAUCUGAGCAAAACAUUGGAAGCCAACACCAGAAUACAUAUGAAUAAACAAUUAAAGAUAGAGAAAAAAGGCUUAAACCUUGGGGGAAAAAAGUGAAAAAACAUGAAAGACAAAUUACACAUGUGCAGUAACCAUCGAACUUAUCAGUGACAGCUGCAUCUAUUACAUUGCUCCAACAACACAAUGGCAAACCACCAGUUUCAAAUUGAGGAUAGCUAUCGAGAAUGAGAAAGUGUCCAAAACGUCAUAAAUAGACAUGUUCCUAUUGUGCAUAAUUUACAUUAUAGGCAAAUAUUCUUAUACCAUCAAUGGCAAAACAUGACACUAACAAUUGAUCCCCCCAACACCCCCCCCCCCCACCAACCAAAAAAAAAAAGGAAAUAACAAUACAGAAAAGAUUGAAACAGAUAAGGCUACACUGAGCACAGGAUGCCAUGAAACAUAAUCCAGGAACCAAAUUAAUAAAAAAGGAAGCCAAACCAUUAUUUAACAAUCUGUUUUGUAUUUGGGAAAGUCUGAUAAAAUCUACUUAGGGAUAAUUAGAGAACUUCAACUAUUAAUCACACCUCAUAAAUGAACUAACAUUAACCAUCUACCAUCCCCACGUCACACAAACAUUCUCUAUACUUCUGAACCUAAUACUUCCAUCUUCAAUUGGGGGGUUUUUUUCUUUUUUCUUUUUUUUGGGGGGGGGGGGGGGGGGGGGGGGAAGCUAUCAAUUUUCUAAGCUUGCUUAGCUUCUGUGUGGGAUUGAAAUGCUGAUUUCGAAUCACUAACAGUAAAAUUGGAAGCUCAUGAGAAAAUAGAGAAAGACCUAAUGUUGAGUCCUUUGGCGCAUGUCUCUUCAUAGGUCCGAACCAUUUCUUCGGGCGUGGGUUACGGCCGAGAUUGGAUAAUGAUGGAGGAGGAGAAAAUAGAUAAUGAUUGCACUAAUUUUCUAGAUGAAUUUUUUCCUACAUGCUUGUUCCCGAAUGACCCAAAAUCCUGCUACAUCAGUUGUAUUAGAAAUUAAUCAACUGGGUUACAAUUAUGCAUCCCCACCAAUAUUUAAGCAAUUUACAGAAACAUUUCUUGAGGAAAAAAACUCAUAUCGCCACUAGGCUUUUAAUGAGGCUCAUUUUUAUGAAUUUGGAUGGCAUUAGAUAUCUCUCCAAAUAUUGGUGGGAGUAGAUCGCAGAUCUCUGGGCUAUACUACAAAGUGUAUGUACGUUGACUCUCAAUAAAUACAAACGAUUCUCUGAUAUGAUUCAAAACAUCAGUACAUGCAUCAUUUUAAUGAGAAAGAAUAUUCUAAGAACGAAAUUGAAGGUGCAAUCAGCAGCUAAAAUGAAGCCAGAAAUGUACACGCAUGAGGAACUUUUCCUAGAAGAUUGAUAUUUCUUUGACUAGCAAACCACACACGUCAAAGCUAGCCAAACCAUACCUGCAUGUCGGGGGUUUAAAUGGAGUACUUCUAAGCAUAAAACAUUGAUUAAAACAGAAUACACACAUACAUACCAGCAAAUUCAAAAUAGCAAAAGGAGUGCAAAAGUUCAAGUUUGUAGACAACAUUGCAACCAUGGCAUGUUUAUAGCAAAUCCUCGAAAUCUGCUAAAUAAAACAAUGCCAUGUCUCAUGAAUCAAUGCUGAAUUAAAAUUGAAACUGAAAGUCUGGCUAGCGAUGUUUCCCUCUCCAAUUUUGCCUACAUAAGUGAAAAUAAGAAUAAUAAAUGAAAAUCUGCUUUGACAGUUCUUAUUAGAUAGAUAUAAAAAGAUCUUUCUUUGUUUCUCUGCAGCAAUCUGUGGCUAUCCCACUCUGUUUUGCCAGUCAAGCUGCGGCCUCAAUUAGUUUGGCACUUUUAUGACCUCCUUGAAGGUUUUACGAUAAACAUAAAUCUACUGACAAAGUGGGCAAAAAGAAAAUGUAUAUAAAAGUAUGAGUUAUCAGAUAAGAUUAAAACUCACCCAAUUCAAUCCAUCAGAUUCCGUAAGGAUAUAACUGGAUGUCAUACCGCCACUCUAUAUUCUUGAAAGUCCGUAGUGUUUGUCUCAACUGUGUCUGGGGCCAGUGUAAGUCCAAUUUGCGCAAGCUCUCUAUGCACCACAGCUCUUCUGGAAGCUUUCUCAAGUAAGCACAUGGGUUGACAAUUAAGCUUUCAAGUUUCGGCAUUGCUCCAGCCCCCAUCGUCCACUCAUCUAGCCAAUACAUUGAUUUCAGGUGCAAAACCUUAAGUUCGGGAAAGCUACUCAAGCCAACACAAGCAAGCUUUCUUCCUAAAUACGAGUUCUGCUUCAGUUUCAGCACUCGAAGGAGUGGAAGAUUUUCCAGAAUUGGCAUGGGAUCCUCCAUUAGCUCAGUAUUUGAUAAGCUCAGUUGGAUCAGACUUGGGGGAAAUUGGUAUUCAGACAGGACCAUCCGUGAGGGCUUGCUCUCAUUCACCAGCUUCAAGCAUUCAAGUUUGUGGAGUUCGCAAAGGCUUUUGGAAACCCCAGAUUGAUAGUAACUCAAAUCUCCAGAUAUCCGAAGAGUCUGAACACUAGGUAGUCUGCCCAAUAUAUCAGGAGUACAACUACUAGGGUUUAAAGCUGAUAUGAAAAUGAGAUUUUUCAGAGAGCUAGAAUAAUUUUUUGGAGGUGCGGGCAGAGUGAUAGAACCAAAGUUUAGAUGCAUGAGUUUUUGCAUCAUCCAAAUAUCCUCUGGUGACUGAUCUAUGUAGCUAGAUGGCAUUUCUAGUGUUUCAAGGUUUAAAAGGGUGCAUAGCAGUGAAGGAAGGCAUUUGGGCGAAGGGAUAUUCAAUUUCAAAUACUUCAAAAGGAAUGAAUUUUCUAAUCCGGGUGGAUAUUGGUCCAGGACUGCAGAACCCAUGUUCAAUACCCGAAGGUAUUUGAACCUUUUAAAAAAAUUCUCGCAAUCUUUCGAAUUAAGAUGAUUGCUUUUUGAACUGUGAUUCAGAAAAGAAGUUUCUGCAGAACCCAUGUUAGAAUGUUUCAAAGAAAAGAAGUCAAUCUGAUUACCCAAAAUGAUGUACCGUUUAACAUUUUCCGGUGGUUCAUCUUCCAUGUCAAGCAUCCAGACAAAUCCCGUCUUCUCUGCCACCAAUAACAAUGAAUAAUAUACAAUACUUGGAACAUAACACGCUUUAAUCGUGCCUCCGGCGCUUCUCUUACUCACUUGAAUGAAGCCGCGAUGGAUUAGUUCUUUCAAGUAAUGUUCGGCCGUCUCCUCACUGUUGUAUGGUAUGAAACCUUCAGCUACCCAUAACUGAUAUAAUUGCCUCGUGGAUAUCUCAAUACUUGGAGGGAAGACACACAAAUAGAUGCAGCAGACUUUCAAGUGAAAAGGUAACUCCAUCACAGAGAAAGUUUGUCUCCAUACUGUCGGAAUCGCUUCGCCUUGAAGAUAAUUUCCUAAUGGCAUACUUCCAUAGUGUAGGACGAAAAAUUGCCAGGCUUCAAGCUUUAAUCUGAUCAAUGGUCCUCCAAUGAGCACCGAAUCAAGCCGAAUCUUCUCUCCGUUUUCCAUUUUCAGCGACGUAAGGAGUUCUGGUUCAGUGACCAAUAUCAAUACUCUGCUUCCAUUCUCAUUAUCAGGGAGAACUUCUUCGAGAUCACUCCAUAUCUCACUGUAAUCGAAGACGUCAUCAAGCACAAUAAAGUACUUCUUGUUGGUUAGGUAAUCUCGAAGAACAGAUUUCUUCAAUUGAUAAUGUUCACCGAUAAUUACACUAACCCGAGAUGGAGGCAUCACAGACUUGAUUAUGUCAUCCAAUAUCCAUACUUUAUCGUAGGCUAUAGAAACCCUUACCCAAGCAUGACAGUCAAAAUAGAACUUGACACGGUUAUUAUUGUAAGUAUCUGCAGCAAAAGCAGUCUUAUCGAAGCCACUGCUGUCGAGAAUUGCAACCACUGAAAGCCCAGAUGGUCCCUCAAUCAAUAGAUCAAAAAACUUCUCUCUGCCCCUUUCAAAUUCACUGAUAUCGAGCCGAGGUUGUCCCUCACUCAAUAGGCGUAUGAUUUCGUUCCUUUUUUCACUGAUAUCAAAACCAUUGUCGCCGGGUGGAAGUUGUUGCAUCCGAUUUCUAAUAUCAAUGAUUUUAGUGUGGAGUCCAACAAGAAGAGCCAUAUCAGUACUGCUUUCACUUUCGUUUUCACUGUUUUGCUGCUGCAUGAUUUUGAUGAAGAAUGUGUCAAUGGCUUCCUCAGAUUCAUGGACAAAGUCAUUGAUGUCCUCCAGAAUUUCAAAAAUAUCUGCUGUUUCAACGUCUUCUUCAUCGCUUUCUUCUAAGUCCAACAGUUGCAAAAAAGGCAAUGAUAUUUUGGAGUCAUCUAAUUCUUCUCUAAGGAGUUGAAACAAAUGCCGAGCCAUGUCAGCUUCAUAGUUUCCCAGCAGAGUAGUAGCAAUAAUUUCGGACUCCGUAAGAAGGUUUUGAAAACGUGGAGUUAAAUUUGUUGAAUCUGGCAAAGUUAACGUGCCUUCUUCACCUGCUAACACCCUUUUCAACCUCUCACAAAACAGUCGGAGGUGGAAUUCCAGCAUAUCUCCUUCUCUCCGUAGCACUCAGAGGUAUAGCUGAAAGAUUAAACACCAUGGAAGAAUUUGAAAGGAAAAUGCCAAGAAAUUGUGUAAGUGGCUAAAUUCCACAAAUAUGACAUUAUUGCUCAUUUUUUAACUCAAAAAAAGGGUACGCGUUCAUUUAGAGAAAAGUCCAAGACGCGUGCUUUUUGAAAAGAACAGGUAUCCCAAUCGGUAUCCAACCUUUAUCUUAUUUAAUUACUACCAUGACAUAAUUGAUGGUGCUUAAAUCAAUUGUUUCUUUUUUAAUUUAAAGAAUUUUUCAUUAAAAAAAUAUUUUAAUAUCAAAUUGCCUUCAGUGGCGUAACAACUGCCUGAAGCCCAGUAACAGGACUAAUUAAAAAUUUUACAAUUUUUGGGCAUGGAAAUAGUAGUAUUAAACAUUAGAAAGGUGAGGUUGUUCUGUUAAAGAAUUGAUAUUGACAUAAUUUUAUUUUGGUUUUCGUGGAAAACAAAAAUAUUUGUUGACAAGCAAGAAAAUAUUUUUAUUUUUUAAAAUUUAUUAUGCAUAUUUUAUCAUAUUGAAGUAAUUUUAAUAAUAAAUAGAAACAUAAUAUUACAAUAAAUAAAUUAAAAUUUAACUUAUUUUGAAUAUUAUAAAAAAUAAUUUUAAUAUUAUUAAUAGGAAGACAUUGUAUUAAUUUUAAAAUUUUUUAACCCAAAGGUUUAUUUAAAAUCUUUAUUAUAAAUACAAAUAUAAAAUUAAAUAUCAUAAUUUAAAAUUUUUAAUAUUAUUUUAAGUAUUAAAAAUAUUUUAAUGUUAUUAGUCUACUACAUAGAUCAUAUUACUUAUAUAAUAUUUGUAUUAUUAAAAAUUUUUAAAAUCAAAUUUUUAGUUAGUAUAUUCAUGAGGUAUUAUGGUUACAAAAAAAAGACCUUAUUAUUACUUUUUAAAAAAUUGAGGGUCUGCGAUGAUAAUUUUUUCAAAAAGAAAAUACAUGGUAUGUAGGAGGGGUAGAGAAACAGGACUUCCAAAAUCUCUCACCCUUCUUUAAUUAAAAAAAAAAUUAAAAUAUUAAUAAAAAAUAAUAAAGAAAAUAGAAUUUUAUCUGCUCCUUACUCCAUUUUUGCAACUCUCUCAACAUCUCUGUCGAGCAGCCUUCUCUCUCAUUGUCUCUCACUAUUUCACGAUCUCUCUCUCACUCACACAGGCAAUGACCAUCUCAUCAUCGGCGGUCGUGUCGUCAGUGUCACUGGUCUUGCUCGACCGAGACAGUGAGAGAGAGGUUUCUUAGAUGGAGUGAUGAUAAAGGAUUCUAUUUUUUUUAUUAAUAUUUUAAUUUUUAAAAUUAAAAUGUGCUGCCGUUUCUCUUGUCUUUUUAGCUGUUUAGCAGCACUCUUUUCAAAAUUUAAGAAUGUAGGUGUCCUAUAAGAGAUCGAUAAAAGAACGUCAAUUAAAUUUAUAAAAAUAUGAUAAAAGAACGUCAAUUACUUGUCUUUUAGGGAAUCCAAUGAGAAAUAUGAUAAAAGAACGUCAAUUACUUGUCAUUUUCAAUUUUUUUCUGUAAGCUAUUUAUUUUGAGCAUUAGUGAUCUUGUCUGGACUACUCCAAUUAUUGACGUAACUCCAGUGGCUGCAAUUAAUGAUAUAAAGCUGAGACUUUUGACCAAGUUAUCUAGUUGGGAAAGCAAAUUUUUUUCCAGUGGGGGUAAAGAAGUGUUGAUUAAAGCUGUUGCUCAGGCUGUGCCAGCCUAUGCAAUGAGUGUUUUUAAGAUCCCUCAUAGCUUUUGUGAUGACAUUGAGAAGGCUAUUACUCGUUUCUGGUGGGGUUCCUCUGAAACAAAAAGAAGCAUUCACUGGACAAGGUGGGAACAGUUGUGCCACGCCAAGAUAAGGGGGGGAUUGGGUUUUAGAGAUUUCUCUAGUUUUAACCAAGCCUUAAUUGCUAAGCAGGGGUGGAGAAUUCUGCAGCACCCUGACUCUUUAAUGGCAAAGAUUCUGAAAGCAAAAUAUUUUAAGCAUACUGGUUUUAUGGAUGCGAAAUUGGGUUCACACCCCUCUUUUGUUUGGAGAAGUAUAUUAUGGGGUAGGCAAGUGCUCCAUAACGGCCUAAGAUGGAGAAUCGGCAGUGGGAGUCAAGUUUUAAUUUCCAGUAGCAAUUGGAUAAAAAACCAUAAGCUUCCCAGUUUGGUUCCAUAUUCAGAUCUACCUCCUGAAACUGUAGUUGCUGACCUUAUUGAUGAAAGUCACCAAUGGAAAGAAGAUAUGGUUUUCCAAUAUUUUCCAAUGGAUGUUGCAAAGAGGAUCACCAGAACCCCUCUCCCAAAAACUCCCCAGCAGGAUCUUCUCAUUUGGAAAUAUGAUAAGCACGGAAUUUACUCGGUGAAGAGUGGGUAUCAAUUGGCUGUUAAGCAAAAAUUCCAAAAUUAUCCAAGUUGUUCAGAUGUUACCAAGUCAAGGUGGGAGGUGAUAUGGGCUACGGAUCUUCUAGGAAAAGUCAAGAUUUUUAUUUGGAGGGCUGCUCAAAAUCUUCUCCCUGACUUUUCUUGCAGCCCUCUAGUAUUCAGGGCAGCCUUAACUUCAUCCAAUGAUAAAGUCUGUCUCCCAUACAUGAGUGCAUCCACAAAGUUUGAAUAUGAGGAUGGAAGUGAACUAACCAGAAGCAAUGCUUUACCUUCAUCAUCUAAACCUUCAUCAAUUAUUUCCAAUGUAUCACAGACCUGAUUGAAUUCAUCAAUGUGGUCUUCGAGAGAUGACCCUUCAGCCAUCUUUAGUGUGAACAUUCUUUUCUUGAUGUAAAGUCUGUUGGCUAAUGAUUUAGUCAUAUACACCCUUUCAAGCUUUGCCCACAGAUCAGCCACUGUUCUUUCUCUUGCAACUUCCCUGAUCACCGAGUCUCCAAGACUCAAGAUUAUGGUACUCCUUGCCUUUUUGUCAAUCUCAGCAGCUUGUUGUGGUGUUAGUGAUGAUGAAGAUGUGGAGGCUUCUAAUCCUUCUUUCUUGAUGAUAGGUUCUAAGGCAUCACCUAGCCCUUGAGUGAUCAGUAAUGCCUCCAUUUUAACCUUCCACAUGUUGAAGUCAUUCUUCCCUGUAAACUUCUCUAGAUCGAUCUUUGAACCAACCAUACUUGUGUCUGAUUUGUAAUCCAAGCUCUGAUACCAAUUGUAGUGUUUAAGAGUGACUAACUAUCCCAAUCAACUCAAAACACUUCCCAAGAUCACACCCAAACAAACAAGAUGUACCAAGAAUCAAUCCAGUAGAAUACACACAGAUUAUUAGAACUGAAAGAAUUAAAGAAAAGGACAAGAAUUAACGUGGUUCAGCUAGCUUCAGUCUAGCUUACAUCCACGGGAGAAACAGAACCCAAUUGUAUUGAUUGUUUAAAGGAGUUACAGAGAGUUCAUCAAGCUUGUUACAGAGUCUCUCAAGAAGCCUUUUGUUAUUAAUCUUCUCAACUCACAAUAGCUCUCUCUUCUUUUUUCUCUGUUGCCAGAAUCAGCUGUAUAUAACAGCUUGUUAACGAAUCAGCAACCAACCCAGGAACCCACGUGACAGUCAUGUGAGUUAACUGAUUCUAACGAACCAAGAACGCAACUUAUCCAUGCACGUGAAACUCUCGUGCAUCACUUAACCAAAACGACCUUCAUACAUGUCGUUCCAGGAGAUACGAGUUUGACUUUCCAAAACGCAGCAUCAGCUGACGUUUUCACAAACAGAUUUGCUUCACAUCACAACAUUGGGGGUAGUCAUUAGAAACUCUGUGGGUAAGGUUGUUGCUGCAGCAGUCCAAGGAGCUCCAUAUAGGGGAGAUGUGGCGUGUAUGGAGGUUGAAGCUGUUCUGUUUGGUAUUCAGAGUGCCCAACAAGCAGCUGUUUUCCCAAUAAUUAUUGAGUCGGAUUCAAAGGAAGUGGUGGAUCUAUCCUUAAAGAAAAAGAUCAGCAAGACUGAAAUUGAGUGGAAAAUUGCAGAAAUCCAAGCAAAUCUGGAAAAUCAGAAUGUGUCCUCGCUGUCAUAUGUCCCUAGAAGCUGUAACUCUAUUGCUCAUUCUAUUGCAAAGAUAGCUCUAGGUUUUGAAAGUCAAGUCUUUUGGCUGGAAAACUUUCCAGAACAUAUCAGGUGUACUCUUGCUAAGUUCAUCAAUUGAAAAGCUUUACUUUGCUCAUCAAAAAAAAAAAAAAAAAAAAAACUCCAGUGGCUGCAUCCACUGGAAAAAGUGGAUGAGAACCAUUUUUUUUUCAUAAAGGUAACUACUCACAUAAUUGAUGGUGCUUAAAUCAAUUUUUUCUUUCUUUUUUUUUUAAUUUAAAGAAUUUUGCUUUAAAAAAUAAUUAAUAUCAAAAUGCCUUCAAUGUUGUUACCCUCACAAGCCCAGUUAGAGGACUCAUUAAAAAUUUUAGAAUUUUUAGGCCUGGAAAGCGUAGUAUUAAACAUCAGAAAGCAAAGGUUUUUAUGUCGAAGAAUUGAUGUCGACAAAAUUUUAUUUUAGUUUUCGGGAAAAAAAAUAAUUUGUUGACAAGCAAGAAAAUAUUUUUUAUACUUUACAAUCUGCUAUACAUAUUUUAUCAUAUUAAAGUAAUUUUAAUAAUAUAUGGAAACAUAAUAUUAUAAUAAAUAAAUUAAAAUUACUUUGAAUUAUUAAAUAUUACAAAAAGAUAAUUUUAAUAUUAUUAAUAGGAAAACAUUUUUUAAUUGUAAAAUCUUUUUAAUACAAAAAAUCAUUUAAAAUCUUUAUAAUAAAUACAAAUAUAAAAUUAAAAAAUAUCAUAAUUAAAAUUUUUAAUAAUAUUUAAAUAUUAAAAAUACUUUAAUAUUAUUAAUCUACUACAUAAAAUAUAUUAUUUGUAUUAUACUCGUAUUGAUUAAAACGUUUUAAAGUCAAAUUUUUAAUUAGUGUAUUCAAAGGUAUAAAAGAUUUUAGUAUUAUUUUUUAAAAAUUUCAGGAUAUGAAUGAUAAUUUUUUCAAAUUUUAAAGAUGUAAGAAUCUUUUUUUCUGAUAAUUUAUUUCACUUUUAAGAGAAUCCGAAAACGUUAAUUUAACAUUCUUUACCUUUGUAUAAAAAGUGAAAAUCAAGAACUAUUCAAUUUUGUUUUUAUUUGUAAUUCAAAAACGUUAUUCAUUUUCGAUGCUUUUCAAAAGAGAUUCCUUUAAAUCCUUUUGGUGGCUGCAGCUCCUGCAAUUUUCAUAAAUCUCCAUCCCACAUCAACACUAUCAAACAAGUUGAUGGAAAUUCUUAUCAAAAUUCCACAAAUAUGACGUUAUUGCUCAUUUUUCUCUCAAGACGCGUGCCUCCUGAAAAGAGAUACAUUGAAUAAGUCAAUUGAUUACAUUGUGGGUAAUUAAUUUAGAAGUGAAGCAGAGAAUAAAGUCCUAGAUGCCUUUAGAAAUUAGAAAUACAUUUUAUAUGCUUUAAUUAAUGAAUUCACUGAGGCAUUAUUGAUCCAAUCCCAGUGAAGUAAUUGUGGGUGAAAAAAAAAAAUAAAGUGCUGAAUUGGCUAUUAAAAAAGAGUGUCACUUGAUCACAAUCACAUUGAUCCACAACUCACUCGAGGCAAAUUUCAUCUAUGUGUACUGCAAAUUUAGCCAAACCAUGCAUGCAUGAACAAAAUUAGGCCGUAGUCCUCAUCACAACAUUAAUUGAAGCCACAAAAGCCAGCAAAUCCAAACGAAAACUUAAAAGGAAGUCUUUUAACUAUUGGAAACAUUAAUCAUUUUACAAUCUAUUACAUAAUAAAGAUAAAUUUUAUAAUAAGUUAAGUUAGAACUAGGGAAGGCAAAUUUUCCCGAUGGGAUGGGAUCCUGCGGGAUCCCAUCCCAUUUGGGACGGGAUUGAGACAUAUUUUUGUCCCAUAAAAAAAUUUAGGACGGAAUUGGGAUUUUUUUUAUCCCAAUUACAUAUGCGGGACAUGAGUGGGAUUGACAAAUUCCGUCCCAUCCCAUCUCAUUACCGAUUAAUAAUGGAAAUUUUUCCAAUUGGGAUGGGAUCCCGCGGGAUCCCAUCUCUUUUAGGACGGGAUUGGGACAUAUUUUUGUCCCAAAAAAAUAUAAGGACGGGAUUAUGACAUUUUUUCAUCCCAUUUGCAUAUACGGGAUGGGACUGGGAUUGGUAAAUCCCAUCCCAUCCCAUCCCAUUGCCAACCCUAGUUAAAACAUAUCAAAUAUUUUCAACAUAUAUAAUUAUUUAAGAAGUCUUUUAACAAUAUUUUUUUUUCUUUUUCAGUUAAUCAUGUCAUAUACCGUUAUCUAAAACGCUGGCGAUAUUAUUAUUCCUCACUUUUCUCAAAAAAAAAAAAGAAAAAAAAAAGAAACAUGAUUAACGUUUAGAGAAAAGUCAUGCCUUUUAAAAAGAAUAUGUAUACAAUAGCAAUCCAUACUUUAUAAAAUUGAUGGCGAUUACAAAGAAAAAUUGUUUAAAAUAGAUUUGAUGCACAAAUAUGAUGACUUUUGGCAAAAAUUAGUUUCGGAAAUGUUGAGAUGAAAACCAUAUUAAUUGAGAAUUAAAAUUAUUUAACUACCAUCUAAUAGAUGAAAACCAUAUCAAUUGGGACUUAAAUUAAAAUUUAAAUAUUGAAAUAUCUAGCAUUACUCACAAUAACCAAUUCAAAUUAUGACUAUCAUGUAGAAGCAAAUGUUUAUGCGUGGGUUUUUUACUUCUUGAAUUUGAUUGGAAAAAUUUCUAAGAUAGAGAAGUGUUUUGGAUAAGCUUUUCGGGAUUGAAACCACAAAUUGGUAGAGGAAAUUAAUUUUGGACAAAUUUUUCUUAUAUUGUAGGACCUUCUAGUUGGAGUAGUGAUGGCUUUGUCUUCAUUUUUGGUUCCUUUUGUGUCGGCAGCCCCUUACUAUUCUCUUGACCCUGAGUUUGAGAUAGAAAUUUAUCAACCUCCAACCCCACAUCCACAAACAAGUUGAUUGAAACAAUUGCUCUUUUAAUUAAGAGGACCCAAAUGAUUUAGGUUUCAGUUCUUAUCAUUUGUCUAUUAUUUCUUUGAAACAUUUAUUUUGAGCGUUACUGAUCUUAAUUAUCUGUAUUUCUCCAAUUAUUGAAGAAUUUCAAGUGGCCACUUUUUCUCCUUUUUAUAUAUGUUUAUUUUUUGGAGUGAUCAAACGGGUGCAAAAUCAAGUAUUCGCUGGUCCGUAGUUUAGCCAACUAUGGCUGAUCCACACAGUUGAUUAUAUGAUACUAUUAGCUCUCAAAAUCUUUCUUAUUUGAGAACAUAAAUUGCCCAUUAAAGUUAAACUAUGUUACCCAGCUCCAUGCACAUACAUUAAAUGUUUAGGUAGUUUUACAAAAUGAUAACAGCAUGCCAAAACUUGAUGUUGUCAUAUUCGACAUUUCAAAUUGAAAAAUACGCAAGCAAUCUUCAGUGAACAUUACGUGUUUAUUGAAUAAUUUAAAUGGCCAGUAAAUCAACAGUCCGUGAGUUUUAAAUCUAUUAUGACUUAAUGUAUCUUUCUGUAUUUGUACACAUAUUAUAUUAUCAUAGUUUAAAAUUUUAAUAUUAUUUUAAAUGUUAAAAAUACUUUAAUGCUAUUAGUCUACUACACAGGUUAUAUUAUUUAUAUUAUAUUUGUAUUAAUUAAAACUUUUAAUGUCAAUUUUCUAAUUACUAUAUUAAUAAAGUAUUAUGGUUAAGAAAAAGUUUUGGCAUUUCUUCUUGAAAAUUUGAGGGUCUGCAUGACAAUUUUUCCAUAUUCUAAGGGUAUAAGUUUGAAAAUUUAACAUUCUCUAAAUUGAUGAAACAAAAAGGGGAAACCAAGAACUAUUCAAUUUUGUAUUUUUUGUUUGUAAUUCAAAAAAUGCAUCCACCAAACAAGUUUUACGCAUUAAUGCUGUCAUAAAACGAAAAACAAUUUGCCAAAAAAGGGUACCAAACAUAUCCUUAAUGUCUCACAUGAUUUCUUAGUAAGCCCGUAUUAGAUAUAUUUAUACAUUUUAGGUAUUUUAGUUAUAAAAGAAGUUGGCCCUCCCUUGUUUAUAAAAAAUAACUUUAUUCAUGCACAUAUGCCAAAAGAAUAAAUAGACAGAAAGUAAAUUUACAGUCCUCACUUCCUCACAAUUGUUAACGUGAAGAUGCAUUACAACUGUGAACUGUCACUACUUUAGCCUUUUUUUUUAAAAAAAAAAAUUAUAGUGUGAUGGAGACAUUAAGGAUGAGCAUAACAGUUAAAGAUGACUCAUUUUCUUUUUAAAGUGCUCUGCUGAAAGCCGAACUUCCUUUGGCUAAUUAAUUUAGAAGUAAAGCAGAGAAUAAAGUCCUAGACGCCUUCUGAAAUAAGAAAUACAUUUUAUAUGCUUUAAUUAUGAUUAUUUGGUAGACUAAAGACCUAAAAGAUAUGUCAAAAGUAUAAAACAGAGCGAUUAAAGAAAAAAGAAAAAAAACAGAGUAUUUGUGACGUAGAAUAACAAUUGGUAAAUAAAUCCUAAAUAUUUGAGUUGUUAAAAGCAAAUAUAACAGAGACGGUAAGAGAGAUGCAGAAACAGAAAACUAUUAGCUUAUCUUGAUUUUUCCACUAUAUUCAUUUUCAAUGCUUUUCAAACGAGAUUCUUUUAAUUCUUCUGGUGUCUGCAGCCCCGGCUAUUCUUAUAAAUCUCCAUCCCACAUCUGCACUACGAACAAGUUGACUGAAAUUAAAUAAUGUUGGAGAUGAAGGGUGAGCCGUCAACUUGUUAAAAAAAAACUCAUGUAUAAUAUUAUCAAUAAUAUAAAAUAUAUAAUAAUUAUUACAAAGAAUCAUAAAUUAGAAAAAUUAAUUAUUUUACAAUCUAUUUCUUAAGUAAGGUGGCGUUUGUUUUUUCAUCUGAAAUCUGAAUAGACCUGAAUUAAUCUGAAUUCUGAAUAGAUCUGAAUGUCUGAAUCUGAAUAAUAUGUUUGUUUUUUUGUUUGAAUCUUGGAAAAUAAGUAUUAAGUUGUUUGUUUUUUUCAACUUAAAAAGCUGAAAAUAUGUACUUUUACAUUUAUAUCCUUAUUAAAUUUGAAUGUCAAAUAAAUAAUAAAUUAAAUACCACAAUAUUUUAACAUUUAUAAGUAAAACUAUAUUCAAGUGAAUACAUAAUUAUUUUGGAAUUUUAAUAGAUAAAAUACUAAAAAUUUUAAAUUUUAUCGUAUAUAAUAUAAGAAAGAAAAAAUAGGAAAAUUUUCAUGUGGGGUAAAUGUUUAUGGGUGAGUUUUGGGAUAGACAUGAAAAAUAAAUUAUAAAGCAGGGAUAUUUUUGAUAUUAGCAAGUAAUUGACUUAAUUCAGAUUUCUCCAUUAAGUAAAAAGCCAAAAGAAUUGGCUUAUUUUAUUAAGUCAAAAUUAUCUAAAAAGUCUCAUUAAGUUAUAAAAACAAACACCUCUAAUUAACUUAAUUAAUUAAGUUAAGUCACUUUAAGUCAUUAAGUUAAAAAACAAACGCCACCUAAGAUAAAUCUUGUAAUAAGUUAAGUUAUAACGUAAAAAAUAUUUUCAAUUUAUAAUCAUUUAAGAAGUCAUUUAAUAAUAAAAUCUUUUUUUUUUAUCAGUAGGCCAUGCUACAGAGUAUCAUCUAUAUUCGUGGUGAUAUUAUUAUUACUCAGUAUCCUCAAAAAACACGAUUUAACAUUUAGAGAAAAUUCCUGCCUUUUAAAAAGAACAUGUAUGCAAUAGCUAGCCAUACUUUAUUUUACCACGACAAAAUUGAUGGUGAUUAAAUCAAUUUUCUCAAUUAAAGCAAAAUUUUUUAAAAUUGAUUUAAUGCACAAAUAUGAUGAUUUUUUGUAAAAAUUAGUUUUGGAAAAUAUAGUGAGAGAAAAUGGUGACGAUUAUUUUUCAAAUGUGCAAAUAGCCUAAACAUAAUCUCUAAUACCAAUAUCCAUGUGCAUCUUAACACCUUUCAUGAUAUUCUUUCAUUCAUGGCCAUUUGUUCAAGAUUUGAAUUUGAUUAUUAAAUUAUGUUCAAUAAUGUUAGAGAUCCCAACAAUUGAGUACCAACUUAAAUCCCAAUGCUAUGUGUCAUUAACAAAUGUUGUGUCAUUUAUAAUUAUUGAAUGAAUAAUUCGUUAAUUUAUUGAUAAAUGAAAAUUUAUUAAUUUAAAGAGAGAUAUUUUUUUUUGGUUUUAAGAAGAGUUUUGUUGGUACAUGUACAUACUUAUAAAGAAAUAAACUUGUAAUUAUACUAUAUCUUUCUUUCUUUGUUCAGUUUGGUGGGAUAUUGUGAUAAAUCAUUGGAUUAAAAUGCAUUUCUAAAUUGAAACUUGUUAAAAUCUAAUUUAUUUGGGAAACACAUGUUAUUUGUCAGUCGUACUUCUCAACUUAGCAAGUUAUUUCUAACUUGUCAGUCUCUAUUGGUUCUCUUAAAGUUAAUAGUCUCGAAUCUCCCGCAUUUGAUAUCUUGCCAUUACUCUUGGCAUUAACAUGUUACCUGAGAUUGGGAUUCAUUAAAAUCCUCAAUGUAAUCGGUGGAACGAAUGGAUUUCUUCUGUUCACCAAUCCACCAAAAUUUCUGUAAUUAAAUUCAAAAGUCAAGAUCUAUGCUUAUAAUCUAUUCAACAGUUAAUAUUCUAUUUUAUAUUUACUUAAAUAUGAAGAGCUAUGCUUGUCAUUAACUUCAAAUGUGAUCGAAGCAGCCUUACAUCUGUAUAUUACUUAUUCCCAACCUUUUUUUUGACUUCAUAUACUUUCUUUUCAUGUUAUUUACUCUUUUUUCCCCCCUCUCUAAUGGGGUCAAACUUGAAAGUAUCUUAAAAUCAGACAAUAAUUUUUUUUUUAUGAUAGAUGCUAAUAUGCUCUAUUAGGCAAUGAUAAGUAAUAACCUAGUUGUUUGCAUUAGAAAUGAUAUUUUUUGUGGUGCUGAUAAAGUGGUUGAGUAUGAUUCAACAAUUUAAAAUAUGAAAACAUGUGGAAGACGGCUGCAAAUAAAUUGAUUGUAUGAAAAUAUUUCAAUGAAAUUUUAAAAAUUUAAUACUUGUUAUCUUAUCGAGAGUUCCCAAAUAAUUGGGCUAGUUUAAUUACCGGCCUAAUUAUUGUAGCCACUAUUGUAUGUUCCCAAAUGAUCCCCGGGUUAGCUCAUUUAAUUGACUGCACCACUACUGGACUAAUAAGUAAGAUAACUAGCUAUUUGGGUCAAAAGCCUAAAUAUAUCAUUUAGUGGGAGGCUCCAUUUAAUUAGCUUUUGUAUAAGGGGCCUUAUGUUAUUUUACAAGGUGGGUCCCCUAUUGAAAAAGAAAAUAACGUGAGUUUUAUUUAGGGCAUUAUUUGGAGCCUAGGGUUUUCACUAAAGGGAGAUAUAUAAGGCUUAUUUUCUCUAAAGAAAAAAGAAAAGCCACUUUAUACAGAUCAGAGAAUAAGAUUUUUCUCUCCAUUGUUGAGAGAAAAAUUUUCUCGUGCUAGUUGCUUUGGUAGUGAUAAAGGCGCCCACACGUCAAGUGCAGAUCGAACCUGAGUCAUAACCUGGAAGAUCAUUGGUGACAGUUCAUGAUCUAACAAGCGUGGUGGUGACGGUUCGUGAUCUAACAAGCGUGGUGGUGACGGAUCGUGAUAUAACAAGAGUGGUGGUGGCGGAUCGUGAUCUAGGAGCCUAAAUCACUUCAGCGGAAAAAGCCAACUCGGAUUUUCAAGGUACGAUUUCUAGAAUACGAAUUCUUAUAUAUUAUAUGAGAGCGAUCUUCAAAAGGUUUUAUAAAAAUUUAAAAGCAGCAUGUGCUGCUGGCAGCUCGCUGCUGCGUAUGUAGCAACUGCAGCGCGCGAGCAGCAGCUGCAGUGCCCAAGCAGCAGCGUGAACGUGGGCUGGAGGCGCAGAGCGUUCUGGUUGGCGUCUUUCCGGCGUCGAUGACGGCUGUCCGGUGUGGAAACAGUAAACAACGGCUGGGUUUUUGUGCUGGUGGCGGCUGGGGAAGAAGAGGAAAAGAAAAAUGUGAUUUUAGGGUUCCAUGGUUUUUAUCGUGGAGGUCCCUAUAGCUUCAUAUUUUUCAGUUGGGCAGAAACGUUUUUUAAUUUUUUGCAUUUAAGUCCAAAAACCGUUUUGGGCUUAAAGAAUCCUAGUUUUAGGCCCAAUUUCAAUUGGGCUUAAUGGAUUAAAAAAAUGCAUAGACAAAAUUAAAUACAUUAAAUUUAUUUUUGGUCCAAAAGUUUUAUUUUAAUAAAAAAAAUUAAUUAUUUAUUUAUUUCCUUUCAAAAUUAAAAUUGGACCAAUUAUAAAUUUAAAAGCCCAAUUUCCCCUAGUCCAUUAACAAAAACAAGCUUAUGGAAGAUGGACAUUGACAAGAAGCCCAAUGAAGAUUAGGCAUAGGGUUAAUGUAUUUUUCAUUAUUAGGAAAGGCAUGAAUUAAGAUUAUUUAAUUGUUUUUCUAUAUGUUAUGUUUUGGAUGAUAACAUGCCAUGAUAACAUGUAAUAUAGAAUAGGUAGUGCCACUCUAUGCAUAAUGAUACAUGUCAUUCAUUAAUUAUGAAUUUCAUUAUAUUGUUUGAAAUUUGCGCAUGCUUAAUAAUAUUUGAUAUCAUCUAGAUAAUAUUAUAGGAAGCAUGCAAUUAACAAUAUGUAUGUUUUAAAAAGGAAAAACCAAUUUUAAAAUAUUGAGUGGGAGAGGGAAAAUUCAAGAUAAUUUUCCCACGGGCUCCAUUGUUAGUUCAAUAAUAAAAUUAUAUAUAUACCUCGACUUCAUGAUACAGUGAUGCUCAUUACGGAGGGUAUAUAUAUUAGAUAGUUUAUUUGAUGAACUUCUUCAAAGAUAAAAUUGAAAUAUUUUUCAAUCGAUUGUUCACCCCAACGGUGACUAUUGAUAUGAAAAAUACGUAGAUUGAAACAAUGGUUAUACACUCAACUAAAGUUUGUUAUUAAUCUUCCCAACGAAGCUCUGUUAACAAAUUUAGGCCCAAAAAGAUAACGAUAAUUAUUUAUCAUGUCUCUACAUGAAAGUAAAUAAUCCAAUGGGUAAUUGGGUCUAGUAAGUAUAGACAUGACUUCCCCACCGGAUAGCUUGUCAAAGCAGUACUAGAUUAUCGUUACAAUAAAUUAAAAUGCAUUUAUGGUUUUUUGCAUUUUUUUCAUUUAUUGUGAAUAUUGAUUCAAAUUAUUUAUGCAUGGAUGUUUUUAUUUUUCAGAAAAUGUCUUCCCUGAGCCCACUUACUAUUAUUCUGAGUCAAAACAAACUCACUGGAGAGAACUAUAUAGAUUGGAAAAGAAAUCUAUUCAUUGUCCUGACUGCUGAAAAUUAUAAAUAUGUCUUAACCCAGCCAUGCCCCCCAGUUCCAGCGGAUGAUGCUCAUAGAAAUCAGAGGAGGCUUUAUGAGAAAUGGCAAAAGGCCAAUGAAAUGGCAAAGUGCUACAUUUUAGCCUCGAUUUCUAAUAUUCUGCAGACCAAACAUCAGAACUUGGAGACUGCCACUGAAAUAAUGAAUAGUCUCCAACAGAUGUUCGGGCAGAGUACUCGCUCUGCGAGACAAGCAGCGCUGAAAGGAAUUAUGAACAGUAAAAUGGGGAAGGGCACAAGAGUUCGUGAUCAUGUCCUCAAAAUGAUGGACUAUUUGAAUGAGGCUGAGAUUCAGGGAGCACAAAUCGAUGAUAACUCAAAGAUUGACAUGGUGCUAGAAUCUCUGCCAGAAACAUUCAAGGAGUUUAAGGUCAAUUAUAACAUGAACAAAAGAAAUAUGACCUUAACUGAAUUGAUGAAUGAACUCCAUUCUGCUGAAGAGAUCUAUCGUGCUGAGAAAUCUCUGGGAAGCAUAAAUUUUACUGAAAAAAGUUCAUCUUCUGGGCCUAAACCGAAAGGCAAAGGUAAGAAGAAAGCUGGGAAAAAAAGACCGUCUACCAAGCAAGAUGGCAAGCCGAAAGGCAAAUGCUUCAAGUGUGGACAGAAAGGUCACUGGAAAAAGGAUUGCCCUAAGAUUGUGAAAUCAGGUAUGGGAAAUCUUUUUUGUAAUUGAGGCCUGUUUAGUUCAGAAUCCUAUUGACACUUGGGUGUUGGAUUCAGGAGCAACUAAUCAUAUUUGUAAUUCACUUUAUUGGUUUCAGGAAACCAGGAAAAUAAGUGAAAGAAGCGUCAAGCUGCAGUUAGGGACAGGACAGUUCGUGUCAGCAGUAAAGACUGGAUCUGUUUUAUUAUCUUUUAAUAAUGAGACUUUAGUUUUGAAUAAUUGUCUUUAUGUUCUAGACAUUAAGAGGAAUUUAAUUUCAGUAGCUUGUUUGUCAAAGCAAGGGUACACUGUAAAUUUUGGAUCCUCUGUUUCUAUUUUUCAUAAUAAGAGACUUAUUUGUUCUGGUACAUUGGAAGAUAAUUUAUAUCAUUUAAGUCCAAUGAUCCAUUCUAUGCAUGACACAGUGAUAAAUAAUAAUGAGCAUACACAUUUAUCUAAGAAAAGAAAUAUUUCUUCCAACCAAUGUUACCUCUGGCAUUUAUGCUUGGGUCAUAUAAACCAAAAUAGGAUACAAAGAAUGAUCAAAGAUGGGCUCUUGGGUCCAUUAGAAAAUGAAUCAUUGCCACUCUGUGAAUCCUGUUUAGAAGGGAAAAUGACCAAAAGGCCAUUCUCGGCCAAAGGAGUACGUGCAACAGUACCACUUGAAUUGGUACAUACAGAUGUAUGUGGACCAAUCAAUGUACAAGCUCGAGGAGGUUAUGAGUAUUUCAUCACUUUUACUAAUGAUUACUCAAGAUACGGUUAUGUUUAUCUGAUGCGUCAUAAGUCUGAAGCUCUUGAGAAAUUCAAAGAGUAUAGGGCUGAGACAGAAAAGCAAUUAGAUAAGAACAUAAAGAAACUUCGAUCUGAUCGAGGUGGUGAAUUUCUCUCAGGAGAUUUCAAAGAGUAUCUGGUUGAAAAUGGGAUUAUAUCUCAAUUGACUGCCUCGGGAACACCACAACAAAAUGGGGUAGCUGAAAGAAGAAAUAGAACUCUUUUGGAUAUGGUGAGAUCUAUGCUUAGUUAUUCUUCAUUACCAAUCUCUUUUUGGGGACUAGCACUGGAAACUGCAGUUUACCUUUUGAACUUAGUUCCAUCUAAGUCAGUGCCUAAAACCCCAAUAGAAUUAUGGUCAGGUCGCAAACCAAGUUUACGACAUGUCCGUAUUUGGGGAUCACCAGCACAUGUGCUGAAACCAAAGGCAGACAAAAUGGAUUCACGUUCUGAGGUUUGUAUGUUUGUGGGGUAUCCCAAAGGAACAAGGGGAGGUUUAUUUUAUAGUCCUCAAGAUAGGAAAGUGAUCGUGAGCACACAUUUCACUUCCCUUGAGGAAGACUAUAUGAAUAACUUCAAACCUAAGAGUAAGGUAAUACUUGAAGAGCUGUCAGGUGAUCAGGUUGAUGCUCAGCUUUCAACGCCUGUUACAGAACAGGAAGAACAGCAACAACCAGAUGAUCAACACAGGAUUAACCCUGAACAACCAUCACUUUUAUAACCUCGUCGUAGUGGGAGGGUAACUAGGUUACCUGCGAGAUACAUGUUUUUGGGAGAAAUCUAUACGGCUAUCUCAGAUGAACAUGUACAAGAUCCCACUAGUUACAACGAAGCUCUAAUAGAUAGAGAUGUUGAAUUUUGGAAAAAGGCCAUGAAUCAAGAAAUGGAUUCUAUGUAUUCCAAUAAAGUCUGGGAACUUGUAGAGGCACCAAAUGGGAUAAAACCUAUAGGGUGCAAGUGGAUCUACAAGAGAAAAAGAGGAGUAGACGGAAGGGUGGAAACAUUUAAAGCAAGAUUAGUAGCCAAAGGGUUUACUCAGAAAGAGGGAAUUGAUUAUGAGGAAACUUUUUCUCCGGUUGCUAUGCUUAAAUCCAUCAGGAUUCUGCUCUCCAUUGCUGUAAUGCUAGAUUAUGAAAUUUGGCAAAUGGAUGUCAAGACUGCCUUUCUUAACGGGCAUCUUGAAGAAAACAUCUACAUGCAGCAACCAGAUGGAUUUAUACAAAAAGGCCAAGAACACAUGGUAUGUAAGUUGCAGAAAUCCAUUUAUGGAUUGAAACAAGCAUCCCGGUCAUGGAACAUCAGAUUUGAUCAAGCGAUUAAAUCGUUUGGAUUCAUUCAGAACAUUGAUGAACCAUGUGUGUACAAGAAAAUUCAAGAAAAAUCUGUAGCCUUCCUAAUUUUUUAUGUAGACGAUAUUCUCCUAAUUGGAAACGAUAUAGGAGUAUUGACUACAAUAAAGAGUUGGUUAGCAAAACAAUUUGAUAUGAAAGACCUGGGAGAGGCAAGUUAUAUUCUUGGUAUCAAAUUACUACGAGACCAGAAGAAUAAAACUUUAGCCUUGUCUCAAGCGGUCUAUAUCGAUAAGAUAUUGGCUAGAUUUAGCAUGGAAAAUUCCAAGACUGGUUUAUUACCAUUCAGACAUGGAAUUACAUUCUCUAAGGAUCAAUCACCUAAAACAUCUGAAGAGAUAGAGAGAAUGAGACGAGUUCCCUAUGCAGAAGCUGUGGGAAGUCUUAUGUAUGCCAUGCUUUGCACUAGGCCAGACAUCUGUUUUGCGGUAGGGAUGGUUAGUAGAUAUCAAUCUAAUCCUGGACCUGAACACUGGACUGCGGUCAAGCAUAUAAUGAAGUAUCUGAAAAGAACUAAAAAUUAUAUGCUUGUGUAUUCUGGUGAUGAACUCAUUCCAGUGGGUUAUACUGAUUCUGACUUUAUGUCAGAUAAGGAUUCCAGAAAAUCAACUUCCGGCUAUGUGUUUACAUUGGGAAGUGGAACUAUUAGUUGGAGGAGUGUGAAACAAUCUUGUAUCGCAGACUCCACAACUGAAGCUGAAUAUGUGGCUGCAUCCGAAACUGCAAAAGAAGCUGUAUGGCUCCGCAAGUUCCUACAAGAUCUUGAGGUGGUACCUGCUGUAACUGCACCCCUUAAACUAUUUUGCGAUAAUAGUGGUGCGGUAGCUAAAUCUAAGGAACCACAAGAAACAAAAACAUAUUGAGAGGAAGUAUCAUCUUAUAAGGGAUAUAGUGCAGAGAGGUGAUGUGGAGGUUACUCAGAUUGCGUCACAGCAAAACUUGGCAGAUCCUUUUACUAAGGCCAUACCUGGGAAACCUUUUAACUUGCACUUGGAAUCCAUGGGCAUGCGUGAGAUGCCAAAUAUGCUUUGAGAGCUAGUGGGAGAUUGUUGGGAAAAUAUGCCCUUUAAAAGCAUAUGUGUUUAUUUAAUUGUAAUAAACAAUUUUUCUGAUUAAUAAAAUAAAUGAGGUAUUUUAUUCAAAUAUCUUAAUUGCAUUAAUAUUUGUAUUAAAGUCCAUUUAAUCAUAUUAUAUGUAUUUAUGUGAUCACCAUGUGGAUUCACAGAAGACAUAAAUACAAGUUAUCUUAUGAUUAAAUAAAUUUAGUUCGCAGUUGAUAAAUAAAGUUGGGCACUUUAUUUAGGUAUAGACUGUAAUAAAUUCAUUGAAUGAUUUGUCUUAAUCAUGUAUGAAUUUAUUGAUGUAGUACGACUACAUUAAACAGGAUCACAUGUGAGAUUUAAUUAACUUUGUAAUAACUGUCAGACUUAUUAAAUCUUAUAGGCAUUGAUUUUACUGUAAUCUUAAUCUUGAGUUAAUUAUGAUUUCAUGAUUGUAAUUGUUAUUCCAUUUGAGUUACCAAUGGGCACGACACAUCCUUGUGGUCAAGAUUACCCGGUAUCUUGGUGGGAGCAAUUAUGAGUAUUGGAGUUAUGGAUUAACAAUAUAGAAUUUGUACAACACAUCUCUCGAUAGGUUUUCGGCACUUGAUCAUAGAAUUCUUUGGCCAGAGUGUGUCAACAUAUUUAGUAUGUUGAAAAUGAUCAUUAGAGAAAACCAGUAAGGAUCAAGGAAUAAGAUGUUAUUAAAUUGAUUGGACAGUUGAGAUAUCAAUUUAAUUAACGAUGUGGUACAAAGGAUUGUGCAGUAAAGAAAUCAAUGUGGCUUGGGACGAAUUAUUAUUCGAGCAUACAAUUAUGGAAGUCAGUUCCAAUCUUUUAGUGGAGUAGAUUUGGAAUUAAAUAAUUGGGCUAGUUUAAUUACAGGCCUAAUUAUUGUAGCCACUAUUGUAUGUUCCCAAAUGAUCCCCGGGUUAGCUCAUUUAAUUGACUGCACCACUACUGGACUAAUAAGUAAGAUAACUAGCUAUUUGGGUCAAAAGCCUAAAUAUAUCAUUUAGUGGGAGGCUCCAUUUAAUUAGCUUUUGUAUAAGGGGCCUUAUGUUAUUUUACAAGGUGGGUCCCCUAUUGAAAAAGAAAAUAAUGUGAGUUUUAUUUAGGGCAUUAUUUGGAGCCUAGGGUUUUCACUAAAGAGAGAUAUAUAAGGCUUAUUUUCUCUAAAGAAAAAAGAAAAGCCACUUUAUACAGAUCAGAGAAUAAGAUUUUUCUCUCCAUUGUUGAGAGAAAAAUUUUCUCGUGCUAGUUGCUUUGGUAGUGAUAAAGGCACCCACACGUCAAGUGCAGAUCAAACCUGAGUCAUAACCUGGAAGAUCAUUGGUGACAGUUCAUGAUCUAACAAGCGUGGUGGUGACGGUUCGUGAUCUAACAAGCGUGGUGGUGACGGAUCGUGAUCUAACAAGAGUGGUGGUGGCGGAUCGUGAUCUAGGAGCCUAAAUCACUUCAGCGAAAAAAGCCAACUCGGAUUUUCAAGGUACGAUUUCUAGAAUACGAAUUCUUAUAUAUUAUAUGAGAGCGAUCUUCAAAACGUUUUAUAAAAAUUUAAAAACCGAAUUUUUUCACCAACACUAUGUAGCUAGAUGGCAUUUCUAGUGUUUCAAGGUUUAAAAGGGUGCAUAGCAGUGAAGGAAGGCAUUUGACCGAAGGGAUAUUCAAUUUCAAAUACUUCAAAAGAUAUAAAUUUUCUAAUCCGGGCGGAUAUUGGUCCAGGACUGCAAAACCCAAAUUCAAUACCUGAAGGUGUUUGAACUUUUUACAAAAAUUCUCGCAAUCUAUCAGAGCGAGACGAUCGCUUUCUGAACUGUGAUUCAGAAAAGAUUGGAGACGCAUGUCAGAAUAUUCUAAAGGAAAGAAGUCAAUCAGGCGUUCCACAAUGAAGCACCGUUUAACAUUUGCCACUGAUUCUUCUUCCAUUUCAGGCGUCAAGACAAAUCCCGUCUUCUUUGCCACAAAAUACAAUGAAGUAAAUUCAAGACUUGGAACAUAACACGCUUUAAUUGUGCCGCCGGCGCUUCUCUUACUCACUUGAAUGAAGCCGCGAUGGAUUAGUUCUUUCAAGUAAUGUUCGGCAGUUUCUUCAUCGUUGUAUGGUAUGAAACCUUCAGCUACCCACAACUGAUAUAAUUGCCUCGUGGACAUCUCAAUACUUGGAGGGAAGACACACAAAUAGAUGCAGCAGACUUUCAAGUGAAAAGGUAACUCCAUCACAGAAAAAAUUUAUCUCCAAACUGUCGGAAUCGCUUCGCCUUGAACAUAAUUUUCUAAUGGCAUACUUCCAUAGUGUAGGAUGAAAAAUUGCCAGGCUUCAUGCUUUAAUCUGAUCAAUGGUCCUCCAAAGAGCACUGAAUCACGCCGAAUCUUCUCUCCAUUUUCCAUUUCCAACGACGCAAGGAGGUGUGGAUCACUGACCAACAUCAAUACUCUGCUUCCAUUCUGAUUAUCAGGAAGAACUUUUUCAAGAUCACUCCAUAUCUUACUGUCAUCGAAGACAUCAUCAAGCACAAUAAAGUACUUCUUGUUUGUUAGGUAAUCUCGAAGAAUAGAUUUCUUCAAUUGAUAAUCUUCCCCGAUAAUUACACUAACCCGAGCUGGAGGCAUCACAGACUUGAUUAUGCCAUCCAAUAUCUUGCCAAAAUCGUAGGUUAUCGAAACCCUGACCCAAGCAAGACAGUCAAAAUAGAACUUGACGUGAUCAUUAUUGUAAGUAUCUGCAGCAAAAGCAGUCUUAUCGAAGCCACUGCUGUCGAGAAUUGCAACCACUGCAAGCCCAGAUGGUCCCUCAAUCAAUAGAUCAAACAACUCCUCCCUGCCCCUUUGAAAUUCAUUGAUAUCGAGCCGAGGUUGUCCCUCAUUCAAUAGGCGAAUGAUUUCGUUACUUUUCUCACUGAUAUCAAAACCAUUGUCGCCGGGUGGAAGUUGUUGCAUCCGAUUUCUAAUAUCAAUGAUUUUAGUGUGGAGUCCAACAAGAAGAGCCAUAUCAGUACUGCUUUCACUUUCGUUUUCACUGUUUUGCUGCUGCAUGAUGUUGAUGAAGAAUCUGUCAAUGGCUUCCUCAGAUUCAUGGACAAAGUCAUUGAUGUCCUCCAGAAUUUCCAAAAUAUCUGCUCUUUCAACAUCUUCUUCAUCGCUUUCUUCUAAGUCCAACAGUUCAUCGAAAUCUUCUCUAAGGAGUUGAAACAAAUGCCGAGCCAUGUCAACUUCAUAUUUUCCCAGCAGAGUAGUAGCAAUAAUUUCGGACUCCGUAAGAAGGUUUUGAAAAAGUGGAGUUAAAUUUGUUGAAUCUGGCAGCGGCAACGUGCCUUCUUCACCUGCUAACACCCUUUUCAACCUCUCACGAAAUAGUCGGAGGUGGACGUCCAGCAUAUCUCCUUCUCUCUGUAUCACCCAGAGGUAUAGUUGAAAGAUUAAACACCAUGGAAGAAUUUGAAAGGAAAAUGCCAAGAAACUGUGUAAGUGGCUAAACCAUGAAAAAUUGAUCAUUUUUUUGCAUUGUAAGUUGCGCGUUCAUUUAGAGAAAAGUCCAAGACGCGUGCCUUUUGCAAAGAACAGGUAUCCCAAUCGGUAUCCAACCUUUAUCUUAUUUAAUUACUACCAUGACAUAAUUGAUGGUGCUUAAAUCAAUUGUUUCUUUUUUAAUUUAAAGAAUUUUUCAUUAAAAAAAUAUUUUAAUAUCAAAUUGCCUUCAGUGGCGUAACAACUGCCUCAAGCCCAGUAACAGGACUAAUUAAAAAUUUUACAAUUUUGGGGCAUGGAAAUAGUAGUAUUAAACAUUAGAAAGGUAAGGUUGUUCUGUUAAAGAAUUGAUAUUGACAUAAUUUUAUUUUGGUUUUCGUGGAAAAAAAAAAUUUGUUGACAAGCAAGAAAAUAUUUUAUCAUAUAAAAGUAAUUUUAAAAAUAAAUAGAAACAUAAUAUUACAAUAAAUAAAUUAAAGUUUAAAUUAUUUGGAAUAUUAUAAAAAAUAAUGUUAAUAUUAUUAAUAGGAAGACAUUUUGUUAAUUUUAAAAUCUUUUUAAUCCAAAGGUUUAUUUAAAAUCUCUAUAAUAAAUACAAAUAUAAGAUUAAAAUAAAAAUCAUAAUUUGAAAUUUUUAAUAUUAUUUUAAAUGUUAAAUAUACUUUAAUGUUAUUAGCCUACUACGUAGAUUUUAUUAUUUAUAUUAUAUUCGUAUUGAUUAAAAUUUUUUAAAGUCAAUUUUUUAGUUAGUACAUUCAAGAGGUAUUAUAGUUAAAGAAAAGAUUUUGGUGCAACUGUUUUAAAAUUUCAGCGUCUAAAUGAUAAUUUUUUUAAAAUUUAAGGAAGUAGGUAUUAUUUUUCCAACAAUUAUUUUACUUUUGAGGGAAAUCCGAUAAGAAAUAUCAUCAAAGAACAUUAAUUUAACAUUCUUUACCUUUAUGAAAAAAGUGAAAACCAAGAACUAUUCAAUUUUGUAUUUUUUGUUUGUAAUUCAAAAAAUGCAUCCACCAAACAUGCUUAUCUUGAUUUUCCCACUUUAUUCAUUUUCGAUGCUUUUCAAAAGAGGUUCCUUUACUGGUCAUUGUCUACACUAUCAAACAAGUUGAUGGAAAUUGAACCCAUUAAGUUAUGUUCAUUACUGGUCAUUGUCUUUCUAUGAGCCACUUAUUUGGAGCAUUAGCGAUCUUAUAAGGAAUCAUGCCUUUUCAGGAUCGUUUUCUUUCAUUUCCCUAUUGUAGUAGUUAAUUAAAUAAAGAACGAACAGCUGAACUUGGUCUAUUUCGAGGAAGACCAAGGCUUCCAAUACUAGAGGAACUUUGAAGAAAAUUAAUUGGAAACCUUUAUUCAUCUUUGAAGAAAAUUACGUGCCAAUGUAACGAAGGCUUUUAUUCAUCUUCGGACUAUGAAUUUGUACAAAAACAUUAACAGAAAAUAAUAAAGACACAGCUAAAUGAUAGCAGCAAGUGCUGAUUUAGUGAACCACUUCUACAAGUAAAUAAAAACUAAAUAUUUAUUUUGACUAUAACAACAACUACCCUCUUGAAUAGGACUCUACAGCAGCCACAUGACAACUAAUUUCUCCAUAAUAUUAUUAUUAGUAGAAGUAGAUUUUCAAAAUUGUCUUGAUAUAUUUCAAAGUUGUAUUAUCAGCGUAUAUGUAUCUAGAUUGUAACUAUAUUUUAAAAAAUAUAAAAAUUUUAAUUAUUGCACAGUAAUGUAGAACAAUAUCUACAAAAUAAUAUUGUUAGGACUAAGAAAAAAUAUUAUUUUAGAUAAGUUAUUUAUUUAUUAUUGAAUGAAAAAUUUAUCAUGAUAAAUGAAUAUUUAUUAAUUUAAAGAGAGAUUUUUUUUGGUUUUAAGAAGAGUUUGUUUGGUACAUGCACACACUAAUAAAGAAACACAAAAAGUGCUUCCUCAAGUCAAUAGUAUUUGCUUUAAUUGCUAAGGUGCAUAAUAACGUAGCUUAGUUAGGAAAUUUGUAAUUAUAUUAUGGCUCCGUUUGGUAUAAUUUUUUAACUAGAACUUAUUUAAGGAGGGCUUUUAUUAGUAGAGUUUUUAUAAAUAGAGAUUUAACAAAAAAAAUUAUAGUUAUUUAGUUGUCAAUGUACAAAUUGAUGAAUUAUUGUUCUUUUUGUUAACAUGUGUUUGUUUUACUUAAUAAUAAAAGUUUAGUUUACAACAUUGAAGUUCAGCAGAGCAUUUUUGCAGCCAGUCACAUUAUACAUUAUACUAAUAGCAUCGGCAAGAGUUUUCGAUUGUUGCAACUUGCAAUGCACACGAUGCGAGAAAAUGAGAAUCUUGUUUAAUUGCAAUAUUGACAAACCUAAUCCUUUCGUAGGGAGUAAUUUAAUAAUCGUUCGUUAGUUGAAGCGUUAAUUUAAUAAGCGUUGAUUUCCCUUCGAUAACUCGAAGUCCACGACGAUUCUUCUUCUUCUCUGCUGCUCAUUACGCUUCUACCCAAACCCUAGGAUUCAAACCUUUGCUUAGGAGAGAAUCAAAGCGAUUGGUGUUGGAGGUGAUUGAGGCUCUUAGAAGCUUAGAGGUGUGUUAAUUCAAAUUCUUUUGUCGAGAUAAGUAAUUUCAUUCCUAAUAUACUGGAUAUGUAUAAGUAUUUUGAUGUUAUUAUAAGAGUUUUUAUACUUCUUAGAAGAUUAAUAGAUUUUCAUACCAAAAUUAGUUUAUGAAAAUGUUUUCAAAUCUGAAUUCUUUUGAUAAAAUAUUUUACAAAUGCGUUUUAAUAUGUAAAUUAUUUUAUGACAUGACUGCCUUUUAUGAUUUUGUCUAUGAAAUAUUUUUGCAAGCCUAAAUUGUUGCUAUAGACUUUCAUGAAUCUAAUAUGAAUGUUUUGUGCCUAUGUAUGAUUUUAAUUAUUUAUGACUGUACGGGGGCCACCUCUUGAGAUUAUAUGGGGGCCACCUCUUGAGGGCCAAAGCGCCGCAAAGUGCCACAUAGAGUGCAAAGUGCCAUGUAUAAGUCAUUAUGUUUUGGCUCAUUGUCCGUAGUUAUUCUGAUUCUAAUUCUGAUCGUAUUAUACGAUAUAUUUGUUCUGGACUAGUACUAGGUUUAUGUUCUAAGUGUGCACACGAUAUUCUGAUUCUGUUUCUGGUCAGGUCACCGAGACUAUAGGUGAUACUAUGUGACAUGAGCUAACUAUCUGCUUUCUGUGUACACUUUAUACGAUUUGCUUUCAUAAUUGAUUAUUCUUUUGAUACUCUGAAUUACCAUGAAUUUAUGUUAUAUAAUUGAAAUAUGUUGUUUUAUGAAGUUUAUGACUUAUAAUAUAUGUUUUUGAAUAAAAGAAGGCUUGCAAUAUUUUUGAUAUCGAUAGGCCUAGUGUAUUAGGAAUGAUUUUACCUACCGAGUUGACAGCCCACCCCUCGUUAUUACUUUUUGCAGAUUAAGUUCCUUUUAAGAGGUAUGCGUAGCUUUGGAGUUAGAGAUUUCGUUUCCGUUUGCUAUUUGAAUAAGAAGAGGAAUAGACUCAUGUUUCUUUUUAGUUUAUUUCUGUUAUGAGCUUGUAAUUUGGAGUUUGAGACUUUUGUUAUUGUUAUGUUUUGGAAGAGAUUAUUUAGUGUUAGACGUAUUAAUUUGCGGAUUUAUUUGAAUAAGAAUUUGAGGUAUUUGAGCUUGGAAUUUAUAAGUAAGGAUUACGAUUUGUAAGUAACCUCAUUCUUCAUGUGCUCCGCACGUGUUAGAUUUGGGGUGUUAUAUGUUUCGUAUAACUUUUCAAGUAGAGCUUAUUUAAAUAGAAUAUUCGUCAAUAAAGCUUCUAUAAAUAUAGAUUUUACUAAAAAAAAUUUAGUUGUUUGGUUGUCAAUGUCCAAAUUGACGAACUUUUGUUCCUUUGCUAACAUGUAUUUGUUUUACUUAAUAAUAGAAGUUUAGCUUACAAUUACACCGGCGUCAAAUCAACAGAGCAUUUUGGCAGCCAGUCACAUUAUACAUUAUACUAAUAGCAUCGGCAAGAGUUUUCGGUUGUUGCAACUUGCAAUGCACGCGAUGAGAGAAAAUGAGAAUCUUUUCUAAUUGCAAUAAUGACAAACCUAAUCCUUUCGUUGGGAGUAAUUUAAUAAUCGUUUGUUAUAAUUGAAUAUGUAUAAAGAAAGGAAAAUUCUAUUCAUAGAUUUCGACUUAUUUUUUGUUUAAAGUAAUUAAUCAUUCAACCAUCUUCAUUUGCCUCUGGCCAGUGCCCUUGUAGAUUAGUUGAAGCGUUAAUUAAUUCAGAUAAUUACAACGUCCUUUUCGCUAAUUAAUUAUGAUUAUAUAUGUUUCAUAUAGCAAGUGGCUUUGUAGAUCUAAACCAAGUUGCUAUUUCAAAACGUUAAUUAAGUGAUUCUCCUCAUUGUCAUCAGCGUUAUACGCUCUAGGAAAAUAGCUCAAUUGUUUCCCUGCAUUGACUUUCAUUGGUAAGUGAUUUCUUAUGAAAUUCUUUUGAGCUUUCCUUAUUAAAAAAGCUUGAGCUUUUAUCACCUAAUGCGGAUAUCAAUUAACUUGUGAAUGAUUUUGCAAUGAAACUAGGAGUUAAAUAAGAUUUUUACAUGAUGAAUUUUUAUUUUUUUAAUUUUUUGAUGUAGUCAAUUUGCUAAUUUUAUGUAUUUCAUAUUCAACGGAAUUUGGGCACGGAAAGUUUGGAUUCUAAUAUUUAUAUGUUUAGCUUUAAUCAGUUUGACUUUCGUAAUCUUUUUCCCCUCAUCAUUAAGGGAUUCAGAAUUAGAGAAACGUUAGGAAGAGGAAGAAAAUAAUUUCGGAAAUAAGUAAGAGGGAAAAAAUUAUUAAAUUAGGAAUGAUUUUUUGUAGAGUAUGUUCCGUUUACUAAACUGAAAUCGAAAUGAGCUGGAAUCAGAAUGGAUAGAAAUGCGAAUGCGCUGGAAUGAGAAUAAGUAAUGAGAAUCAGAAUAAGUUGUUUACUUGAAUUGUAAGAAUCGAAAUCGAAAUGAGCUGGAUUGCAAUUACUUUGUCCUACAAUUAGAAUCGGAAUGAGUUAGAUUGUAACAAAUUACUAAAAGGUACUUAAUGAAUUAUUGUCAUAAUAUUAUUUUAUAUUUUAAUUAUAGUGAUUAUUUAUUCUAAAAUUAUUAUUAUUAAUUAUUUUCAAUAAUAUGUUAAUAUGUUAAUUAAUUUUAAAAAUUAUUAAUUAAUUUAUUAUAAUAAUAUACUAAUUAAUUAUAAUAAUUAUUAUAAAAAUAUAUUAAUUAUUAAUAAUGAAAUUACUUAUUUAAUUAUAAUAAUAUAUUAAUUAUUGUGAUUAUUUAUUCAAAAAUUAUAAUUAUUAAUAAUUAUUGUUAAUAAUGUAUCAAUAUAUUUUAUAUUAUGAAAUUGUGAUGUAUUGUAGACAAAUAAGGAAUUUGGUACAAUAAAUUCUUAAUAUCUUAGUACAAAGUAUGGUAAAAUGGUAUUUUAACUUAUUGUAGACAGAUUAAAUUUCGACACACUUAAUCCAUGAUAAAAUUAAUGGAAAAUAAUGAUAAUUUAUACAAUUAAUCUUUUGAGCAAUAAAAAAAUAAAAGAAAAAGAAGUUACUAAAUUAUGUUUACUGCUAAGAGUGAAUCCACAAUCCUAAAUAAUUAUUUCCAUCGUUUCACUUAAAUUAAAUAGUGUGAAUUUAAAUUCUAAUUUUUUGAUAAAUUAAAAAGAAAUAAAAAAUUAAAAUUUUUCUCUAUGGAUCGACCUCGGAUUGAUCAAUUUAUUUCAUAACAACACACUUUUAUACUUGAGAGUUAUAAAUCACUUUGAAGUUGUGUUAAGUUUUUGACGCUCUUACGGGGAAAAAAUAUUUAUUUUAUUUUAUGUAUGGGUCAAACUUGAAAGUAUAUUUUAAGAUAACUGCUAAUAUGCUCUAUUAGACAAUGAUAACCUAGUUGUUUGUGGUGUUCAUAAUGAGUUUAAUUAUGAUUAAACAAUUUAAAAUAUGAAAAAAUAUGGAAGAUGGCCGUAAUUAAAUUGAUUGCAUGAAAAUAUUUCAAUGAAAUUUUAAAAAUUUGGUACUUAUUAUCUUAUCAAAAGAUUUUUAAAUUAUAUUACUACUUCAACUUAACUCCUCCUGGAUUGAUUGUAUUGAAUUUCCAGCACUGCCAUUGCUUCUACUUGAAAGCCAUUUAAGUUUGUGUAAGCUACCUAUAGUUUGAAUAACAAUUUACUCAUGAAUUGCCGUUCAUGAUAACAAUUUGAUUGAAAGUGCGGCUCCACUAAUUGUCUAGAUGAUUUUUUCCCACAUGUUUGUUCUCGUACGACCCCAGAAUGCUGUUAUAUCAGUUGUAUUGGAAAUUAAUCAACUGGUUACAACUCUACACCCCAUCAAUAUUUAAGCAGUCUACAGAACAUUAAUUGUGUUUUGAAAUUUUAAUGAGUCUCACGUGUUUUUCACGUGAUAUGCAGUAAAAACAAAAUUAAAAAAAUGUGAACAUUCAGCCCCAAAAUCCCCAACUCCUUCCAAAUUGGUUCCGCAGCCCCCAAAUCCCUUAAACCCAAAUCACUCUAAAAAGACUCUCCUCAGCCAAAAAGAAAAAGGUCACCUCACCUCUCCUCUUCUUCUUCCAUGGCGAUCAACGGCGGCACAAGCACGGGCUGAUCUCCUUCGUCGGUAACGAUCAACGGCGGUACAAGCAUGGGCAGAUCUUUUUUUGGCAAUGAUCAACAGCGGCACAAGCACAGUCGUCCUCAGGUACGGAUUUGAUGUUGGUUGUGUUGUCAAGUAGCGAUUCAUGUUUGGAAGAGAAUCCGCUCGCAAGGACCUGGAGCACUUAAUCGAAGAUCUUAAGCGAGGAAUUCGCUUCCUCCUCAUUCCUAAUCGGUGCCUGGUUCAUCAGUAUGAUUAAGGAUGAAAAUUGAGAAAGAAGGACGCAUUAGGUUUGAGACAUUGGUUGAAAAGCGCUACCCCGGUGGCCACGCUGGAAACAUAUGUUCCGUGGCUUCUUGCGUUGUCUGUGAGGAAUAUGUACUGCUGUAGAAGAUAAUUAUGAAUCAAUGGUAAUUGGCGUGUUGGUUUUGGUGCCGAUUUCCUCUUAUUUUCCAGAAAAGGCUUGUAAUUUGUUCACCUCAAGAUUCAAUUUGUUAUUGAAAAUGGAUGGCUGUAAAGACCUACUGGCCUUUCAUUAUAUUAAUGUUUUUGACAGUAAGUUUGUAAUAGUUAGUGCAGGGAACUUAUUGAUUCUUGAUUAUAUAUAACGGUGGCCCUUAUUACUUUAAAAAAAAAAAAAAAAUUGAUGAUGGGUUUCGUUUUGUAUAAGUGUUUGGAGUGUUGGAAAAUGAACAUUGUAUAUUUUAGAUAGUUGAGUUCCAUAGUAGUGAAAAGCUACGGAUUUGUUUUCUUUGUAUUGAAAUGUGUUUUGACCAUUAUAUGUUGUUUGAUUGGUGAUAGUUUUAUGUUUGUCAGUUCCAGUAGUCUCUUAAUCGCCAUCUGGCAUGGAAACUCACUGUGAAUAUGUGAAGAAUGCAGUGAUCAUAAGGAGUAAAUGAACGAUCAAACAUGCUAAAAUUAAAUACCAAAAAAUAAAAUAAAAUAAAAUAAAAUUGGAACUGGAAGAGUAAAUAGCAAAAGAUUGGGCGAAAAUUGAAUACCAUAACAAAAAAAAAAUUAAAAUAAAUUCAAACGACAAGAGCUAAUUAAGAGCAAAAAGAUGCUUGACUUACCAAGAGCAAGGACCAAGCAAAUGGUUUUACAUUCGGGCUUGAUGGUGAACUGGUUGGAGAUGGGUACGAAUGUGAUCUCGUUGAGAUUUGGAGAAGAGAACGGGGGAAUGGCCACAAUAUCUUUGUUACUUUUUUUUUUAAACUUUAUUUUACUGUUGAUCACAUGAAAAUCACGUGCAAGUCAUUAAAAUUUCUAAACACAGUUACUGCUGUCGUUUCGAUGUUCUCGGGCUAUCACAUGCUCGGUACGUCUAUCACUACUCGUCAAAAAAAAUGACACGCGUUCAUUUCCAAGACGCGUGCCUUACUACCAUGACAUGAUUGAUGGCGCUUAAAUCAAUUGGUUUUUUUUUUUAAUUUAAAGAAUUUUUCAUUAAAAAAAUAUUUUAAUAUCAAAUUGCCUUCAAUGGCAUAACUGCCACAAGCCCAGUAACAGGACUAAGGGUACGUUUGAGAUUGAGGUUGGGCAGCUGUACCUUUUAAGCUACAACACUAAAGUGCUUGGUAAACACUAGCUGCUCUAGGUUGGAAGCUAUAUUAAUAUGAUUUUUCACUUGUAUAAUAGAAAAUAUAUUAUAUCUUUAAUAAUUUUGUCAAAUUUAUAUUUACUACAUAUUAUUAAUUUUUGUUUUAUAGUCACAGCUUUUUUUCCACAGCACCUGUAGCUUAAAAGAUACAGCACCUCAAUCCCAAACGCAUCCUAAUUAAAAAUUUUAGAAUUUUUGGGCAUGGAAUUGAAAAGAGUAGUAUUAAACAUCAGAAAGCUAAGGUUGUUCUGUUAAAGAAUUGAUAUUGACAUAAUUUUAUUUUGGUUUUUGGGGAAAAAAAAUUUGUUGACAAGCAAGAAAAUAUUUUUAUAUUUUACAAUUUAUUAUACAUAUUUUAUCGUAUUAAAGUAAUUUUAAUAAUAAAUAGAAGCAUAAUAUUAAAUAAAGUUUAAAUUAUUUUGAAUAUUAUAAAAAAUAAUUUUAAUAUUAUUAAUAGGAAGAUAUUUUGUUAAUUUUAAAAUCUUUUUAACCCAAAGGUUUAUUUAAAAUGUUUAUUAUAAAUAAAAAUAUAAAAUUAAAUAUCAUAAUUUAAAAUUUUUAAUAUUAUUUUAAGUAUUAAAAAUAUUUUAAUGUUAUUAGUCUGCUACAUAGAUCAUAUUACUUAUAUUAUAUUUGUAAUGACUAAAAAUUUUUAAAAUCAAAUUUUUUAGUUACUAUAUUUACGAGAUAUUAUGGUUAAAGAAAAGACCUUGGUGUUACUUUUUACAAAUUUGAGUGUCUGCAUGAUAAUUUUAUCAAAAUUUAAGAAUGUAUGUGUCCUUUUCUCCAAUAAUUUAUUUCACUUUUGAGGGGAAUCCAAUGAGAAAUAUGAUAAGAGAAUGUCAAUUAUUUGUCAUUUUCUAUUUUUUCUGUAAGCUAUUCAUUUUGAGCAUUAGUGAUCUUGUCUGGACUACUCCAAUUAUUGAUGUAACUCCAGUGGCUGCAUCCACAGUUGAAUAUAUGAUAGUGUUAGCUCUUAUUUGAGAAUUCAGAGGGAUCUUCUAUGUUUAUCAAUUGCAAUGUGCUAGUAUAAAUUUCUUUACCUCACAGUUUAUAUAGUCUUGCUGUUAAAGAACUCACUGAGGCAUUAUUGACUCAAUUUCAGUGGAGCAAUCGCGCGUAGUGGAUAAAUAAAGGAUAACAGAACAGAGCUGAAGUGCUAAAUUGGCUAUUAAAGAAGGGUGUCACAUGAUCACAAUCACAUUGGUGCACAACUAGAGUUAGGCAAAUUUUGUCUAUAUGUACUCUAAAUUCAGACAAACCAUACAUGCAUGAACAAAAAUUAAACCGUCGUUCUAAUCACAACAGUAAUUGAAGCUACAAAAGCCAGCAAAUCUGAACAAAGACUUAAAAGAAAGAUCUUAUUCAAGUUGUCCCCAAAAGACAGCUGAAAUGAAUAAUAUUGACUAUUGAUUGGGUCAAUGCUGAAUUACAUUUCAAUAGGAAAGCUUGGCAGCAGUUACAAUGUUUCCCCCUCUGAUUUUCGUCCAAAACAAAUUCAGUUGUAAACAACAAUCGAAGUAGAAAUAAUUUAUUCAUCAAAGAAAAUACCCAAGUUUUCAACAAACAAAUCUUCUUGUCUAAACUAAAAAAACUCAUCUCUAAAAUCUAUCUGCAAAAUAUUGGAAAUGAGGAGUGAUCCGUCAACUCCAUAAAUAAACUCAUGCAUAAUGUUAACAAUAAUGAUAAAUUACAUAAUAAUUAUUAUAAAGAAUCAUAAAUUGGAAACACUAAUCAUUCUACAAUCUAUUAUAUAAGUAAGAUAAAUCUCAUAAUAAGUUAAGUUAUAAUGUAAUAAAUAUUUUCAAUAUAUAAUUAUUUAAGAAGUCAUUUAACAAUAAAAUAUUUUUUUUAUUCAAUUGAUCAUAUAGCGUUAUCUAAACUCAUGACGAAAUUAUUAUUACUCACUUUUCUAAAAAAAACAUGAUUAACUUUUAGAGAAAAGUCAUGCCUUUUAGAAAGAAUAUUACCGUGACAAAAUUGAUGGUGAUUAAUUCUAUUUUUAAAAUAGAUUUAAUGCACAAAUAUGGUGACUUUUGGCAAAAAUUAGUUUCGGAAGAUAUAGUGGUAGAAAAUAGUGAUGAUUAUUGUUUAAAUGUGUAAAUAGCCGAAGCAUAGCCCGUGAUACCAAUAUCCAUUUGCACCUUCAUUUGGAUUAUCACAUUUCAUGAUAUUCUUUCGUUCAUGACCAUUGUUCAAGAUUUGAAUUUGAAUACAAAUUAAGCUGCAAGGGAGCUUACUUCGGUUUCUAAGCUUUUCAAUUGUGAUUCCUGCAUGCCUUGCUCUGAUACUAUUUUGUUACUUGCCAAUGUAACCAACCUUGUAAUUGGUCUGUAUAAGAAAUCAAGCCCUUUCAGGAUUGUUUUCUUUUGUUUCUCUAUUGUAGUAGUCAACUAAAUAAAGAAUGAACAACUGAACUUGAUCUAUUUUGAUGAAGACCAAGACCUCCAAUACUAAAUGAACUUUGAAGAAGAUUAAUCUACUGCUUUUAUUCAUCUUUGGACUAUGAAUUUAUACAAAGACUUUAACAGAAAAUAACAAAGACAUAGCUAAAUGAUAGCAACAAGUGCUGACUUAGUGGACCACUUCUACAAGUAAAAAAAGACUAAAUAUUUAUUUUGACUAUAACAACAACUACCCUGAUGAACAGGACUCCACAUCAGCCACGUGACAACUAAUUUCUCCUUAAUAUUAUUAUUAGUAGAAGUAGAUUUUCAAACUAGUCUUGAUAUAUUUCAAAGUUGUAUUAACAAUGUAUAUGUAUCUAGAUUGUAACUAUAUUUUUAAAAAAUAAAAUAUUUUAAUUAUUGCACAGUAAAUGUAGAAGAAUAUCUGUAAAAUAAUAUUAUUAGGACUAAAAAAAUAUUAUUUUAGAUAAGUUAUUUAUUUAUUAUUGAAUUGAUAAUUUAUUAAUUUAUUUCUAAAUGAUAUUUAUUAAUUUAAAGAGAGACUUUUUUGGUUUUAUGAAGAGUUUGUUUGGUACAUGUUUACACUUAUAAAGAAACACAAAAAGUGCUUCCUCAAGUCAAUGGUAUUUGCUUUAAUGGCUACGGUUCAUAAUAAUAUAGCUUAGUAAGGAAAUUUGUAAUUAUAAUAUGACUCUUUUAGUACAACUUUUCAAGUAGAAUUUAUUUAAGUAGAGAUUUUGUUAGGAGAAGUAUUGUUAAUAGAGAUUUCACAAAAAAAAUUUUAAUUAUUUGAUUAUAAUAUCCAAAUUGAUGAACUUUUGUUCUUUUGUUAACAUCUGUUUGUUUUACUUAAUAAUAAAACUUUAGUGGGUUUGGCUACAAAUAAAAGUUUAGUGGGUUUGGCUACAAUGCCGUUGGCAUUGUUCCCGGCACCAUGCCGGGCUCUAAAAAAGAGAGCCCGGCUGUCUUUGGCUGCCAUUUGGCAGCCAAAGACUUGGUGCAGCCGGUUAACAAACCGGUUGCACCAUAUUUUUUAAAAAAUAUAUAUUAAAAAUAGAAUAUAAAAAUGAAAAAAAUUAAAUAAAAUGUCAAAAAUAAUUUUUAUAAUAUAAUUAAUAGCAAAAGAUAAAGAAAUUAAAUUAUAUAAUACAAACCCUAUAGUACAAUAUGAUAUAAUUAAAUAAAAUGGCAAAAAAUAAAGAAAUUGAAAAUGAAAAAAAUUGUAUUUCAGUUUUAACGUUAGUUAUUGCAUGUCCGACGUCCCGAUUUCAUGUUUGACAUAAGAAGUUGCAUGUUUUGGAUAAAACCAAAAUAAAGAAUAUUCUGGAAUAUUCUCGUCUGUUUCAUGUUUGACGUCAAAGUUGCGAACUUUACGUGGUAAGUUGCAUAUUUCGCGUGAAGUAUUGCGAGUUUCAUAUUUAACAUCAGUUGUUGCAUUUUUUACGGUUGGAUUUCAUGUUUGACGUACGAUGUUGCAUGUUUUGAAUAAAGCCAAAAUAAAGAAUAUUCCGGAAUAUUCUCGUCCGUUUCAUGUUUGACGUUGAAGUUGAGAACUUUACGUGGUAAGUUGCAUAUUUCGCGUGAAGUAUUGCAAGUUUCAUAUUUAACGUCAGUUGUUGCAUGUCGAACGUCACGGUUGCAUGUUUGACGUAAGCUGAUGCAUGUCUUGAAUAAAGCCAAAAUAAAGAAUAUUCUCGAAUAUUCUCGUCUGUUUCAUGUUUGACGUUGAAGUUGCGAACUUUACGUGGUAAGUUGCAUAUUUCGCGUGAAGUUUUGCAAGUUUCAUGUUUAACGUCGGUCGUUGCAUGUCGGACGUCACGGUUGCAUGUUUGACGUAAGCUGAUGCAUGUCUUGAAUAAAGCCAAAAUAAAAAAUAUUCUCGAAUAUUCUCGUCUGUUUCAUGUUUGACGUCGAAGUUGCGAACUUUACGUGGUAAGUUGCAUAUUUCGCGUGAAGUUUUGCAAGUUUCAUAUUUAAUGUCAGUUCUUGCAUGUCCGACGUCCCGAUUUCAUGUUUGACAUAUGAAGUUGCAUGUUUUGGAUAAAACCAAAAUAAAGAAUAUUCCAGAAUAUUCUCGUCCGUUUCAUGUUUGACGUCGAAGUUGCGAACUUUACGUGGUAAGUUGCAUAUUUCGCGUGAAGUUUUGCAAGUUUCAUAUUUAACGUCAGUUGUUGCAUUUUUUACGGUUGGAUUUCAUGUUUGAUGUACGAUGUUGCAUGUUUUGAAUAAAGCCAAAAUAAAGAAUAUUCUCGAAUAUUGACGUUGAAGCUGCGAACUUUACGUGGUAAGUUGCAUAUUUCGCGUGAAGUAUUGCAAGUUUCAUAUUUAACGUCAGUUGUUGCAUUUUUUACGGUUGGAUUUCAUGUUUGACGUACGAUGUUGCAUGUUUUGAAUAAAGCCAAAAUAAAGAAUAUUCCGGAAUAUUCUCGUCCGUUUCAUGUUUGACGUUGAAGUUGCGAACUUUACGUGGUAAGUUGCAUAUUUCGCGUGAAGUAUUGCAAGUUUCAUGUUUAACAUCCGUCGUUGCAUGUCGGACGUCACGGUUGCAUGUUUGACGUAAGCUGAUGCAUGUCUUGAAUAAAGCCAAAAUAAAGAAUAUUCUCGAAUAUUCUCGUCCGUUUCAUGUUUGACGUCGAAGUUGCGAACUUUACGUGGUAAGUUGCAUAUUUCGCGUGAAGUUUUGUAAGUUUCAUGUUUAACGUCCGUCGUUGCAUGUCGGACAUCACGGUUGAAUGUUUGACGUAAGCUGAUGCAUGUCUUGAAUAAAGCCAAAAUAAAGAAUAUUCUCGAAUAUUCUCGUCCGUUUCAUAUUUGACGUUGAAGUUGCAAACUUUACGUGAUAAGUUGCAUAUUUCACAUGUAGUGUUGUAGGUUGCAUGUUUAACGUUCGUUGUUGCAUGUCCGACGUCCCGAUUGCAUGUUUAACGUAAGAUGUUGCAUGUUUUGAAUAAAGCCAAAAUUAAGAAUAUUUCAGAAUAUUCUCGUCUGUUUCAUGUUUGACGUCGAAAUUGCGAACUUUACGUCAUGAGUUUUAUAUUUCGCGUAAAGCGUUGCAGGUUGUAUGUUUAACGUUAGUUAUUGCAUGUCCGACGUCCCGAUUUCAUGUUUGACGUCGAAGUUGCGAACUUUACGUGAUAAGUUGUAUAUUCUACGUGAAGUGUUAAAUGAAUUUUGUUUUAAAAAUACAGUUUAACCUCAAAACUGUAUGAAACUAUGUUAUGAUCCAAAACGUUAUAAAAAUUUUCAAAUUGGUCCAAUUUUAGAAUUUCUAAUUAUUACUUUAUUAAACUCAAAACUUUCUGAAAUUAAGAUAUGAUCCAAAAUAUAAGAAAUUAUAGAAUGACCCAAAACAUUUAAAUAUUUUGAAAUAGGUCCAAAUCCGAAAUUUAAAACAAUAAUUUAUUAAAAUCAAAGAUUAUGAAAAACAACUUAACUCCAUAAAGACAUAUUCUUAUUGUUAAAGCACAAUACAUAAAUCUUUAUUUAAUCAACACAUGUGGUUUGUUAUCGAAAUCUCAAUACAACACAUUAGUCCAAAAUUAUCCAAAGCAUACGGAAAUAACAUAUUAUCCAUGAAAUAUCAAACAAUCAAAACAAAUCCAUGUCAUUCAAAACAAAUACAUAAUCCAAAAUCAUAAUGAAAUGUAGGUGUGUCCAAAUACAAGCAUAAGAGACUACUAAGGUGGUGAGGAUGGUGGUGAUGGAGGUGGAUACGGAUAUGGAAUGCCGAAGUGCUCAAAGAGGAGGCGCUGUCCAUGAAUAAACUGCUGCUGCUGGUGGUGAAACUCAGUCUGCCACACAGAGAGUGUCCUCACCUCAUCCAUAAGCUGCUGAAGAGUAACUUCUUCAAAAGUAGGAUGCUCGGGAUGUGGUAAAGAAGGUGCAGAGGCUGUAGGAGCCGAGGGAGAUACUGAAGGAGCUCGACGUCUACGCUGACCCCGAAAUGAAAGUGCAAAAACAGGUAGCUGAUGGGCUGGAACCACAGCAUUAAGUGGUCGAUCAUCACUUGGAGCAAGAAAGGUGAACUUUUUAUCAGUGACUUUUACCCAAGUGCCAUUACGACACUCAAAACCUAAAGAACUAACAGCCUCAUCCCCAAUGCUCUUAGACGGCCUACAUGAUGGUUCUUGGAUAGUGACGCUAAAGUAUUUGAGGAUUCGGGUGAUGAAAUGACCAUUCAGAAGGGAACGAGUAAUCAACUUAGGUAUACUAAGCAUGUUUCGGACAAUGGUGUAUCCUAAGUCGACUGGACGAUGUCUAAGAAUACAAUCAAUCAAGGCAACAUCCAUAUGAGAAACCUCAUCCAAAUGGCCUGAUCUAUGAAGCACAAUACUCUGAAUAAAACGAAGUAAUAUCCGAGUUUGAAGACAAAGACAUUGGGUGCGAAAAUGGAUAGUACAAUCAUCAUCCGAAAGAUCAAUACGACGACAUAUAUUCUUAACAGCAUCAAUAUGAACAUAAUCAUCAAUAUCAGGAGGUUUCCUAGGUGAAAAAAUUUCUAGGCCAUCAUCGGAAGUUCCUAGAAUAGAGUUCAACUCCGAAUCAUCAAACUCAAUCGAAACUCCUUCAACUGUGGUGAUUACUCGAUUCUCUUUCUCCGCGGAACAAUCCAUAUUCGAGUAAAACACUUUCACCAAGUCGGGAUAUACAUUUUCCUCAAAAACAAUUGAAUUAAGCCAACCAACAUCUUCCAACAAUUGCAAUAAAGUUCUAUUACUAAUACUAAGAUUAUUCAACCAAUCCGGUAAAACAAAAAAGGUUUGGAGUACCUCACGAGUCAUGAACUGUUGGUGAAAUCGUUUGGCUAGAUGUUUGUGGUUCUGAAAGUGUCUGGCCUCAAAGUUGGAUUUAUUGGAUGUGCCCCCUGCUUGUCGUGACCGGUUGGUAUGUUGAACCGGUUCUUUGCCUUUUCUUCGAAUCGGCCGUGAGCUUGACAUGGUGAAUUUUUUUGAUUUGAAGUGAAAUAAAUCAAUGAGAAGGGAGAUAAUAAGGAUGGAAAGAGAUUUUGAGAAGCAAUUUCGAUCAAAAACGGCUUCAGAGGGGGAAAUCUAGAGAGAGAAGUUUCGGCUUAAACCAUAGAAUUGAUUUCGGAUCUAUUGAUUUUGAGGUUCAAAAAAGGUUUGAAGGAUGAUUUUGGAUACAAGAACGGAUGGGAAACAAGUUUCAUGGAUCCAUUUGCAUAAAAAACCUGUGAAAAUGAUGGAUUUUGGAGAGAAAACGAGAGAGGAAUAUUCGGUUUUAGAGAGAGAUAGCUAACCGGUUUACCGAAAGAUAAAGGAGGAGAUGAACAGUUUAUAUACUCGCGAAUCCGGCUAUCCGGAAAUUAUUAACCGGCUAACCCAUUGUAGGCAGUGACCUACCCACGCGAAUUCAGAUUUCCGGUUUGAAUAACCGGCUAUCCGGUUUCGUCUCCAAGAAAAAACAGCAAACUGCCUCACUCGGCUGAGAUAAAAAAAAACCAACUGUGAUAGGGAAUGCAUAAUUUGUUUGAAAGAUGAAGUUUCACUUGAUUUCUUGCCAUGUGCGUACCAAGUUUUGUGUGCCAGUUGCAGUGUCAAAAUUAUCAUAGUUUGUCUUAAGAAGUCUGAAAGAUUAGAAAAAGAGAUUGCUAAGUUCAAGAAAUGAAAGUGAGAUAAAAUUACUUGUGUCGCUUCUUGUGUCUUCCCAUUGUUUAAUUCUGAUAUUGUUGCUUACUAAAUUAACAAAGAAAGACCAGCACAAUGACUGCUGAUGAAUACUUUGAGAAGCAUCCAGAGCUAAGGAAAGAAGUUUGAUGAUGAAAUCCGGAAUGAUUAUUGGGGAUAUUAAUUCAGUCAUGUGCAUUCAGUUAUCGGGAACAUCUUCUUUCAUGCAGACUCUCGAGUUCAUCCCAACCACCAUGCUGUUUUGGUGCAUCAUAACAAGAAUAAGCCAAUUGUUUUACUCCAUUUUGGUUGAUUUGACUAUCACAAAAAAUUCCAUGAUAUUUGGACAUUACUCAGAAUCUAGCUAUAAUAAUUUCUCUUUUCUUAUUUGCCAAAUUUGCAUUAAGAUUUUUUUAGAAGAACUUUUAUGUUUUCACAUUCAGAAAGAGUUAAAGCAAAGCAAUUGCAGUAGCAGUGUGUAUGGAAUUUGUUGAAUGGAUCCAUUUGAAAGUCCAUUUUUUAUUCUUUAAUGUAAUAUCUAAUAUUAAAAAAAUCUUAAAACAAAAAUAUGAAUGAAUUGAAAAAUCAAAGUAGUAUUCCACAUUCCCAUGUAAAAAUAGAUUAACGACACCACUUUAAGAAAAGCUAAAAAUAAAAAUAGAUAUAUAUUAUUAAACAAAAUGAAAGUUGGAACUUACAAAGAGCUAAUAUUAUUACUUUAAUCUUCUAGUAUUUAGAGUUCAUCUUGUGGCUGAUAUUAUUGCUUGGCUACGUGAAACCAUUUUAGUCUUGUCAACACUAUCUUGUGGCUGAUAUUUUUUAUUGAAAUGCUCUUCAUCCACCAACUUGGUUCUUGUCAGUUUGCUUGGUAACUUCUUCUUGUUUGGUUUUGGUGCAUUAUUUAUCUAUUCACUCGUUAGUCAGACACUUUUUUUUUGUAUUUUUUGUUUCUACGCACAAGACUGAUAAAAUUAAAUGGGCUUAAUCUUUUGUCUUCCUAAUAGCAAUAUUCAAUAUUUAUUUAGUAAUAUUUCUAGAACUCUAAGAAAUAACUGGAUUUAAAUUUUAUGAAUUAUAUAUUGUGCUAAAAGCACAAAGACAAUCAUAUGAGUGUAUAUUAUUAUUAAAAUUAAACAAUUGGAUUUAACCUCCUCUUCAUACAAUUCAUAUACAUUGGCUCGCUCUCGCUCUCUUUUCUACAUGCAUGUGUCAUUUACAUUUAGGUAUUUGUAUGCGCGUAUAUUAUUAUAAUGUAAUCCCUCUAAAAAAUGAGACCAAUCACAGUCCAAACAAAAAAAAGAAAGAUAAAGAAAAGUUAAUACUUUAAUGGCAUUGUUAAUACGUCACAGUAAUCAUGUCCCUCGAAUCCGGAUAACUGGAUUUAACAACCGGUUAUCCGGAUGUUGACUGCAAGCAACAUGCUUGCUGUCACGCGAAUCCGGAUGACCGGAAGUCAACAACCGGUUAUCCGGAUGUUGACAGCAAGCAUGUCAAUCGAAACCGGAUAACCGGAUUUCCUAACCGGUUUUCCGGUUAUUGCAUGUCCUGUAUAAAGUUUAAAAAAAAUAAAGGUAAAAUUACCACGUUUGGUUGGUUAGGUUUGCAAUAAAUAUGAUGAAAAAAAAACUCACCUUCCCUCCAUUAAUGAGGGAUUAUCCUAAGGCUCAUGUCCAAGACUUCUUCACAAAAAACACAGUCACUCCAAAACAUAGUCCCAAAUACUAUUACUGCGGUCUCGUUCAACAUCUAUGGUGCCUAGUUUUCAACUUUUCAAAAGUUAAGUUUCUCUCCAACAAAGGUAUGUGUUGUAAUUUAAGUAGUUGAUUUGUGCUCCCAUAGAUGGUUUCAGAAAUAUUAUUAUAUUAAAUUAUUAAGAUAAAGGGUGUGAAUUAUGUUAUUAACAAAGUUUUGGUUGAACAGGGGUUAAAUAUGAGUAGCCCACAUAGUUCCAGCAACCUAGGAAUAUCCAUUGCUCCAAAUGUUGGUUUACAGGUAUCGGACGUACUUGGCAGUCAUUUCGACUCAGUAGAAGAUGCAGAACUGUGGUAUAACAAUUAUGCCCGAAUGCUUGGUUUUGGUGUUAGGAAAGAUGAUAUGCGGCGCGGAAAAAAGUCUAGACGAAUCACAAUUCGACGUUGGGUUUGUCAUUUCGAAGGGGUAAGAGAUGAAAGACAAUCUCAAAACUGCAGUAGGGUGCAGAACCACGACCUAUAACACGAACCGAGUGUCGGGCAUCAUUUCGAGUGAAUUACGAUGAUUCAGUUGGUAAAUACAUCGCCAAAGAAUUCAGGCCUGAGCACAACCAUCAUUUGGCUUCUACUAAUGGAGUUCAUCUCAUUCGUUCACAUCGAAAGGUUACUGAUGCAGAACUUGCGCAAGCAAAGGCAUUAAGGCAUGUUGGUGUGAAGACUUGCCAAUUCAUGGAUUACAUGGCUGAUCAGGUAGAGGGGCCUCAAAACCUAAGGUUCACACGCAAAGACAUGCAAAACACGCUAGAUGCUUCCACUCGUGCCGAGGUUGGAGAUUCUGACUCAGACACAACUAUAGCAUACUUUGCGGCAAAAUCUGAACAUGACCCUGGGCUUUGCUUUGAGUACACACUAGAUGAUGAAAAUAGACUACGAAAUUUGUUUUGGGCUGAUUGUGUAGCUCGUUAUGACUAUCAGUGUUUUGGUGAUGUGUUGGCAUUCGAUGCAACGUAUAAGACUAAUGUAUAUCAUAAACCCCUCGUUACACUUGUCGGAACAAACCAUCACUUCAGAACAACGGUCUUCGGUUUUGCUUUGCUCGCAGAUGAGACAAUUGACUCAUACACGUGGCUGCUACAAACUUUUCUAUCCACUAUGGGCAACCGAAUGCCCGUGUCUGUAAUUACUGAUGGUGACAAGGCAAUGUCGAAGGCAAUAAAGACAGUGUUUACCGGGUGCAUCCAUCGUCUUUGUUGUUGGCAUCUUGAGCGCAAUGCGCAGGCUAAUUUGAAGAACGAAGACUUUACGAGAAAAUUUCGUGAUUUGAUGUUGACACCUAUGACGGUAACUGAAUUUGAAACCCAAUGGUCAGCUGUAGUGGCUGAAUUCGCACUUGAACAUCAUGCAUGGGUACAGAAAAUGUAUUCAAAGCGGUGCAAGUGGGCGGAAGCUUAUCUUAGAGGAACAUUCUUUGCUGGUAUGCGAAGCACUCAACGAUGUGAAAGUAUGAAUGCAUAUCUUAGCCGAUUUGUCCAACAUAAACUAAAAUUGUAUGAGUUUGUGCGACAAAUCGAUCGUGCUCUCCGCAAUAUUCGUACCACAGAAACAUCCGAUGAGUUCAAAACCAAAUACAGUACUCCUGUCUUAAGAACUCACUUACAGAGCCUCGAGAAACAUGCUGCACAAUUGUUCCCGUUAAGAGUUUUUUCGAAGGUUAGAGAUGAGAUGCUGCGAGAAAGAGCGGUCAUCGAAGUAAAAACUGUCAAAGCUGUCGAUGUUGCAUUGUACACAGUGACUGAAUUUAGGACACCUACAACAUGUUGGAAUGUCAUCCACAAUCUACAAGAAAACCACAUACAGUGUUCGUGUCAAAUGAUGGAGUUUGUUGGGCUUCCUUGUAGGCAUAUGUUUCAUGUCUUGAAAGUGGAACAAAUUGAAAAGAUUCAUGACAAUAUGGUUUUUCGUAGAUGGACAAAAAAAGCCAAGGAGCACAAUACUUGCAGGACCACAAAACCAGAAGUUGACACUGAUGUUUCAGAGAUGGCUAGAUUUAGUGCAUUGUCUGCAGCCUGCAAUAAAAUGUGCUACAAUGCAGCAAAAAACGUUGAAGCCUAUGAAAAUGCAUUGGUAGAAAUCAAUCGGCUAACAUUAACUUAUGAACAACAAUCUGAACGAGACGGUCUCCCAAAUAAAAAAUUGCGGAUGGGAACAAAACUUCGUAAUCCUGCAGUUGUAAAAACCAAGGGCGCUAUGUCUAAAACAAAAUGUGUAGCAGAAAGCUCUAGAAAGUGUGGAAAAUGUCGUCAGGUUGGGCAUACAACACGAACUUGUUCUAUUCAAGGGAAUGAUAGCACCCAGCUAAGGUAUGUCCCAAGUUCUUUAUCAUGUGUUUAAUUAUUGCAUUGUUGGAUAUUUCAUUGCAAAUAACUUUCAUGGUAUUGAUUUAGUGUCGAUGGAAACUGUUUUGCCGCAUUCGAUUCAUCAAGCACCCAGAAUCUUGGAGCCUCUACUGGUGUCAAUCCAACAUUGUUAGGUCAUGCAAGCAACCAAUUUUCAAAUGUUUUUUAUUGGUGGCCUCAUUAAACAAUGCCAUUAAAAUGACUCAAUAUGUAUUACCAUUUGAAUUCCACUAUCAUGUACUAACAUGACAACCAGUUUAAUAUCAAAUGAUGAGAUGUGAACACUGUUAACAUGCAUAUGUUCAUUAUAGUUAAAUUAUGUCUCGGCCAAGAAUACAUAACCAUGUCAUAAAUUUAAAGAUAAUUCUCCAUUACAAUUGAUUUUACAACCAUCGUAAGCAAGAAGACAAAAAAAUUCACGGUAUUACCUCCCAACAUGUUUCAAACAUCUUACAACAAAAAAUAGUAUGCAAUCACUUGCAUAAUCAUUCCCUACUAUAGUUCGAUAUCUAAGCGCGUGUUCUCGUGUUAACUUUCUUCUUCUUACGAAUGUUGCCGCUUUGUUGGUGAAAUGACUUUUGCACUUGAGAGGAUACAGGGUUCACCAUUACAGCAUGAAUCGCAAACUGUGCAUUGCUUAGUUCCAGCAAUUUAUCUCGAUUUUGAUUCAAUGCAGAAUUAAUUAGUUGAAUGGCUAGCCUACCUCGUGUAUCCUCAGAUGUGAACUAGUCAAUUUGAAAGGAAACCAAUAUUACUUUCAUAUAAUAAGUAGCUUUUAUAUAAUUAUGAAGUUAACAAAAUUCUGAGUUCAACAAUUAAACAAGUUUGGCAUAGUCGUACCAAAGUGGACGAUUUCUUCGGAAUAAAUUCUGGGCUGUCCAUAUAGUUUAUCACAUAAACCCCACAGUCAUAUCCAUUCCUUUGCUUUGGAACUCCAAUGCCCCGGUUGAUUGGAAAGUCUUGAAACUUCAUGUGUUGCAUAUUGCUUGGCAAUUGGGGCUGCAUAAUCCAAUCCAAGGAAUGUAGCUGUCGGCAAUGUUGAAAACCAGACAAUAUUAUAGAUAUGAAUAUAACACAAUAUACAUAACUGAUAAUGUUAAAUAGAUAACAAAAAUAAAGAACAUGAUUAAGAUACAAUGCGCAUGGCUUGAUCGUGCCGUCUUCUAUUACUGCGGGGAUCUGGAAGAGGAUCCCAUAUUUCUGCACUUGUAUUUCUGACAUUCACGAUCAGUAGGUACCAAUGAGAUGAUUCAUCAUUUAUUGGCACAUAAAUCUAACAUUUCAAUUGUCAAUGUCAUACACCAAGCACACUAGUAGAAACUGAAAUAAGUUAAAGGUUAACAAACUAACCUUUUGACACUUAUGCACCUGUUGCAUAAAAUUCUUUCCACAUCUAGCUGCCCUUGCAAAACAAUCCACCUCAUCUCCGACCAUUAAAACUGCUUGCUACACAUAAUAAAGACAACGUUGAAUAAGGAAGUUGUCAAUAAAGAAACCAAAGCACAAUGCAACAAGUACCGGCGAGACUCACAGAAUAUCUUGUUGGUAAAUACCAGUUCAUUGGCACAUCUUUCUCCACCACCUACUGAAUGAGGGUGAGGUGAUGCGCUUUCAUAGAAAUCACCUAAAAGUGAUCAUAUUUAUUGAGAUAUAUAAUAACAUGUAAUAAACGAUAAACAUAUAUUGUGACAUCACCAAAUGUUGAAACCUAAUACCUCGCCACAUAGAUAAGCCCCCGGCAAAAGAGUCAAUAAAGAAUGCCGAUUAAGAAUUUCGCCGCAACUAGAAACAAUGAUUUCACUAAAGAUAAAACACGGUAAUUUUUUAGUCGUAUAGCAUAACAACUAUAUACAGAAAACUAAUUUCAGUCUUCUGAAUUUAACCUUCCCUCUGCGUCCUUGUUAAAAGCAUAUUGAAUAAGCUUCAAUUCUUCCAGCGUAACUGGAUCAUUGACUUGAAACGGACCAGCUUUAUACUUGGGAUUUGCUCCCCUGGACACUUGAUCGUACGGUGAAAGUUGAUAUCGGCCUGGCCUACGAUUCCUACUUGGUCGCGUUGGCAGGACACUGAGACUAGUAGAUGUUUGAGGUUCUUGCUUAAGUUGAACUGGUUCAUCUAUAUCCUUUAUAAAAAAUAAAUUUAUAUGUAAGUUACUUCAUAAGUGAGUUAUCAUUGAAAUCAUUUUAAGAAAACGACGUUAUAAAACUGUACCUCAUCUCGGAGAUUAGGUGGUGGAAUAGGGACAAAGUGGGUAGGAUCUUUGCGAAAUUCACCGAUUCCUUCUCUUGUCCCCAUCCAGCCCAUUAAUUUAUCGAGGCUCAGGUUCAAUCUGCGAUCCACAGAGUCCUCGUCGCUAUCCAUUACCAUUUUGUUUUUUUCCAUCAGUAGUUGGCUCGGUUUUUCUGACUGGACAUGUUGGUUCUACUAUUUUCAAGCUCGGAGAUUGCGGGCAUGGAUCAGAUGGUUGUUUUGAUAGUGCACCAACCGGAGACUUGGAUCUCAAUUCCUCCAAAGACUUCUCAACCAUUUCCAUUCUCACAUUGAAUGAAUCCAUUUUGUGUUCAAUUCUGUGGACACACUGUGUUAGUACCCUAAAAGCUUCCUCCAUAUUAACAGUGCUCGGCCCAACAUCUUCGGUUUGUUCAAAAUGAGCGAAAUUUCUUUCGAGCUGCAGAAAAUUUGAUUCACGCAUUGGAACCUAAAAUAAAUAUGCACAACAAUCAUACAUAAUGACAAUCAAAAUAUAUUCAAUUAACCGUAAACAAAAUUAAAUACAUGUGUGAACAAGACAAAAAAUAAAACAAACCUCAGUACUGGUCAUGUCCCCAAACUUUUUCCGCCAAUUCAAUAAGCGCCGAAUCUCUUCCUUGGUCCAUACACUAACAGGGCAAACUGUUCUGUCCAUGGAACACCGAUCAUAUAAAACAGCACUAAAGUAGAACAACUGUACAUUCAAAAAACAAUUACUACGUCAUUUUAUUUUUCGUAUUUGGAAAAUUAAUUAUGGCAUCUAAGAUUUCUUAAAUAUACCUCUAAAAACACAACACAACCACUAACUGACUUCACUUGAUUAUCUUUAUACUUCGCUAUGCCCUCCCACAGAAAGUUGAAACACCAUGUAGCCCAAUUCUUUUUCCUAAUUAAUUGCACAUCUUUUAGGGAAUGCAGAUACAUCGGAUUGAUGUAGCUGGCACUUGUGGGACACAAUACAGUUCCUAGAAGAAACAAACAAAACAUGAUCUUAAAGUCAUCAUCACUACUCUCACUAGCUAUUAUUCUUUCACUAACUGCGGCUAUUUCAAUUCCUCUUCCACUUGUUCUAUACUUGGCACGCAGUUCAAUUAUAUCACCCGCUUCUUCUCGGAUGUAUACUGGUUCCCCUCCAUCUUUGAUCCCCAUUACGAUGCUGAAGGUUGUAGGGUUUAAACAAAACUCUCUCUCGUGCAAAACUAUACAGUGCCUCUUUGUAUCACAUUGUUGGACAAGUGUUUCACAGAAGUCUUGUCUCAGGCGACCACAUCGUAAUUCUAGCAUGCUUCCGAAGCUAAUUUCUCUAAUUGCAGCUUGUUGGUCGGCCGAUAGUGUGGAAAUGACCUUAGUGAGUGCACUGACACGACAACGAGAUAAAUUACAUUGGCUAUGCUUAUCCCCAAUUUUUUGUUCUUCAUCUUGUUUUUCAAUACUCCUUUCACCAACAUUUGAACUUGGGUCCUCAUGCAUCGUACCAAAUCGGCACUUCUCCUCAUUCGUUAAUUUCUUCCAUUUUUCAACAAUUGUCGCCCUACAAACUUUUUUGAUCCCUUCUUGCCUGACCUUUUCUGCUUCAUGCUUACUGUACACAACAUUUUAGUUCAACUAAUUACGUCAACAAAAUUGUUAUAAUAAGAACCUUAUUCAAAGCAAUAAUUUUAUACUUACAAAAAGUGUAUCCACGCUCUCUGACCAGGUCCUCCCCUUCUGCCUUAUGUGGACUCCAUUUUAUAACUGUAUGCUAUAUUUUAAAUCCUGAAAUAGACCACACAUAAAUGUAGUAUCAAGGCCGGACCCAUAACAAUGGCUAAGUUCUUGGCAAAUUAUUGAGCGCUCAUCUUUAGUAUUCCUACCAAAGACUGUAGAGCUCAAAACAAGCAAACAACACCUAAAACCAAACAAGAAAAAUUUAGGGUUCCCAUAGAAAAAUAACACUUAAAAACCAAAUCUCAAAAAAUCAACCACAAAAUAGAAAUAAAUUAAAAAAUGCCAUUGAAUUUUUACCAACUAAUGCCAUUGAAACCACGCAAAACCAUGGGAACAUUGCAUCCCCUUCUAAAUAUCUUUCUUCAAUUUAAUGCUUGAAUUACAGUACAUCAAUCAUAUCAGGAUUGAGGAUUUUCUUGCCAAUUUCAUGCUUCCAAGCCAUUAAUCAUCUCUUCAACAUCAAUUUUUCAUCAUCUAAAUAUCUUUUUUCACUCUAAAUUACCAAACUUCUAAUUGUUUCAAAUCUCUAAUUAUUUCACACAAAAUUUAUAGUACAUCACAAAAACCACAAAGGUCAAAAUUACCUCAUCACCUUCUCGUUAACUCACAAAAUGAAAAGGAAAGAGAGGAACUUGUGUUCAUCUUCAACACCUCAGGAUGACAGCGACCGCUUCAUGGAUUCCACUUCUUAUUUGCUUUGAACGAGAUGGUGCCUUUGAUCUUCUAUGAUUACUAAACAAAUAGAAGAGAGAAAUUUGAGAGAAAUUUGUGAUUUCAAAGUGAGAUGUGAGAGAUUGGGAAUGGCCUGGGUGAAACCCUCAAAAAGCAAAAUUUUGUUUUGCAAGCUUUGGGAACCGGUUUAAUAAGUUAACAAUUUUUUCCUCUUUUUUAUUUCUUUUCAAUCUCAGCCGUUGGAUUCAUUUUACUUGAAUCCAACGGCUGCGUUUACAAGCCGGCACAAUGCCGGGCCUCAAUGCCCGGCAUUGUAGCUUUAGCCAAGUUUAGUUUACAAUUACACCGGUGUCAAAUCAGCAGAGCAUCGGCAAGAGUUUUCGAUUGUUGCAAUUUGCAAUGCAUGUGGUACAUGCACGCACUAAUAAAGAAACACAAAAAGUGCAUUCUCAAGCCAAUAGUAUUUGUUUUUAAUCGCUACUUUGCAUAAUAAUGUAGCUUAGUUAGGAAAUUUGUAAUUAUAUUAUGCGUCCGUUUGGUAUAACUUUUUAAUUAGAACUUAUUUAAGGAGAACUAUUGUUUGUAGAGUUUUUAUAAAUAGAAAUUUUAAUUAAAAAAAAUUAUAAUUAUUUAGUUGUCAAUGUCCAAAUUGAUGAACUAUUGUUCUUUUUGUUAACAUGUGUUUGUUUUACUUAAUAAUAAAACUUUAGUUUACAAUUACACCGGUGUCAAUUAUACUAAUAGCAUCGGCAAGAGUUUUCGAUUGUUGCAAUUUGCAAUGCACGCGGUGAGAGAAAAUGAGAAUCUUGUUUAAUCCUUUCAUUAGGAGUAAUUUAAUAAUCGUUUGUUAUAAUAGAAUAUGUAUAAAGAAAGGAAAAUUAUAUUCAUAGAUUUGGCUUAUUUUUUGUUUAAAGUAAUUCAGAUCAUUACAACGUCCUUUUCGCUAAUUAAUUACAACGUCCUUUUCGCUAAUUAAUUAUGAUUAUAUACAUUUUCAUAUGGCAAGUGGCAUUGUAGAUCUAAACGACGUUGCUAUUUCAAUACGUUAAUUAAGUGAUUCUCCUGAUUGUCAUCAGCGCUAUACCCUCUAGGAAAAUAGCUCAAUUGUUUUCCUGCAUUGAUUUUCAUUGGUAUGUGAUUUCUUAUGAAAUUCUUUUGAGCUUUCCUUAGUUAAAAAGCUUGAGCUUUUAUCACCUAAUACUGAUAUCAAUUAACUUGUGAACGAUUUUAUACCCUCUCUUUUUUUUCUUUUUUUUUAAGUACUCUGUUGAAAGCCAAAGUUCCUUUGGCCAGUUAAUUUAGAAGUGAAGGAAAGAAUAAAGUUAGGCCUCGACGUCUUUUGAGAUUAGAAAUACAUUUUGAAUGCUUUAAUAGAUGCAGAGCAAACUGGCUCGAUAUCUAACUAUUUUAAGAGCUAAAAUCAUUUAUUAGAAGUUGUAGCAUUAAAAAAAAUGGGCUUGAUAUCCAAUUUUGUUAUUGAAUAUGUCUCACGUGUUACUGGCAGAUGGCUAUGCUAGGUUUUAUUGCUCCUUGAAUUUGAUUGAAAAAUUAUUGAGGCGGACAAGUUUGGACCAUUGUUGGACACUGAAACUACACAUCAGUCUUAGAAAAUUGUAAUUUUGUUGGCUUAUCAUGAUUUUGAUCGCCUCACAUUGAUUUUCCUAUGACGUCUCUGUAGAGUGGCUAUGCUUACAUUUUUAGGUAUUUAAUUCUAAAAAUUAACUUAUUAGAUGGAAGGACCAAUUCUACCUGUAAAUACAAGUGGCUUCCCUUUACCAACUCAUACAAGACACAACAAUAAUCUUCUUCAGAAAAAACCACCGUCGGAGGGCUAUUUUCGUUCAACAUAAAUGAGUUGUUCCGCCACCAUAUUUUAAGGGUUUGCUUCUAAUACAACUUGGGGGAGCUAGGGCUAAGAUUUCUAAGAAUCAACAUAAAAACCUUGCCUAUUGGAUGGAAGGACCAAUCCCACUUAUGAGUCUAAAUGACUAAUUUUUGAGGACACAACUCAACAGACCAAUAUAAACUUUUGACGUCCCAUUUUAUUACUUUCCUGUGUUUUUACUUUUGAUGCUGUCUAUAGCCCUACUAUUCUAUUAAGCAGAAAAUAUUUCAAGGCACUCUCGGUCCAGUAGAUAACUUUGGUAUUUAUUAUCUAUUUUCUUUCCAUUUUAUGUAAACCCCGAUCUUUACCUCUGAUUGGUUGUAGAUUCUUUUGUUGCUUUGGGGUUAGGGGAUGGUUUUCAUAACUAUUAAGUUGAUCAAUGCAGAAAAUCACCAUCAAGAAAUGAUAAAGGAUUGUUAGUUCUAUCUGACAAACAACAUUAAUAUGAAGGAUGAUGAUUGUUCUGUUCAAGAGUUUAUAAUGACAUAAUUCUACUUUGGUCUUUUAAAAAAAGUAAUUUAGAAACGAGUAUGUGAGUGAUGACUUUUACAAAAUAAAUUACAUGCGCAGUGAUGAUUUUGACACAUGAAAAUGAAAAAAGAAAUAUAACUUGUGAAUAAUAAUUGAAGUACCUGCUAUUGUUAUAUUGGGUAUUGAUAAAUGGAUGGUUUUGGAAGAAUUGAAAAUGAUGGCAUAAGUAAACCGAAGUUAAGAGAAAAGAGAAAGAGCAUUUGAACUUUACUAGUAAGUAAAGGCAAAUUUCUUGGUUCAAGAAAAGAUAAGAGAUAUCAAACUAGCAAUAGGAAAAAGGAGGAAGGUUAAGACAGCAUCUUAACAAAAGCUAAAGAAAAGAAAAACUUAGUUCAAGCAAAGAACAAUGUGCUAAUGUCGUGUAAUCUUGUUUAAUUUCUUUUUCUUCUCACAUUUUCCAGGGCUUAAAUAAUACAAUAUACAUUUUCAAGCAAAGAACAAUAUGCAAUUGCAGUACUUCUGAGCACACAACAACAAAUAAAUAGUACAAUAUACAUACCCACUAAAUUAAAAAAAAAAUAUUAUUCAAGUUUGUGGACAAUACUGUAGCCAUGCCGUCGUCGAAAUCUACUGACAGCUGAAACAAAGAAAGAAUGGAUGAAUGCUGGAUCACAGUUGAAAUUGAAGGUCUGGUAGGUGAUGUUUCCCUCUCUGAUUUUACCUAAACAAAUACAAAAAAAUAAGAAUCACAAAUGAAAAUCUGCUAUUACACUGUUCUUACUUAUUAAAAUACAGAGGUUUCUUUGUUUCUCUGCAGCAAUGUCCAUGGCUAUUAGAAACAAGAACAAUUAGACCAGCAUUUGCAAGAAUCCUUUAAGGUAUUACUGCAGAUAUAAAUCCACUGAGGAAAUGGAAAAAGUGAAUACCAAAUUAGGCAAGUUAAAUGAAGAUUGAGUUAUCAUAGAAGAAUAAAACUCAUCCAAUUCAAUCCAUCAAAUUCCAUAAGGAUACAACUGGAUGUCAUACUGCUGCUCCAUAUCCUCAAGAGCCCGUAGAUUUUGCCUCAACUCUGGCUGAGGCCAAUGUAAGUCCAAUUUGCAAAAGCUCUUUAUGCACCAUAGCUCUUCAGGAAGCUUUCUCAAGUAAGCACAAGGGUUGACAAUUAUGCUCCCAAGUUUUGGCAUUGCUCCAGCCCCUAUCGUCCACUCCUCUAGCCAACAAAUUGAUUUCAGGUGCAAUACUUUGAGCUCCGGGAAACCACAAGAGCAAACACAAGCCAGUUUUCUUCCUGAAUAUGAGUUCUGCUUCAAUUUCAGCACUUGAAGGUGUGGAAGCUUGUCUAGUGUUAGCAUGGUAUCCGCCAAUAACUCAGUAUUUGAUAAGCUUAGUUGGAUCAGACUUGGAGAAGCUGGUAUUUAGACAGGGCCAUCCGAGAGAGCUACCACCUCUUGGUUUCGUUCACCAGCUUCAAGCAUUCAAGUUUGUGUAGUUCGCAUAGGCUUUUGGAAACCCCAGAACGAUAAUAACUCAAACCUCCAGAUACUAAGAGUUUGAAAAUGAGGUAGUCUGCCUGUUAAAGUAGCUCACUAUGCUGAACGAAAGAAGGAGAAAGCUAAGCUGAAGAAAAUACAGGGCAAGAGUAUUAGCUGUGCCAGCUCAACUGACAGCUCAGCAAAAUCAGUUAAAUUUUGUUACAAGCCCCCUGUGCAUUGUGCUGAAGAUUAGUUAGUUUAAUAAUGAUUAGUUUUAGAUUAGUUAAAAUGUAAUCAUGAUUAAGAUAUAUAUAUAUAUAUAUAUAUAUAUAUAUAGAUAUAGAUAUAUAUAUAGCUGCUGUACUGAUAGGGCAUCUCAAAAGUUCUGAAAUAAUACCUCAAUUCUAUGGCAAAAAUAAAUAAUCUCAAACAAGAACCAAUAAUCAUAUUUUGUUACUGUCAAACACAAUGCAUAUGAGCAAAACAUUGGAAGCCAACACCAGAAUACAUAUGAAUAAACAAUUAAAGAUAGAGAAAAAAGGCUUAAACCUUGGGGGAAAAAAGUGAAAAAACAUGAAAGACAAAUUACACAUGUGCAGUAACCAUCGAACUUAUCAGUGACAGCUGCAUCCAUUACAUUGCUCCAACAACACAAUGGCAAACCACCAGUUUCAAAUUGAGGAUAGCUAUCGAGAAUGAGAAAGUGUCCAAAACAUCAUAAAUAGACAUGUUCCUAUUGUGCAUAAUUUACAUUAUAGGCAAAUAUUCUUAUACCAUCAAAGGCAAAACAUGACACUAACAAUUGAUCCCCCCCCCCCCCCCCCCCCCCCCCCCCCCAACAAAAAAAAAGGAAAAAACAAUACAGAAAAGAUUGAAACAGAUAAGGCUACACUGAGCACAGGAUGCCAUGAAACAUAAUCCAGGAACCAAAUUAAUAAAGAAGGAAGGCAAACCAUUAUUUAACAAUCUGUUUUGUAUUUGGGAAAGUCCGAUAAAAUCUACUUAGGGAUAAUUAGAGAACCUCAACUAUUAAUCACACCUCAUAAAUGAACUAACAUUAACCAUGUACCAUCCCCACAUCAGACAAACAUUCUCUAUACUUCUGAACCUAAUACUUCCAUCUUCAAUUGGGGUUUUUUUUUGUGGGGGGGGGGGGGGAUAAGCUAUCGUGUUUCUAAGCUUGCUUACCUUCUGUGUGGGACUGAAAUACUGAUUUCGAAUCAUUAACAGUAAAAUUGGAAGCUCAUGAAAAAACAAUUUUAUCUUUUAACAAAAGUUAAAAUUACAUCUCCAUAUAAAUUCUCUUUUCAUUUCCUUCAAUUUUCUAAUUAAGCUUAAAAAAAUGUACCUUCAACCACAAAGGGGUUUAAAAUUUAAAAUAUAUAAAAAAAUAAAUUCAGAUAACAAUAAUUAAUUUAAUUAAAAAUAUAAAUAGAGAUUACAGAGAAAGAGAAAAUAGAGAAAGACCUAAUGUUGAGUCCUUUGGUUCUCUUCAUAGGUCCGAACCAUUUCUUCGGGCGUGGGUUUCGGGUCUUUAGGAAACUCCAUCGUCAUAAGCCAGUGAUUGUAAUCGCAACCCUCCAACAGAAUCGUGUCGGGUGUGAUCUCGUCGCCGUCCUUACACAAGUGGUAAGUCUUGUUACCCGACGGCGCAGACGAGAGGGAGAUCGUCGGGGACGAUCUGAACGGCCGAGAAUGGAUGAUGAUGGAGGAGGAGGAGGAGAUUAGCGAUGACGACGCCGAUGAAAUGGAAGGGUUUACCAGAGGAGUGGAUGCCGAAAGUGCAGGGACGGCCGCCAGGAGAGAGCGGUGGAGAGCAGCGACGGCCGGCAGUGACCGGCGGAAGAUGGCGGGAGAUGGCAGCGUGGGCCAUUGCUUGCGCGUCAGUGAGUGUCUCGAGUGAGAGAGUGAAGGUAGGGAUGGCAAUGGGGAGGGAGGGAGGGUCCAAUCUCUCCGUACCCAUCCCCCAAUUUGUCCCCGUCCCUCCCCGUCCCCAUUUGCUUAGAAUCUCCAUCUCUGCUCGAAUAAUAACAGGAAAUCCUCGAGGUUCUAAAUAACUAAUAAUUUUUUUUAUUUUUUAUUUUUUUAUUUUUAGUUAAUUAUAUUAAAAUAAAAAAUAAAAAAUAAAAAUAAAAUUUAAAAUAUAUCUUAUAUUAAUAUUGAUCCAUUAUAAAAAUUACAUGUAAAAUAUAAAUUAUCAAAAUAAUUAUCUUUAUCAAUCUUCAUAAUCAUAUAAUAAAAAGAAAAAAAUUUACUUUUAUAUUGAUAAUAAAAUAAAUAUAGAUAAUUAAUUAAUAUUUUUAAUAAAACAAAAUUUUUGGGCUAAUAGAAUCUACCCUGCUUUUUUAAUAUCUUAAAUAAAAAUUUAAGACUUUAAUUAGUUAAUUAGGCCUAAAAAUUUAAUAAUAUAAAUAUUUUGAUAUUUUUUAUUUUACCAAUAUUUAUAAUUUUAUAAUAUAUUCAAUUUUUAUUAUUUAUUUACUAGUAAUUUUAAAAAAUAAAAAUAAAAUUAAAAAAUAAAAUGGGGGAAAUGGGGAGGGGAUGGGGAUUCCACCUCAUCCUUGUCCCUUCCUCGAAUAAGAAAUUGAUUAAAAAAAAUUUCCCGUCACUUUCUCGAAUAAGAAAUCGGGUAUAAAAUUAUCCUCGUACCCUCCUCGAAUGAGAAAAAUCUCCGAGGAUACCCAUACCCGUGGGGAUUUUUGCCAUCCCUAAGUGAAGGAUUUUGUUUAGGGUUUUGGGAAUUGAAAAAUGUAAAUGUUUGAUUUUGUUGCUAGAAACUUCUUCUGCCGCUGCUUUUUAUUUUCGCUAUAAAAGUAAUAAUUUGUUAAUCAAAUAUUUUCUUAAAAAAGAUAAAUUUCUAGAACAAAAUUUAUAUUAAAUCAAAUUGUAAAAAUGUGGAAUAGGGCUAAUUUCUCCUUAAUAUUAUUGUUAGUAGAAGUAGAUUUUCGAACUAGUCUUGAUAUAUUUUAGAGUUGUAUUAUAGAUGUAUAUGUAUCUAGAUUGUAAUUAUAUUUUAAAAAAUAUAAUUUUUUUAAUUAUUGCACAAUAAGUGUAGAAAAUAUCUAUAAAAUAAUAUUAUUAGAACUAUGAAAAGAAUUUAUUUUAGAGAAGUUGUUUUUUUAUUAUUGAAUUUGUUAAUUUAUUAAUUUAUUGACAAAUGAAUAUUUAUUAAUUUAAAGAGGGAUUUUUUUUUAUUUGCUUUUAAGAAGAGUUUUGUUGGUACAUGUACAUACUUAUAAAGAAAUACAAAAAGUGCUUCCUCUGUUCCUCAAAUCAAUAGUAUUUACUUUAAUUCAUAAUAAUAUAGCUUAUUUAGGAAACUUGUAAUUAUACCAUGUCUUUGUUUCUUUGUUCAUUUUGGUGGGACAAUGUGAUAAAUGAUUGGAUUAAAAUGCAUUAAUAAAUAAAAACUUAUUAAAACCUAAUUUAUUUGGGAACCACAUAUUAUUUGUCAGUAGUAUUUAUCAACUUAACAAGUUAUUUCUAAUUUGUCCCUCUCUAUUAAUGGUUCUCUUAAAGCCAAUAGGGUCGCAUUUGAUAUCUUGCCAUUACCGUUGGCAGUAGCGUGUUACCUAAGAUUUGGAUUCAUUGAAAUCCUCAAUGUAAUCGGUGGAACGAAUGGAUUUCUUCUAUUCAUAAUUUGAUGCUUUGGAUUCAUUGAAAUCCUCAACGCAUUUGAUAUCUUUUUCGUUGAAUUCGUGCAGUUAAAUAAUCUCUACCAACAUAUGUAUGUAUGUAUGAAAUUGGAGUAACCAGACCUUUUCAAGAGUUAAAUAAUCUCUACCAACAUUGUAGAUUGCCCGAUAAAGUUAACUGUGUUACCCAGCUCUAUGCAUAUACAUUAAAUGCAUGUUUGGGUAGUUUUAUAAAAUGAUAACAGCAUGUCAAAACUUGAUAUGAGUUAUAUUGUCAUAUUCGACAUUUUUAAAUUGAAAAAUAAGCAAGCAAUCUUCAGUGAACAUUACAAUUUUGUUCGCUCUACACCCCAUCAAUAUUUAAGCAAUCUACAUAUCAUUACUUGAGGAAAGAAACUCAUUGCGCCACUAGGCUUUUAACGAGGCUCAUUUCUAUGAAUCUGGAUAGCAUUAGAUAUCUCUCCGAAUACUGUUGGGAGUAGAUUGCAGUUCUCUGGGCUAUACUACAAAGUGUAUGUACGUUGAUUCUCUGAUAUGAUUCAAAACAUCAGUACAUGCAUCAUUUAAUGAGAAAGAAUAUUCUGAGAUUAUUUAUGCAUCACCAUUUGUAGUUGUACUGACUCUAAUGAAAUUAAAGGUGCAAUCAGCAACUAAAAUGAAGCCAGAAAGACACGCAUGAGGCAGUUUUCCUAGAAGAUUUGAUAUUUCUUUGACUAGCAAACCAUACGACAUUAAUCAAAACACAAUACGCACAAACAGACCCCUACAUACAUACCAGCAAAUUCAAAAUAGAAAAAGGAGUGCAACUAUUCAAGUUUGUAGACAAUAUUGCAGCCAUGGCAUAUCAAAGCAAAUCCUUGAAAUGUGCUAAACAGAACAAUGCCCUGUCUGAUGAAUCGACGCUCAAUUACAAUUGAAAUUGAAAGUCCGGCUGGUGUUGUUUCCCUCUCCAGUUUUGCCUACAUAAGUAAAGGGAAAUGAGAAUCAUAAAAGAAAAUCUGCUUUUAUGGUUCUUAUUAGAUAGAUAAAAAGGGAUCUUUCUUUGUUUCUCUGCUGCAAUGUGUGGCUAUCCCACUCUGUUUUGCCAGUCAAGCUGAGUCUAUGUUGAGACAUAAUUUUGACAUCAGAAGCGGCCUCAAUUAGUUUGGCACUUUUGCGAUAAACAUAAAUCUACUAAGAAAGUGCAAAAAAAAAAAAGAAAAUGAAUAUAAAAGUAUGAUUUAUCAGAUAAGAUUAAAACUCACCCAAUUAAAUCCGUCAGAUUCCAUAAGGAUAUAACUGGAUGUCAUACCGCCACUCCAUAUCCUCGAAAGUCCGUAGUCUUUGUCUCAGCUCUGUCUGAGGCCAAUGUAAAUCCAAUUUGCGCAAGCUCUUUAUGCACCACAGCUCUUCUGGAAGCUUUCUCAGGUAAGCACAUGGGUUGACAAUUAAGCUUUCAAGUUUUGGCAUUGUUCCUCCCCCCAUCGUCCACUCAUCUAGCCAAUACAUUGAUUUCAGGUGCAAAACCUUAAGCUCCGGAAAGCCACCAGAGCCGACACAGGCCAGCUUUCUUCCUAAAUACGAGUUCUGCUUCAGUUUCAGCACUCGAAGGCGUGGAAGAUUUUCCAGAAUUGGCAUGGGAUCCUCCAUUAGCUCAGUAUUUGAUAAGCUCAGUUGGAUCAGACUUGGGGGAAAUUGGUAUUCAGACAGGACCAUCCGUGAGGGCUUGCUCUCAUUCACCAGCUUCAAGCAUUCAAGUUUGUGGAGUUCGCAAAGGCUUUUGGAAACCCCAGAUUGAUAGUAACUCAAAUCUCCAGAUAUCCGAAGAGUCCGAACACUGGGUAGUCUGCCCAAUAUAUCAGGAGUACAACUACUAGGGUUUAAAGCUGAUAUGAAAAUGAGAUUUUUCAGAGAGCUAGUAUAAUUUUUUGGAGGUGCGGGCAGAGUGAUAGAACCAAAGUUUAGAUGCGUGAGUUUUUGCAUCAUCCAAAUAUCCUCUGGCGACUGAUCUAUGUAGCUAGAUGGCAUUUCUAGUGUUUGAAGGUUUAAAAGGGUGCAUAGCAGCAAAGGAAGGCAUUUGAGCGAAGGGAUAUUCAAUUUCAAGUACUUCAAAAAAUAUAAAUUUUCUAAUCCGGGUGGAAAUUGGUCGAGAACUGCGGAACCCAAGUUCAGUACCCGAAGGUAUUUGAACUUUUUACAAAAAUUCUCGCAAUCUAUCAGAGCGAGAUGAUCGCUUCGUGAACUGUGAUUCAGAAAAGAUUGGAUAUACAUGUCAGAAUAUUCUGGAGGAAAGAACUUAAUCAGACGAUCCAAAAUGAGAUACCGUUUAACAUUUGCCAGUGGUUCCUCUUUCAUAUCAGACAUCCGGACAAAUUCCGUCUUGUCCGCCACCAAAUAUAUUGAAAUAAAUUCAAAACUUGGAACAUAACACGCUUUGAUUGUGCCGUUGGCUCUUCUCUUACUCACUUGAAUGAAGCCGCGGUGGAUUAGUUCUUUUAAGUAAAAUUCGGCAGUUUCCUCACUGUUGUAUGGAAUUAAACCUUCAGCUAUCCACAACUGACAUAAUUGCGCGGUAGAUAUCUCAAUGCCGGGGCGGAAGACACACAAAUAGAUGCAGCAGACUUUCAAGUAAAAAGGUAACUCCCACACAGAACAAGUUCGACUGAAAACUGUCAAAUUUAUUUUUUCAUUCAUAUAAUUUUCUGAUGGCGCACUUCCAUAGUGUAAGAUAAAAAAUUGCCAGGCCUCAUGCUUUAAUCUGAUCAAUGGUCCUUCAAUGAGCACUGAAUCAAGCCGAAUCUCCUCUCCGUUUUCCAUUUCCAACGACGUAAGGAGUUCUGGAUCAGUGACCAAUAUCAAUACUCUGCUUCCAUUCUGAUUAUCAGGAAGAACUUCUUCAAGAUCAUCCCAUAUCUCAAUGUUAUCGCAGACAUCAUCAAGCACAAUAAAGUACUUCUUCUUUGCUAGGAAAUCUCGAA